UUAGAUUAAAGGCACCUGCUGAAAAAAGAAUAAAAAAAAGACUAACUUUCUUCGAUAGAAAAUUUUUUGGUCACCUCCUGUGUUAAGUGUGUGUUAUGCACUAAAACUCAUAAAUUUGCUUUCCAACUUAAUACACGUGUUUCGCAUCCUUGAGGUAGUUGUCAUGUAAUUAAAUUUGGUAUGUCAAAUACAAUUUGAUAUAUAUGUAUAUAGACAACAAAAUCAAAUGCUAAAGAACUAUUUUUCUCGUCUUCUAUGACUAGGUCGUGAAUUUAGAUUGCAUUAUUUUCUCUGAAAUUUCAUUAGAACUUUCUUUUAUUUUUGCAACUUAUAUUAGCAUCUCAGAAAUUUGUUAUCAUCCAGGACCUUCAUCUUGUUUACUUAAACAUGACGAUGGAUGAAAGGGUUGAAGAUCUGCAGAAUCGAGAUGAAACUCAAAAAGCAUGGUCGAUAUCUGCACAUGCCUUUUCCGAUUUAUCACAUGUCUCACCAUUGAUGUUUCUGUACCUUCUAAAAGAAUCAUACACAUGCGGUAAAAUUCUCCAUCCUUUUCUGAAUUUGAAGAUAUUUUAAUCUACCUCUUUUAUGGAAUCUGUUGUUGCUGAACCUUGCUGAUUGUUUAAUUCUUCUAUUGAAUUGAUGAUCAUUAUCAGGAUUUCAUUUUGCUUUCUUUUUUUGUCAAUCGUCACCACGCAUCCAUAUGGAUCUAAGAGAAGCCACAUUAGUGGCAACGUGAUGGGAGGCGGCAAGGUUUGAACCCUUGACCUCCCACCCUACAAAUACAUGUGGUGGCCAACUACUUUAUCUUCUAUGGGUUAAUUGGCUGCAUAGUUGUAAUAAUUGAAGAAAGUCUUUUUUGAAGGAACAAUGCUUUUAUAAUUUGCCAUAUUCAUGAUGGUGGAAAAUAGAUGUGAAUCAUGCUUGGAUUGUGAGAAAAUUUUUACCCAAAUCAUGAAGUUUGCCAGAAAAACUGGAGGAGAUAACAACCUUUUAUCAUGGACUAUGUUAGCCCUUCAGAAUAUAUUCUUUAACCACCUAAACUGUGCCUUUUGAAGAAGCUUUCAAGAAUUUACUAAUUACACUGUUAUAUCUUACGCUCGGAAGAAGACAGGGUAAGGUUUAGAAAUGGAGUAAGAAAGAAACAAAAGUAAGUUGUUGGAGAAAAUGAAAGCAUCAUCUAAAAAGAGUUGAGUGUAGCAUGAGAAAAAUAUAUGAGAUGAGAUUUGUAGUAGCACUCGCCAGUGCGUAUGACAAAUUGUGGGGCUAAAGCACGAUAUCAGACUAGUCGGAAUUUCUUCAUUGCUGUUGUAGUCAGUUAGAUAUGGAUUUCUUUGAAGUUUGGCAGAAAGGCUAUCCACUUCCUAUGCUGCUCAUUAUAGUGUUUGGUGAGCAUAUGAUGGUAUAGAUUUAGCCACUGUCUAAACUUUAAAACAUUGUUAUGUUCAUUGCAAGCAAUAGUGACAAUAACUUGGUUGUUUUACUCUGAUAUCAAUUGAUAUUUUGUAUCAAUGUAAACUUACAGUUGCUUCUUUUGUGGCCAAUAAAUUGAAAUCUUUAAGGUUUGCUGAACUAGUUUACAGAAGCAUCAUAAUUACUGGAUUUUAUUGUGAAUUAUAGUAAAAGCAUUUUAGAUUUGAAGCUUAAGAAGCAGCAGUACUUUCUGCUUAGGUUUUGACAGCUUUCCUUUUCUUCAGUACUGCCAUUGCUAUUUUGCAAUGUUUACUGCAGUUACUUUUAUUUCCCUGUAUUUCUAUUACAUAAAUAUUGCAUUUAUAGGUGAACUAAAAGCAUCUGCCAAGUUCCGUAGACUUAAAGAUCAAGUCCUUCAGGUCCUACACAAUGGUCCCAAACCUGGACCGGCCAUUUUUGUCGCUCAGUGUCUGUACAUUUUGCCCAUAUUUGAUACAUAUCGCAACGGAUUCAGUCACUUGAUAAUAUCUGCUCUUCAUCACUUUUUGAAAUCGGGAACCACUCAAGAAGACAAACUAGAAGCAAAACUGCUAGCUGCCAAAUUAUUCCUGCUUAGAGUUCAAUACAGUCUGGUUCAUGAUGAAAAGGUUUUAGUAAAGAUCCUUGAAGUAUUUGAUGUAAGUUUGACAGAUAUAGAGAUAGGCAUGCAAGAUCUGGAUGCAAAAGGUGACGUUAGUCCAGACACAGCAAAAGUACUUAUCGAGCAGUAUGUAUCCAAGCUGAUAGAAUCUGAGUCAUUUAUGACAGCAAUUUCUUUAUUAGAACGCUUCUCCAUUCAAUGGUCUGGAGAGCCUUUCCUACUACAGAUGAUUCAAUGUAAUAAAUUUAGAGCAGCAGAAAGGUGGGCUACAUUUAUGGGAAAACCAAUGCUGCAAGUGCUUGUACAGGAAUAUGUUAAGCAAAAACAACUAAAGCCUGCUUAUGAUGUUAUAAAGGAAAACAAUCUUUGCCAGGAAUUUCCAGAAGUGUGUCAACAAUAUAAAGAAAGGCAAGUUUAUUUUACUCAUUUCUUGCUGGCAUCCUGCAUGUUUCAAUCUUCCUAUGGUCAUAAUUAUUGUAAAAAUUUACUUAUUGUACUCGUCAUAUUGAUAAGUAUGAGUUCAAAUUGCAGCUUGCUAAAGAAGCUAGCAGAACAUGGCUGCUGGGACAAUGCAGAGGCAAAGGCGAAAGGCAAUAGACAAUAUUUGGAGUAUGUGGUAGGUGGUGUACACAAUAGAAUUAGAUUAACUCCGUGGAUAAUUUUGUCCUUAUUAUCAAGAAAAACAAAGGAAAGGCUUUUCCCUAAUUCUAAGUUGUUAGUGCACAAUAGUUUGCUGAAACCAACUUACUGUAGUUGACCAAUGACUUCCUUCUCUUCAAAAAUAGUUGUCUGAAAUUGGAUUACCACCAAAGUUUGGUAGAGUAAUUGUGUAAGUUUGUUGAGAUCCAUUGUGGCCUGGGUACUACGUGGAUAUAUUUCUACUUUCCUCAUCUUGGACUUCCUCAAUCCUGUAGGAUUAUUAUGGUGUUCUACAACUAGUGCCAUAAUAAAACAUAUCAAGGGAAAUAUAUGUUCAUCUUCCCUGACAAAUAUUCUUAUGCUCAAAUUAAGAAAAGUUUUGGAGAUGUUUCAUAGAAGCUAUCGUAAACAUUUAGUCAUGCUUUGCUUAAUGAAUAUAGAGGUGAUGUGUCUGAAAGGAUGAUAGAGAAGAAUCUGUUUUCAAGUUUAUUCUGGCUUAUUGGUUAGGAUUUUGCUUUAGGAUUGAGCACGUCAGUUUACCAUUGUAUCAUCCUUUCACUGUGGUUCAGGUUCCAAAAUGUAAAGGUCCUUGUAGUGGAAUGAACUUGUUAAAAAAUCUUAAGGUGAUUAUUGUAGCGGACAGUAAUUGCUCCUUCAAUUUGGCUUAACCACAUGACAGUUGCAGGAAGAGCCUUGGAGAAGUUCUGGUGUUGUGGAAUUCGUGGUACUGUGGGUCGAUUAAUACUCCGCUGAGGGAGAGACUUAUUUAGAAUCUAGGGACAUUUUUUGCUUGGUGUUGUUAAUAAUUUUCUUUCUUUUCCUUGUUUGAUCUUCUCAUCUCUGAGGCUGCAUUUGCCCAUUCCAUCUGUUCUUUGUCCCCCCCCCCCCUCCUAAAAACCCAAAAAAAAGUCCAUCUCUUCCAAUUCACCCACUGGUAUUAAUGUGCACCACUCAUGUGUAUGUCAUUUGUGUGUGUGAGAGAGAGAGACACACAUGCACAACACAGAGAGAGAGAGAGACAGACUGAGAUUGAGUCAAAGACAGCUAGAGCUUUUCUUAGAAUCCUCCAAAUUGAGGAGCUUAUAGACUGGCUAGUCACUUCUCUCUUGCACUAAGCCACUGGGCCCACAGCAAGGACUAAAUUUCGUUAUUUUUCUUCCAGAUGGUUUGAAUGUAUAAUCUGAUAAAUGUACACCAUUAAGCAGAGGCUGAGAAAUUAGUUGUUAUAUUUUCUUUUAUUGAAUAAUGAGUCACUACCUACCUAUUCACAAUCGUUGACAAUAAUUCUUACUUCAGCAUCAUGCAUAUAUAAAGUUCCACAUUUUUGCUUUUAAAAGAAAUAUUUGCCAUUAAAAUUUCACAUGGUGGAAAUGUUAGUAACUCCAUACAGUUCUUUGGUAAACUUCAUAGAUACAGAAGUUGUGGUCUGCAAAUUAUUGUGCAUGAUUUUUGAUUUUUGCUUCUCUUGAGACCUAUGUAGUUUAUAAUAUUUUAAUAAUUUUUACAUUUUAAGGUAUAUUUGGCAAUGGAAGCAGGCUACGUAGAGAAAGUUGAGGAACUCUGCACGAAAUACUCACUUGAAGGUUUCGAGAAUGUCAAAAGUAAGCUGGAUCUCCAUUUCUGUACUUGAUUCUUACAGCUUUCUUAAUAUGCAUGAGAAACAAAUUGGUUAAGUGUUACCUGCAAUAAUUUAUUCACUCCAUUCUUAUGUUUCUAACUGGUUCUUGCUUGGUUUACUUAUAAGGCAAUUUUAUUACUUAAGAAGAUGCCAUCAUGCAGAUUUGAUUUGAAAUGAAGUAUGUUGCAUCUGCUUACUAUGACUGCUAUUAAUUUGUAAAAUGCAAGUGCAUUGAAUUGUUUUGGCAAUGCUAAGCCACAGCAAUACAGCAUAAAAGUUAGCUUAAUGGUUCCGAGCUGGCUAACUUUUCUUUUCACAUUGUUUACAUUUGUGAAUUCGAAAUCCUUAUCUGUUGAAUCUUCAUUUGAGUUGACGAUGAUGCAAUGAUCUGAAUAUAGCGUCUUUUCCUUCGCCUCUCAUCAGUUGUUUUCUGUGGUUUUACAUCUGCCAUCAUCCAUGCACAGCUUUGAACAGCUUGUGCAUUGAUAUUAGGUGGAGUGGAGAUUUUGUACCAGAUAAGCAAAGAAUAACACAAACUCAUAAAAGAGUUAGUAAAUGCCUUUUAAAGUUAUAUCCCCAGUAUCAGAUAUUUAUUGUAUUCACUGCAUCGAUUUUCCUAUCAAAUUCCAUAAAAUACUUAAGUUAGCAGCCACUCAAACAUCCUGUCCUUUUACAAACAAGGAAAUGGUUGGUUAUGAAGUUUUAAGGUUUGAAAGAAGAAUUUGGUAGUACUUUGGAUGCAUGCAUGUGCUUGUUUCUCUUUGGGGUGGGGGUGGGUGAUAGAUAGAGAGAGAAAUAUAAUGGAUAACAGAACCUUGUCAGAAUAGAUAUAGAAGGUCCUUUCUUCUAGUCCCUCUCCCAUUGCCCAAGUUUUAACAGGAGUGCUUUAUGUCAUGAUUUGCAAGUUUCAUUUGUAAGAAUAUAUCUGCUCUGAAACUCCGCCGGCAUUUGGUCUCAAUUUUUAUCUAGGCAGAGCCGCUUUUUCUGCUUUACAGAGAGCAUGAGAUGAAAGCACCUAAUUUUGAAAUUUUCAGAUCACGAUUCCUACAAAUUUUCUUUUGCGUUUGUAGAAUUCUUCAGUAGUCUUCUUGUUAUAAGGGUACAUCAUCCACUUCAGAUACCAACGAGAAAUUAUUAUUUGUUUGUAGACCAUUUCAUUUGUUUAAUUAACAUUAGAAUAAGUAGUACUUAAAUCUAUUUGCUUCAUUAUUGUUUUGCAGAGACUGAAGCAAAUCUCAGAAAGAGUUGCUACCUGCAUCUUGAUGACCUGUGCAUCGAGGAUGUAGUGUGGGUUGAUGAAGUAGAUGGUUUGCGUGAUGCUACAUUCCACCUUGAGGAAUUUAAAGUUGUUGGCCUUGAUUCUGAAUGGAAGCCCAAUUAUGAAAAGGGCAGUGCACCAAAUAAGGUAAUGCUAUGGAAUUGUCUGUUUUGGUGCUUUUAAGAAUUAUGCUUUGUCACGAAGACUGAUAAUUGUUUAGUACAUGAUUUAGCUGGAGAUGUUUUGAUGCUGAUGACAAAUGUACCUUAACUAAAUUGUCUUAACUUCUUAAAAUGCAUCCGCCAGAAGGAUGCACGGGUAUUUUCUUACCAAAACCCUUACAUUUUUAUGCUAGAAUAAAGAGAUUUUUCUCAAAUCCUGCUGCUGCAUACGAGCAACAAUAUGUUCUUAAUGUUUGCCUGUUUAUUGAUGGAUGUCUUAGAAAGCAUUAGUUCUCUCUAUUGUUUUCUUCUGCUUGGAGGGUUCAAAAAUCUUUUCCAAGUUAUAAAGAAAAUGCUUGAUGUUUCACGGAAUUUAUUUUAUUUUAUAAGAGAAAGUGAUCUAAAAUUUGUUGCUCAUUGGCAAAACAAAUAAAUAGAGGACGAAUUUGGAGUACUAACAUAACUUCUACUUGUAAAAUUAGUGGAUGAGGAAAACUGAAAGAAUGAAAUUGUAAGUUGAUUUGAAAAAAAAAAGGGUCUUAUGACUAGUAGAGAAAAAGGAUUCGUUAGCAUGUGCUCAAGAUAGUAUGAGAACAAAAACUUUGCCUGUUUAGUCGAACUGGGGAAAAAAAAAUGGUCUUAUGACUAGUCAGGGAAUAUCCUUAUUCACUAUUCAGCCUUGCACAAGCUUCUAUCAUAGGCCAGGAGAGGAAAAAUGCUUCUCUGCGUCAUGGUGGCCUUAUGUUAACCUCAGUUCUUAACCUGCUACCCUCUAGCUCUGAGAGAACUAUUGUUCCUAAGGUUGACAUCACUAAAUUGGAUCAUUGUUAAACCGUCUAUAUGCAUUUCAUGUUCAUCUGUGGUUUGUUUGCCAUAGAGAUGUACUGCAUAAAAAAUUUGUUACCCUGUCUAAUUGUAGAACAGGCAAUUUUCUUGGCUUUAAAAUAUGGUACAGUCCUUUCUCUCCCAGAGUCUCCAAUUUCACAUGAUCCUUGACUCCUCAUCUAUCCUCUCCCCCUCCCCAACAAAAAAAAUAACCAAAAAAAAGUAAUUCCUUUGUGUACCUUUAGGUGUUUGGGUGGGGGUUGAGGGUGGAUCUUCUGCAAGAAGCAAAUUCUGUUAUGUAGCAGAACAAUUUUGUGGUGUUUGAUUGGUAGUAUGUUUCGAAAUCUAACAGUGCUAGACAUGCUCUUAUCGUACAUAUUGCUUUUUCUUUUCUUUUUUUUCUGCAAUUUCUGCUUGUUUUGUGAAUUUUCAGGUCUCUAUCAUGCAAAUUGCUUCGGAAACCAAGGUCUAUAUACUUGACCUGAUAAAGUUAUAUGAUAGUGAUCCUGAUAGUUUAAAUCAAUGUCUAAGCCGAAUAUUGCAUUCUUCCAGGAUUCUGAAACUUGGUAAGUACAAAACACUCCGCAGAGCUUUACAACAUAAUUAUUCUUUACUUGUACAGAUAUUUGCUUCUUCUUUAGUCAGGAUUAAACCAGUUAAUAUUCCUGAGUUUUCUUGUACUACAUUCCCAUUUUAUGAUCUGACUCGUAUUUAUUACCAUGAAACUGUUGGAUUAGUAUUGGCUUAUCUGUAUAGUCUGUUGUACCGAACCAUUGUGUCCGAUUUUAUCUAAAAGCACUGCAAUUUCUUUCUUUUCUAAAGUAGCAAGCAAUUUCUGUCAUAUUUUGGUAGUUAGAUUUAUACGUCAAAAUGGUACUGGUGGUUUUGACAUACAAAAUUUGUAGGCUACAAUUUUCAGUGUGACAUCAAGCAGCUUGCUUACUCUUAUCAAGAUUUGCAGUGCUUUGAGCACUAUGAGAUGCUGCUUGAUAUUCAGAAUGUGUUCAAGGAACACCGUGGUGGUCUCUCUGGUCUAGCAGAGGUGAUUCCUAAAUUUGGCAUCUUCAAAGCAUGCUCAAUAUAGUAUCUCUUAUGCCAUUCCUUCAAGUUUCUUUUGCUUAUAACAUCUCAACAUAUAUUGGCAUCAAUUACUGAACUUUCUGAUGGACAUGAAUAAUAUUAAUGGAUACAGAAAGUACUGGGACGAGGCUUAAACAAAACGAGACGAAAUAGCAACUGGGAGAAGAGACCUUUAAGCAUUUAUCAGGUGUGUGAUCUUUUAACAUUCUUUUUUAAUCGAUUUCUGUGGACUCAACUUUUACUCACAAGUAAGAACAUAAAUCUCAAAUGUCAAUGGAGGCGUGGACCUGUUCUAAAUACUGGUACCACGCUAGCAGAUUGAGGGAACGAAGUGCAUCUAUUAAUCUUUGAAGUAUCAACUUGGGCCAAGGUUCUCAGCAGUUAAACCACAGUUGUUGCGGAUAGAUCACUGAUUUAGAUUCAAUGUUUCAUACUCAUUAACUUUUGCGGCUCUGAUUUUCAGAUUAACGUCAUGUUGAAUGCUUGUGCAGUUGGAGUAUGCUGCUCUUGAUGCUGCAGUUCUCCUCCACAUUUUCCGGCACGUUCGUGACCAUGUACAGCCUUCAGCUGUUGCUAAUGAACACAGCAAAAUUGAGUGGAAAUCUUACAUUGUAAGCACAAUAUUAUCCCUCGCCGUGCUGUGCUAGGUCAUCAAUACUGAAGAAAGGUUUGCACAAGGGAAGGGGCAUACCCCUUAUUGUGCUGGUUAGCUAUAAGUUAAGUUUUCUCAAUUUCCUUAAAUAGAUGUUUUCCUCCAAAACUUUUCAGGUUUCGCACAAGGACAAAGUUGGAAGAAUCAAGAAAAGGAGCUAAGAGCAGAAAAGAGAAUGUUCCUGAGGCAGAUGAGGGUGCCCUGAAAUCUUAACAAUUCACCUGAGGAACAUAAUGCUAGGGACGCCUAACCUAUAUUUCAGCCGAAUUCUCUUUUAGCUGUGACAGAUGUUUUCUGUUUUGACAAAUAGGGGAAGAUCUUUGCUAUAAUCUUUAUGAAUGUGCAUGUGAAACUUAUUUAGCAGGGUAAACAAUGCCUGCAAAUGAACGCUUUUAGUCCUCAAACGGACUAAUUUUUUAUUUUCUAGACCCAAAGAGGUUCAAUUAAAUGAGUAAAUCUAUGGGGGCUUAAACGAUAACUCCCUUCCCUAAUCUUGUGUCUUACAUAAACAAUGAUCUCUUAGCAAAUUCUAUAUGUUGGUGUAUUUUCUCGAUUGUACCUUUAUGUAUACGCUGGCAAUUAGAAUUCUUGAUCGUUAUCCCCUUUUCUAAUUUCUACCUAUGUUACAUUCGAAUUCUAGUCUCAUUAACGUCUUCUUGGGGAGUCAAGGAGUCAAAGAAUUCUAAAGGAGUCAAAGAAAUCUAACUUUUCAUUACAACCGUUCCUUGGCAUCUCUGUAUAUAUCUAUCUAUAGCCUGAACUCUCUCUUCUCCUCCAUCUCCUCUCAACAAACCAUCCGGAGAAGAGAGAGACAGAGGAAGAGGAAGAGAGAGAGAGAGAGAAUGACCGAGUUCGAGGCUAGUCACCGGAGGACGGCAGGGCAAACUCUUGAAAUCAUCAAUGGUAAAGCAUAUGGUGCAAACAAUGUACAUGUAAUCCGAUCAAAUAAUCAUUUUGCAAACCAAGCUGGAAGAUAUCAGGUUACGGAGCCAACCAGCACCCCAGCAGCAACACCGCCACCCCCACCACCACCAACGUCGUCGUCUCGUUCGUGGAUCGAUUAUCGCCAAUUGAACAGAAGAAAGAGAAUUGCUACCUACAAAUAUUACGCAUACGAAGGCAAGGUGAAGAAUUCUAUCAAGAAAGGUUUCCGUUGGAUCAAGCGUACCUGCAGGAAAAUAGUUCAUGGAUAUUAGGUAUAGAGCUAGACGUGAAAUAUUGAGUUAGAUGAUCAUGAAAAAGGGUUUGUACGCUUGGGGUACAAUAUCACUUUCCAUGCAUGCAAGGUCCAUAUUUAUUUGCCUGUGCUUUUUCCUCCUACUUAUAUCUUCUUUCAUUGUCCAAUAUUCUAUGCUUUGCAGAACAUGAGAUCUCGCAAAAUAUGUUGGCUUUAUUUUUUCUGUUUCCUUGAGAAUUACGUAGAAGAAUGUGGUUUGCUCAUUGAAUAUGAGAUGAUCAAAAUCUACCCCGAAUGAGGGAUUCAAUUGCCAGAAAGCGAUCUUGGCAAGGGGUAGAUUCAUAUUGAAGCUAUUUCCUUUGUUUUCUUUUUUGUUUUUGGCACUUUUCAUGAUUUGUAUAUAUUACGUUUUUCCGAAUUGUUGAAAUGUAAAAGUUCAAGCAGCAUGGCAUAAUAUCUCCAUUAUGACGUGAUACAUAAGCUCUGUAAUGUGUGAUUCCACUAAUAUUAAUCGUAAUCAAUUUAUGUUCGUUUAUCUUUCUAAGUUUUGAUUAAUUUCAUAAAACCUAGGAAUGAAGAGCUAGAAAAUGUUGCAAAUGGGAAGUUGUCGAAAAAAAAAUCCAAAACAAUUUUCAGGUUCUUGUCUGUUUGGGUAUAUCAAUUGUUAGAAAGUUUGCAGUCAAAUGACACAAUAAUCAACAGUAGUUUAAGCAUGUUCCAUUUUCUUCCUAUUAGGUUGGAAUUCUACACCUACUAUUCUCAUACUAUAGCAUAUUGGACUGCUAGUCUAGAGACUUUACUCGAUUUAGCGUGUCAUGCCGCUUAUUUACCCAAUCUGUGUUUCAACUUCCAAAUCUACAUAAAGCAAAUAUGCCUUCAAGCACUUUUGACAGAGUAUUUCUUUCAAGUUUAAAUAAAUUUGUUAACUCUUUUUGUCCCGAGAAAGUUCCAAGUGUAAAGGGGGGAUACAUAAUUUAUAUCGAUAAUCAAUGUGUUCAUGUUUCAUGUGAGUUCUUGAUAGACUGUUGGUAACUCACGAAACAUCAAGUGAAAUAGAGAAGGACAAAACAUCUAGACAACCCUCAAACUAUUAAAUUGAUCGAUUUUUAGCCUUUCAACUAUUAAGUAUAUAUUUUUGCUUCUCGAGCUUAUAAAAGGGUAUGUUCUCCACCCUUUAAACUAGAGAUAUAUUUAGAAAACUCCCAUGAGGUAUAUGUUAAUAUCACUUGGCAUCUUUGAAGUUUCAAAAAUAUCAUUUAACUCCUACGUCAGUGAGAUGUGACCAUUGAUCACUAUCAUAGCAUACGAAUUGAAAAAAUUAUCUUCACUAAUUUAACAAUGUUUGGGCAAAACAUUAUGGAAGAGAAAAUUUUUAGGCAAAACAUAAAUUUUGUGUUAUAAUCAAAUUGGUAGAAAAUUUAAUAUAAGACAACAUAAAAGAGUAAAACUGGGAGAAAAGUGAUUAUUAUAAGAAUAUUUUAAUGAUAUGAGAGUGAGAUUGUUAUGAAAAAUACGAUUUUAGGGGUGGUUAGUGAUAUUUUUAAGUUUUAGGAGUGCCAAGUGAUAUUAUUAAUACACACCUCAUAGUAGGUUUUUAAAUUAUCUUUAGUCAAAAGGACGGAGAACAUACCCUUUUAGAAGUUUGAGGGGCAAAAAUAUGCACUUAAUAAUUAGAGGGUUAAAAAUCAACCAAUAUAAAGAACUAUAAUAGUUUGAGAACCAUUCAGAUUUUUUGUGCAGUAAAGAACUAUGGGUAUCAACUCUUCAUCAUUGAUUAAAACUAGGGAUAAAGGUGACAAGGGGCCGAACGGUUAUCGGAAAACCGUUCAGAGCGGUUUUGUAUAAAAUGUACAUAGCAACAUAUAACUGUAAAAUAAAAUUUUGUAAACCCUACACAUAAUGUGAAAAAAUGAGGUAUAAGAUACAAUUUGAAUCUUAUAUUUUUUUUAGCCAAAUCUUAACCAUGAACUUUCAGGAUCUACAACUGUUCCUGCCUCUCUUCCGGGAUAAAGGUAUACAAGCCUGUUAUUUCCUUUUUGGUUGUUGGUAUGGUUGCCUGUACCCCACCCCAUUUAGUGAAGUUAGAUGUACUUCCUUCCUCAUUUCCUCUUAGGUUUGUUGGAGCUAAUACUUAGAUUAUAGGUGUAACGAUCUAAUUAAAAUGCUAACAAAAUGGGUUUUCAAUUUGACUUUAUUGGGUUUACUAGUGGUGACGUUUGAUGUAGAUCUCAACAAUGAGGGGGGAAAAAUGCAUUGAACAUAUGUUUGAUUAUAUAGAUCAACUUUAGCUACUGUUAAAAAAAAAUAAUGCAUUGCCCAAAACUUGUUACUUGAAAUCGUUUUAGGCUGUGUUCUAUAAUGGAAGUGAGUAAAAAAGAAAAAAAAAAUCUGUUUAUUUGUUUAUAAAAUUUUGAUCCAACAAAGAGGAGAAUGUUUCUCAUCUGCCUUGUUAAUUAGUUUUGGAACAAAUUUACGAGACCUCAAAUUUCACUUACAAAACCAAAAGAAUCACAAUUAGUCCCAAAAUGUAAACUUGUAUCACAAAUCCCUAUAGUAAAUGCUUGGCUUAAAAUUUGUGAAAAACAUUAGGAUGCAAUAUAUUGACAGGGAUAUUAACUUGGUAACUGUGAGGUCUCGAAUUCGACUUUCAAAUUCUUCUUUUUCUCCUUUUCCCCUUGUAAGAUUUGAAAUCUCGCCAUGAACUCAAAAACAACAACAAAUUCAAACUUAUUGAGAAUUAUUCAAAUUUCCAUUUUAAGUACAGUAGCUGAUUAGUAUAGCUGUUAAUCGAACAGGAUAACUCGCGAGCCGAGCUUGACCCGGCUCGAUAAGGGCUCGACUUGGCUCGUUUAUUGAGAGAAACGAGCCGAGCUCGAGUUCAACUGGAUACUCGUUUAAUAGACGAGCCGAGCUAUGCUCGACUCGUUUAAAGCUCGACAGGCUCGAAUAGUAGGGGCAUUAGUGUCAUUUCAUUGUGUAUUUGAUAUUCUAACCUAAUUCAUUCUCCCGUUUCGAGCUUGAUAAGCUCGGCUCGUGGUUUUCACUCGAGUUCGAGCUCGAGCUCGAGUUUUCUACCGAAUACACCGAGUCGAUCUCAAACAACUUGUGAAGCUCGAAUUACUAAUCGAGCGAGCUCGAGCUAGCUCGAUUAGAGGUUCGAGGCGAGCUCGAUUAGCAUGUGCUCGAGCUCGACUCGCCUCGUUAACAGCUCUACUGAUUAGGCCUCGGCUUUAGGGAUUCAAAGUUAAGGCUCUAGAAAUUAGGGGUUGGAUUUAUUUUGAAUACUUUGUCCAAGAUUAAAAGACAAAUAAAGAAUGAAAGAGAAAUUGUCCUUAACAUUGAACAACUGGAUUAGCCCAAGCGGCUGCGGGAUAGUUUUGGGCUUUAUGUGGAUCGUAGGCAGGGUAGAAGUCCAUACUAUGAUCAAGCCCAAGAGCGCCAGAACUGUUGCUAGACGACGUCGUUCAUGCUGGCCAAAGGUUCAUGUAAAAGCAUGAAGCUUGAAAUUUCUCAUAUUAAAAUUUCAUAAAUCAACGCAGGUUUGUGAAAAGCGCGGGAAACUCAAGCCCCAGGCCACCGCCGGCGACUGUGAAGCCCCGGAAACCUAGUUUAAUGGACGAGCACGAUCUUGAGCUCGAAAAAGUGAAAUUAAUCAGCUUAGCUGUCGAAUUCGGAUUCGAUGAAUACUCCGCUAAGAAAUGCUUAGAUCGCCUCAUUGAACUCUACGGUAACCCCAAUUCUUCCUUUGCAUUUUCCAAUCAUUUGAUUUUCAUACUGUUAUAGAGCAUUGUUUCAUUCUAACUUUGUUAAUUUUUGAAGGCGAGGAGGGCAGAGAUUUCAUCCGUGUGGAGUAUUGCGGCGAUGAUUUUUUGGCGGCAUUGGCGGAAUCCAUGCGAGACACGGAGGACUGGGAAAAUGAUGAUUUUCAAGCAAUGGAGUCUGAGGCUUGUGGAGCUUUGGCCGAAAUGCUGGACAAGGAUAUUAAAAUUCGGGUCGAAAGAAAUGAGGAAAGAAAGGAUAAUGGGGGUGUUAUCUCUGAAAAUUCUGUUCAGGUUAUUCUAGAUUCUUCUUCAGGUGAUAGUGAGAAAGAUGACGACGAUGAUGAUUUUGUAAUUCCUAGAAAAAAUGGUGGUAACAGCAUUACAAUUCAGAGUCAGGGCCUUGAUAGACGUUCGAGUAAAAGAACUUCGAUGUCUGAGGUAUUAGAUGCUUUUUUGAGUCAGUUUACCUUUUUCCAAUUUAAUUGUGUAAAGUUGGUAAUUAUAUUUGAUACCAUAGCUUGUUGGGGGCGCGGGUGAGGCAGGGGCAGAAGGUGGAGGUUUAUUAAGGCAGUUUUGAGAGAAGUUUUAUCGGAGUGAGUGAUACGCACCUUUUGCAGUAGUUUAUGCUGAGUCAAUGGACAAGUUAUAAUUUUACGCUCUGGAAUUAUGUUAAUUAUCUUUUGUUGUAGUCCACUAGGAAUUUGGAAAAUAACGGGCAUUGUGUGGAGGUCCCUUUUCCACAUUUCAAGUGAAUUAAAGUGGGAUUUUUGAGAUUAAGGUUUUGGAAUUUGCACGAUUGAAACCAAAAAAUAUAUAUACUAGGAGAUUUUCAGUUCUAAUUUAUACGAAGCAAACUUGAAUAUUUUUUUUACCAAUUUUUUUAAUUCAGGUAACAGAAAAGGAGAAUCAUUCGAAUGUGCUUCUGUGUAGUAUUUUAAGUAAAUAAAGCUCAUCUACUCUGUGCCUUUGAGUUGUAUUAACAAGCCUUCCGGAUUUUAAAUGUGCUGACAGACUUUUUCCUUGAAGGAGUGCAUAAGCAGUGUUACACCUAGUUCAGUUUCAUCCUCAGGGAGAUUUUCAGACAAGACAAAUAACGAACCCAGGACCUUGACAUAUGAGGAGUUGCUGCAUCUGGAUGACAUUGAAUUGGCUAACGUAGUUGUAUUUGGAAACCGUAGCUUUCGGCCUUUACAGUAUAAGGCUUGUAAAGCAUUUCGGGAACAGAAUGACUGCUUUAUCCUCAUGCCAACAGGAGGUGGUAAAAGCCUUUGUUACCAGGUCAGGUUCUUGCUUUCUUAAUGGGCUUUCAUCUUGCAAUUUUACCCGAAUUAACAGACAAAAGUUUUUCAUAGAAAUGGUUGUCUCAAAUUUAUGAUUUGUAACUUGUUGGCCAGUUUAAGUUUUUUCCGAAUUCUGCGUUGAACUUACAGCACUCUAAUUUGCUUUAUUUGGUCAAGAAAUUUAUUUUUUUAUUUCCCUACAAUCGUUAAGCAAGUGAUCUCUGCAGGCACAGAAAACUGCCAUAGGCAUUAGUGUUUUUAUUCUUCUUUACUGCAAAAAAGGUCAACCAGUCGAACUGUCUUCUUGUUUAUUUGGUUUUGGUAUGUAUAUGAAGCAUGAGGAUAUGUCUUGCCUUAAGUUGGAAGAAUAAUUUUGUGUCCUUUUUCUCCAAGUUAUAUUUUUCUAUUUUUGUUCUGUUGUAUAUUUGAAUUGGCAGCUGAAAGAGGGUUUCUUGUAGUUGAUUUAUUGGCUACAAAGACUGCCUUCUCUAAUUGACUUUCCUCUGACACUAGGGUUAGUUAAUUAAGGUUGCUCUUUAGGCUUGCAGUCAAACAUCGAUUUGUUCCAACUUAAUGUGAGAGUUGAAUGAAUAUGGUACAUAACUAAAUUAUAUGUGUGAUUGUGUAAAGGAAGAAUGGUCUUUUUUCAUUUAGGUAUUAAACAUUGCUGUGUCAACAGUCGCUGUUCUUAUAAUGUUAUUGCACUGCAGCUUCCAGCCAUUUUACAACCAGGGGUUACAAUUGUUAUAUCCCCACUGCUUUCCCUCAUUCAGGACCAAAUAUUCACCCUGAACCUCAAGUUUGCCAUACCAUCUACUUUUCUAAAUUCUCAACAGACUCCUUCACAAUCCGCAGCAGUAUUUGAAGAAUUAAGGCAAGGAUCACUUUCUUUCCCCUUGCUAUAAUGUAUGUGUUUCUUUUGUUUCCUUUGCUUUUUUUCAUCUAUAGUGAAUAAGACUCACAAUUUCAUGAAGUCAAACGUCAUUUGUUUCUUUUCUUUAGGAAUUUGCAUCCAAAACUUCCAUUAUCUUAACAGACCCUUUCUUCAUCAAAAAUUUUCGAGUGUUGAUUUUUCUCUAUUAAUUGCUUCAAUAGCUAAUUGACAACUUGUGCAGCGAUUGUCUACGUAAUGGUUCUUUGUGUUUGAGUAUGACAGUUAUCAUUCAUUUUAAUGUUUCCAGGAGAGUUAGACCAUCAUGUAAGCUACUUUAUGUAACUCCUGAAAGAAUUGCAGGAAAUUUACCAUUUCAAGACAUCCUAAAAUGUCUGUACAGGAAGGUAAGCUCUAAGUCCAUUGUUUAGCUUGUCAGAUCUGUGAUUUAAUGUCAUGUGCUUUUGGAUCAGUUAUUCUGAUUUAAGAUACUUUUGUGAUUUGGCAGGGGCAAUUGGCUGGAUUUGUUGUUGAUGAAGCACAUUGUGUAAGGUCUGUGUGUGGGAAUUCUUCAGAAAAUCAGAGUAGAGGAAGUGUCUUAAUCAUGAAUGCCAAAAUUGGAAACCAAUAAAGAAAUGAAACUCAUGUCUGACGUUUCUAAUUAUCAAUUGCAGUGUAUUACCGAAUGGGAUAGAUGUAUUUCUUAAAUCAAACUAAAUGGCUGGAAAUUCUUAUGUUGCAUCCCUUAAAAGUUGUAUCCAAUGAACCAAUUGAAUUUAGUAUACUAUUUCAGGAGAUAUUUACUAUCGUUUUAGGGAACAUAGAAGAAGGAAAUUGCGUGAAAACUUGAGAGCAUGAAAAUAUAAGUGAAAUUUGGGACAAUAUCUGGCUUGUUCUGAUGAGGUGAAAUGACCAUCUAGUAAUCUGGUUUACUCCACAUUUCAGCCAAUGGGGACACGACUUUCGUCCAGAUUAUAGAGUUUUGGGAUGCCUCAAGAGGAACUUCCCCAGUGUUCCUUUAAUGGCAUUAACAGCCACAGCAACCGAAAAAGUUCGUGAGGUAAAUUUGUGACUUCAUCCCAACAUUGUUGUUUGUCUUGUUUGCUGUUUGUCUUAGGCUCAUUUUUCUCUGUAGGACAUCUUAAAUGCCCUUGCAAUUCCUCGUGCACUCGUUCUGGAGAUGAGCUUUGACAGACCCAACUUAAAGUAUGAAGUACUUGAGAAGAGCAAAGAACCACUCAAGCAGCUUGGAAGAUUACUGUUGGACCGUUUCAAGAAUUUAUGUGGCAUUGUGUACUGUCUUUCAAAAAGUGAAUGUGCAGAGGUCUCAAAAUAUCUUAAUGAAAAAUGUAACGUCAAAACAGAGUAUUACCAUGCUGGAUUGGCAGCUCGUCAGAGGAUAGCAGUUCAAAAGAAAUGGCAUGCUGGAGAAGUCCAUGUUGUAUGUGCCACGAUAGCUUUUGGGAUGGGAAUAGACAAGCCAGAUGUUGUGAGCCCUGCAUACUGUUCUUUAUCUUCUUUGGCUUUUCAUUAUGUGCUAGCAAAUUCAAUGGUUGUUUUUAUUUCAUCAAUGGUUACUGUGGAAUAAGUAAAUCCGUCAUGAAACAGUUUAUUCAAUUGGUUAACACCUGACAUGAUAAAUCUGUGAUAAAAAUUUUAUUUAUCCGUGCAAAGCUUUUGUCUGAUAUGUUGUUGGUCAAAAUAUUUGUCAUAAAUUAUUUGAUGAAGACAUGUUUUGUUUGCAAAGUUUAUCCAGUGUUAAUUUUUGACGUUUGCUUACUUCUCAUACAGAUGCUUUUUGUAUGUCCAGAGGUUCGUUGUUCACAAUACAAUGUCAAAAUCAAUUGAAAGCUAUUAUCAAGAAUCUGGAAGAGCAGGCAGAGAUAACUUUCCUGCUAAAUGCAUUGCUCUAUACCAGAAGAAGGAUUUCAGUCGUGUGGUCUGUAUGUUAAGAAAUGGGCAAGGGCGCAAAAUUGAGAGCUUCAAAUUGGCUAUGGAUCAAGCUCGGAAAAUGCAACACUAUUGUGAACUUAAGGUAAGUAAUUUAAAUUACUAUAUCCCUCAGACCUGCUGCUAAGAAAGUUUCAGCCUUUCUGCUGCAGAAACACACACUCCAGACAAAGUGCUAGUUCAAUUUUUUAAAAUCCAUUUUCUGAUCUUUUGCAGACUGAAUGUCGUAGACAAUACUUAUUAGCUCAUUUUGGAGAGUCCUUUGACCCAAACGGCUGUAAAAAUGGUUCUAGUCCCUGUGACAACUGCUUGAGGGCUUCCUCAUAGAGUAAUUCUGAUCGUGAGUGAAAGCUAUGAUAGGGAAAUCUUUGGGUGCUUACAUCUAUCUACUCGUCCAAAGAACAAGCAAGCAAAAAGGAAAUGGAUUGACAUGUGCCCAAGUCAAUAAUUACAUUAUUAUUGUUCAAUACAUAUCCGGGGCACUGGACACUGGACAGAUGUUCUCACGCUUGUUUACAAGGUAAAUACUUGACGUCUUUUGCCCAAUUCGUUUAAAGUUGUAAACCUGUAUUCCAAAAUGCUAUCAAUGUGACAAAGAAUAGAGAUGGAAUGUGGAAUGUUACUAGCAGUCUGGAAACUUUAGAAUUGUGACUUCUUUUUUUUUUUUUUUGGUGUAGAGCAGGAGGGGGGUGGGAUUCAAGAAGUGGGGAGGAAGUUAGGAGACUAGAAUUCAAAACAUUUAAUUUUGGAGCUUUCAACCUCAACUAUUAAGUCAAAGUCUCCUCGAGAGAAUUGUAACUUAGUAUUUGGUAGAGAGGUAAGGUAUUUAAUGAUAUUUUCUUAUGAUUUGGAAAGAGAGAGAUUUUUAGUCUGAUCCUUUUCGUUCUGAAGAGAGAGGGAAGGCCUCCUGUAAUGUAAUUUCAAGGAGACAGAAGUGCAUGAAGAGCUGGACUAUGGUCAAUAAUCGCUGCUUGCAUCCCAUCGCAUUUAUAUUCUUCUUCUGAAGAAAUGACACACCAGUUCAGAAUCUUGAUGGACGCCUGACUUUAGAUCCAUCCAUCCAAUACACGAGGGCACAUGCACACGUUCAUUGACUUGCUCACUAGUACGCUGUUGUACUACUAUUGUCUAAUGGUAUUAUAGAGCCCCCAUCUGUGAUAAUCGUUGGUUGAAUUUAACUAAUGAUUUGUGCCCUAAUAAUCAUCAGCAUAUUCAGGACCACAACAAAAAAUUAUGAAUUUGCGCACCCAUAAAAUAUGUAAUCUUUGCUACUAUCUUGUAAACUAUACAACAGUUUCUUGAAAAAAAUUCUUCUUUUACUUUUUGUUAUUACGACGUAUAGGGUAUUCAUCAAAUCACUCCAAAGAAGUCCCAUUUGUCGUUGCCGACCAAAGGUGAAGGGGAAAAAAAAAAAAAGAAAGAUUCAUUGAACCCACUCGUCUCUGGCCGGCUCUCAAUAAUCGCAGUCGACGCCCAGUAUGGAAGCUCUUCUUCUGAUAAGUUCUUACAGUGUCAGUGUGGCCUACAGCUUUGACUUUGGAGCCUGCUCCGCCUUUGUUUUUUUUUGUUCUUAAUUAGUAUUAUUUUAGAAGCCACGAUUUUAUGCAGCCUCCAGCAAAAUGGAAAAGAUCUACUACCGAAAUGGAAAAGAUCUACUACCGAAAUUUCAGGUCAUGUUUAGGGGUGGCAACAAGGCGGGGUUGGGGCAGGGGAUCCUUCCCUACCCCCCGCUCCGUUGUCAAAUAACUCCCCCCGUCUCCCGCCCUAUCCCCCGCCCCACCCCCAUCCCGUCUCCCCCCCGGAUCAUAAAUGUUUAUUUAUAAUAAUACAAUUGUAAACAAUGUUAAAUAAGAUUAAAAAACUGUCAAGAUGGAAAUAAAGUAUAACAAGUCAAGUUACAUUCAGUGCGGAGGAAGGGAACCGAUCGAAAUAAAAAAGGGUUAGGGGCAAAACAGGUUGGAAUUGGAUAGCUUAAUCUUGAGGGGGGUGUUAGAAACAAAUCAACAAUAGUCCAAGAAAUUUCUUCAAUUGUUGCGGCGACCGUAAUUAGCGUUGUACUUGUAAGUAAGGGUGCAAUUUUGAGAAAUUUAGAAUUGUAUUAUAUAUAUAUAUAUAUAUUUUAUUGUAUGCGGGGGAUGGGGCAGGUGUAUGUUUCCCCACCCCCGCCCGGCCCCAUUUCAUGCGCCCCAUUGCCAUCCUUAGUCAUAUUCAUCAGAUUAUAAAAGUUUCAAUUUGAUUAUUAAUCUUUAUCCUUGAAGACAUUAAAAACUUUGCCCCCAAAAAUUUUUACAAAAUUGUAAUGAUGUCCUUUUAAGUAUAUUUCUUUAUGGGUCCUGCCUAAAUUGUUUUAUACCAAACUUUCUGUCAAUUUUUUUAAAAUGUAUUUACCAAACACGGUAUUUGUUGCAUUUUGAAAUGUACGGACAUAUGUAACAAAUUCUUUUUUUUUUAUUUAUAAGUGAAGAUUUUGAAUUCAGAACCUAUUUACUUAUAUUCCUUCCACCUUACUAUCCAAUUCAACUCACCUCUAAUUCAAUUAUUUAAUAAAUUCAGUUAUUUGUUAUUCAUUAAAACUUAUCACCAAAAAAAUAUAAAUAUUAUAACUACCCAAGCGAGUCCCUAUCAAUGGUCUUACAACUAUCUAUGUAAGACUUGCAUAUAAUGUUUUUUAAUUUUAGAAUUCGAACUCAAGGGCAGGCCUUCAAAAUUAUCAAGUGAGUCCCAAAUAAUAUCGAUAUAAUUUUAACACAAUAAAAAACCAAAUGUGAGGCUUUAAGCUUUCACGCAUUAGAAGCCUAACAGCUUAAAAAAUUAAUGAAACUGUGAAAAACUUUUGCUACUACACCAAGAAAACAUAAGCACUCGUUAACAGCAUAUUGGAUUAGUAUUUUUUUUCCCUGUCCAUUUGAACGUCUAAAUCUCCAAAUAAACUUGAAUUAAAUAUUAUUUACAAUAAUUAUUGUAACAUUUUUUAAAACAAAAAAAAAUUAAAAAUAUAAAAAAAUGAUUAAAAAAUAUAUUUACAUACAACUAAAUCCUUCUGUAUUAGUACAUCAUUCACUUUCGAUUUAGAACAUGCAAAGUCAAAAUUCAGGAUUUAGUUCAAGAAAUGACUGCGACGGCAGUACGUGGACUAGACUAAACCGUCACACGCCAAAGGAAAUCUUGGACCUACUCCCCAAUUGCCUAUACCCCAUAGAUACAGAAAUAUAUGCGUCCUUUCACUAAUUUGUUUUUAUUCAAUGGAACAGGGAACAACUUUUUCAAAACCCCCCUCCCUCAUCCCCCGCCGGGGGGUCCAAAAAAAAAAAUGAACAGGGAACAAUGACAGAGAGCGACUCCAUCUAAAGAGAAAGGGGUAACAAAAAUAUGAUUUGAGAGCGACUUCGGAGCAACCAUAUAUUAGACACCAGAUAUGUAUUUGACAAGUUUGAGAAAAUGACAUAGUCCUAACUAUAUUUUGGGUGUUUUUCAAAAAUUUAUCUAAAUCAUUGUGUUUGUAAAACUUUUACUAGAGAUGUAGAUGUAUUAGGGUGUUUUCAGGGAUAUUUUUGGGGGAUUUUUUUGGGAUGUCUUUUAAGGAAUUUUUAGCAUUUAAAAUUUCUUUGAAUAUUUUUUAAAAAUUUAUACCAUUCCAUAUCGUCACCGACCUCUGUCAUUCCCUUCCUCUUCUUUCCUUCUCUCUCGUUUCUCUCCCUCUUUCUUCCCCUCAUUCUUUCUCCCUCUCCCUCCUCGUCCUUUUUGCUCCCUCUUCCUCCAUUCCCCUCCUUCAGGCACCCUCCUCCCUCUCCCUCCAUGAUCGAUCACAACCAGAGAGGAAGGAAGAAGGGGGAGAAGGAAGGAGGGGAAGAAAGAGGAGAGAGAAGGGAGGGAAUGGUGAUGAUGGGUGGUGGUGGGUGGUGGCGCGUGGUGGAAGAAGAUGUAGUAGAAUUUUUUUUUUUUAUGUAUUUGUCAGUUAUUUUUGCAUAAAUUGAUGUUUUUGAAGUUAUUUUUUACUAUAACUUUGUAUUUGAAAAACUAGUUUUGAAAAAUAACCAAAUCCAAACAAAGCCAAUUCACCAGAGAAUAAAUAAUGCAUCCCUCUUCCGAAGAUGGAAAAAUUGCCUUGCUCAUUUACUACAGGUAACCAGUAUGAUAGAUACCCAUUUAAUUGAAGUGCAAGAAAAAAAAAAAAAACUAUUUUCAUCCCCAAAAUUCAUGAGAAAAAUUUUCGUUAUAAGAAAUGCAUGCUCUAACAAAAUUAUGUUUACCUCUAAUACUAUGCCAUAGUUAAAUUAGCAAAAAUGACUCCCUUAGUGAUAAUAAGAACAAGCUCAAGGAACCUAAUCAGAGGCCGUUGGAUUUGUGUCGUCGGGACUGGAAAAUGACGCACUCAUGAUUCGUGAUCCUCCUGCAGCUAAAAACGUUGGAAAAUUUGUCCUUGAACCGCCUUUAAAGGUCUGAUUCCUUGUAGCCUAUGAGGACCCCUGAGUGAUGUAACAUACAAUUGUCUUGGUUCCAUGAAAAUGAGAUAGCAUGUGCAUGGUCAAAAUAUAUCAACUAUAGUUUCUAUGUACAGGUCAUAUCUUACAUAAUUAGCUAUUUAUUUCCUGGCAAGUCUCUAUCUAUCUCACUAUGCAGAAUUUUUAUUAAAAAAAAAAAAAAAAAAAAAGCUCCCCUAGGUUUUUCUGCCACCUUCCUUGAGGUUUCGAUGAUUACAGAAAUCUCCCUUACUAAAAUAUAUAUAACUAGGUAACAAGAACUAAUGAUGUAAGUAUAACAAAUCUAGUGAAUACCCCAUAUUGACCCCAUCUCAUCUAUUAAAGAAAUUAAAUAGUUAAUAUUUAUAGGAAGAAAAGUAUCCCUAUAUAAGGGAGAAAUACUGAUGGGAUUUGAUGAUUGGAUUAUUGUGAAUAAAAUUCAAUUGUGGAGAUUUUAGAUUUAAUAGGCUGGUUAGAUGGAGAUCACUAGAUGAGGAGGUGAGUUUAAGUGCUUAUAUAUAUAUAUAUUGCUUAGCAGAUUUUUCUCAUUCUUAUUUUUAUUUGUAAAGCUCUUUGAUUGGAGUUGAAGAUUUUAUGAAAACUAAUAUAGUCUUUUUGUAAUAUCAAAGUUAGUCUAAUUUUCAAAUCUUAGUGGAGAUGAUUGAAAUGGUCAAAAACCUGAACAGAGAUUUUGGAUAUUAUCCCCGUAUACUAAAAACCUUGAACUGCUUCUUUAUGUAUAUUCCGAGCUAAUGAGCAUUAAUAUUCCAAUGCACUAGUGUUAACUUAUCACAAAAAAAAAUAAAAAAGAGAGAAAAAGUGUGGUAAGGUUAACUAGGCGUUAGGCAACGUUAAACACAUUGGAAAAUUACUAAACAGGGUUAAGUGGUGAACCACACUGAACACUUCCCAUCAUAGGGUUAAACAAAAAAAAAAAGGAAUUUUCCAUCAUCUCCAUUUCUGAAGUAUCAGUAUAUACACUAUCAUCAUUAGAUGCAUGAUAGGACUGUCAAUGGGACCGGACUAGCUCGAGCUAGGCUCGUUCAGCCCGAUAAAAAGCCCGAUGAGCUCGACUUUUUAGUGAGUUGGUCUGAGUUUGAAUCUAAACAUUAUGUUCGAAUUAAAUAUAAUAUGAGCUGAACUUGAACCUUAUUAGGCUCAAACCCGAUAUAGGUUCGGCCCUUAAAUUACCUAUAUAUAAAAUGAUAUAUAUAUAAUAUAUAUAUUUUGAUAUUAUAUACAAUUAUAUAUCCAAAUAUAUUAUUAUUAAAUACUAAAUAUAUAUAAAUUACAAAACACAAAAAAUACGUUUAAAAACUCUUACGCAAACUUUCUUGGGAGACAAUAUUGGUAAUGCAUAACUGAAACUUUAACUUUUCUUAUUGAUUGAGUAAAUUUUUGUGUUGACAUAAUAUUGGUUGAUUUUUUUUUAGUCUAGAAACACAAAUCAUCAAACAUGUUUGGAUUCAAGUCACAAAGCUAUGAAGAAGUUCAAAUCUUUGACGUUGUAUUGGUUUAUGACAGCAUGUUUUAUUAUUAUUUUUUAUGUAUUUUGAACUAAUUAGAUAUAAAUAUUGUUGAAAAAUUCUUGGUUUAUAUACUUUUUAAGACCUAUUAUUUGUUCAUAUUUAGUUUUAAUGUUGUAGUCUUGUGAAUGUUGAAUUAGUUUUACAAUUCAAAAGUUAUAAUAAUUCUAUUAAGAAAAUUGAGGAGCAAUAAGUGAAUUUGGGUUAAACUCGAAUAAGGCUCAAAACCCGAAUAUUUUGUGAGUUGAGUAUGAUCAUCACAUUUAUUAACUCGAGACUCACGGCCUGAAUCCCAAAAGUGUUACAAAUUAAAUGAGUUGAAUCUAAACUUAUGAAAGAUCGACUCUUAUGGCCCAAUUGACGGGUCUAAUAUAGCAUGAUAACUCAUUUGAAUUUAAAUUAGAAUUUCAAAUUUUGCUUAUGUAUCAUUGAUAAUAAAUACACUUUUAGUGUAUACUUGUUUGGAUUGUGAUUUUUUGCAGAAAAAUUUUUACGCUCUCUAUAAAUACCUUUUUCAAUCAUUUUUUUAUUUCACAUACAUUAAAUCAAUACAAUACUUUUUAUUUUUUACAAAACUCCUAAAAAUAGCAAUCCAAACGGCUUGAGAAUACUGAGAUUUCGAGGGAAGGGUUAGUUUGGCCAAUAGAGAGCCAAAGGCGCCAAGUGAUUAAAAUGACCUUGGGUUAUUAGUUGAAAGGCUAUUUGCCAUUUUAGACUUUUAGGCGAAAAAAAAAAACUCUGAUAUUGUACUAUUAUAUUGCACGUACGAGUAAUCUGCCGUGACAUGCAAUUUAAAAUACGAGUAACAAAAAGAAACUUUUGUUGUAUAAAAUGUUAAAAAGGGUUCUUCAUGCAAAAUGCGAAAGUGUUUAAAAAUAUAUAGUUUAUGCAUUGAUGAAUUUCUGCAUUCAAAAUAUGGUACAGUGGGAUGGUUUAUAAACAUGUAAGUUUUAGCUAUCCCUUUUUUUUUUUAUUAAAGCAGUAGUAAUAUGGCAACCAAAAGCUUAAACAGUUGAGCUCUAUAUCCAGGCUUCAAAGGUCUUUCUUUUAUUUUUAGUUAUUUCUUUUGUAUGACAAAUUAUAUAUUUUUUAUUUUAUCAUUUUUUUUUGUAUUUAACAUGCCAUGCACGUUGUUUCUUUCCUAGAAUGGAAGGAUGAUAAUUUAACAUCAAUAUGUAUUUUCGCACCAAAAUGGUGAAAUGAUCUUAUUACCUGCCUAUGGCAAAGUGGUGAUAAAUUUUAUUUAAAGCGUCAAAGUGUGGCAAGUUUCAUAACAUAGAAGCCAAGGUGUAAUUAACCCUAAAAGAUAAACGCACUAGUACAUGAUAGAUGGAUUUUUUUUUUUAACCUUCUCUCGUUCCAACUCACAUCCUUUCUAUUCCCAAUUUCUAACUUUUCGAUAUAAAAUUUGAAUCCUGAAUGUAACAGCGAGAACGAUUUUAAAGGCUGAUCUAAUGAUUGAUAGAUGGAUAUUUGAAAAUUCUAGGAUGGUAUACAUUUGUCCUCUUUUUUUUUUUUUUUUUAAGUUUUGAAUCUUGGUGCCCUCAAAAAACUAGAAUUGCAACUCUCCAUACAAAAACUUUUUAGGUUCUAUCACCAUGUCUGCUUACAAGCAAAGGAAAUUAGUAUUAAAAAGGGAGGGAUUUUAAUUGAAUAGUAUUCAAAAGGAGGGAGUAGAUAGUAGUUACUAGUUACGUUGCUAAGUUGGUUGUGCCUUUUAUUAAAGUGCUUAUUUUUCUGGUUCAUGGCGCAAUCGUACGUCAAGGACGAAGCGGAAUAAAUUCUGCCAUACAAACAGACCUGAUCUAAUCUGUCAUUCUUAAGUUGACCCCCCAAAGAGUCAAUCUUCCCUUCUCCAACAAUUGUCAUCUUCUUGGUUUUUAUUUUUUUGGGAUACCUUUCCUCUGAGCAGAAUGUUGCAGUACAUCUCCAACAUUGGGCAGAAUGAAGUUUUUGUCUAGAUACCUUUUGAAAUGAAGAAAAUCAUAUUUCGGUCAGUUCAGCAAAACUGCAUAGUUAGUAUGUAAUACCGUUUCAUUGUGAACAAUUCAACUCGCAUUCAUGUGGUAAAACUUGUUGCACUAUUCCAAAUUUCUACUCAACUUAUUCUUAACUUGAGAUUUUUUUCAGUAAAUAAAUGGUUUUUUCUUAAGUGAAUGUUAAUAAUAGCAGGUGAUUUCAAGCGAAAGUUAAUAAUAGAUUGAGUACAUGGUUAACCUUCUCCAAUAUCCUUCGUACAUAUUGCUUAAGUUACUCUUUUUUUUUUUUUUUUCCAGAAACGAUAGAUGUUUUUAUUGAUAAAAACUUACGUAUUUGAGUAACGGCUCAAAGAACUAUACAACGUGUACCUUUGACAGUUAAGGAGUAACAAAAGUUCUCCCCUCAUAUCUGAAAUUGCCUAAUUGCUUAAGUUACUCAAGAGACAGCAAAUCAAGAAUGUGGGUUUUGCAAAAUUACUUGUGCCAGAGUUUAGUAGGAAGCUGGGAAUGGUUGGGGGAAGAGAGGGCCAGAAACUGCCUCGUUUAGUAGGUAAACAGUAAUAAUAUAGCAUAUACUAGUAUAAGAUAUUGCUAAAAGUCUUGGUUUUCUGAUCUAGCUCUUUGAAUAUUUGUAAACCCUUGUUCAUUGUCAAAAAUCCCGGUAGAAUAAUAGGUUACUAAAAGUUGCAAAAGUGAUGUUUCUCAACAAAAAUUUACUAACUUGAUGAAUAUCAAAGUGAGACGCAAUUGAAUUUCAGAAGAGUUUGUACCAAUGGAAUUGAUUGUACUACUAUUUCAGAAGAGGGGAGCAAAUUGCAGUCUUACCCUCAACUAAACUGAUAAAAAGGGAAAAAAAAUUAAAGAAAAGUUAAUAAAAUCUUGAAGCUGGCAAAAUCUGAUUCUCCAGUACCAAAGGAAUUUAGUACUUACUUAUUGCCGAUGAGCUUUAAUGCUUUACCUAAUCAAUAGUAGUAGGUUGGGAAUGGAACGUAAGUAAGUGUAGACUUCUCACUUACACUAUAAAAAAAAGGGGUAAUUGAGGUUUCUUGCAUCAUUUCGAUACUAGAUGCUGUUACACUUUUGUUGAAAUAUACUAGAAAACUUUACUCCCUUUAUGGUGACUAUAUGAGCUAUUUUUAGUAGAUUUUUUGAAGUAUUAGUGUCCUAUUUCUGAGACAUUGUAGUUAUACUGGUGGCGUUUGGUUCGCACAUCGGUAUCGGAUUCGGAUUCGGAAUCGGAUAUCUUGGGUUUGGAAUGAGGUCAUUCAUUCCAAUACAUUUGUUUGGUUCAAGUACCUGGAAUGUGUAUCAUUACUAUAGUUGAUGUUUGGUUCGUCGACUCUUUCGGAAUGGAAUAUAAUAAAUAUAUUAUAAAUCCCAUCAUAAAUGAUAGUUAUUGGCUCUUUGUAAAUGGGAUAUAAGAAAUCUUCACUAAUUAAAUAUAUUAAUAUAAAUGUAUUAGAAAAUUUAUUCUAAAUAAUUAAUAAUUUCUAUUAGUAAACAUGUAUAAUUAUUAGUAUAAUUGAUAAUAUUAAUUAUAUUACAUAAAUUAAUAUACAUUAUAUAAUACAUAUAAAUAAUAAUAUUAUUAUUAUAAGUUUGUAACUAAUUAAAUUAAAUAUUAUAUAUAUAAUUAAAUAUAAAUAUACAAAUGUUAUAAUAUAAAUAUAUAAUUAUAUAAUUAUAUAAUAUAUACAAAUAUUAAUUAUAAUAAUAUUUUAUAUAAAUAUAAUAUAUAUUACAUAUUAAAUAUAGUUAUUAUUAUAUAUUAUUAUAUUUAAAAUAAUUAUUAUUAUAAUUAUAUAACUUAUUAAUAUUACAUACAUGUAUAUAUUAUAAUUAUAUGCACAUAUAAUAUACAUUUAUAAAUAUACAUAUAUAUUAUAAAUAUAAUAUUAUAUAAUAAUAAUAAAUUUAUAAUAUAUAUUAUAUAAGUAUAAUUAUAUUUAACUAAAUAAUUAUAAUAUAUAAUUAUAUAAUACAAUAACAUCAUUAUUAUAAGUUUGUAACUAAUUAAAUUAAAUAUUAUAUAUAUAAUUAAUUAUAAUUAUACAAAUGCUAUAAAAUAAAUACAUAAUUAUAAUUAUAUAAUAUAUAAAUAUUAAUUGUACUCAUAUUUUAUAUAAGUAUAAUGCAUAUUAAUAUUAGAUAUAGUAAUUAUUAUAUAUUAUUGUAUUUAAAAUAAUAAAUAUAAAUAUAAAUAUAAUUAUACAAUUUAUUAAUAUUAUAUACAUGUGUAUAUUAUAAUCAUAUGCACAUAUAAUAUGCGUUUAUAAAUAUACAUAUAUAUUAUAAAUAUAUUAUUAUAUAAUAUUAAUAAAUUUAUAAUAUAUAUUAUAUGAAUAUAAUUAUAUUUAACUAAAUAAUUAUAAUAUAUAUUUAUAUAAUGUACUAAUAUUAUAAUUAUAAUAUAAUAUAUAUAUAUGUAUAUAUUAUAAUAUAUAAUAAAUAUAAUAAAUAUAAAUAUUAAUUAUAUCAUUGUAUAAUUAUAAUAUGUAAUUGGAUUUGUUUCUUGGAAUCAAACUUGGGAAUCAGACAAAACCCACCAAAAUACUUGGGAAUGGAGAAACACCAAAUUUUUAGAAAUCAUUCCAAGAUUUCAAUUCCCAUUCCAGUGAACCAAACACCAUUUAUGGGGUUCAUUCCAUUCCCCGAAUCCGAUACCCUCUUACCAAACGCCCCCUUAGUUUUUGGUCAUCUUUGAAGAUUGGGAUUUUUGUUUUUUAUAUUUUUUUGACUUGAUGUUUGGAAUCUGUUCAUAUUAUAUUGCUAGAUUGAUCUUUGGCAUCAUACAAUUUGAUGAAGUUUUGUAGAAAAAUGCAUAAUACAUAUUAGUAACAAUUUUAAAUUAGCCAUUUUAAUGUGUAAUGGAACAAUUAAUUGGUUUUAGAAUGUAAGAAAAAAUCUAGUAAAGUUAAUUCAUAAGCAAGAAGAAGAAAUUAGGGAGGGGGUAAUAUGGUUUCAUCAAAAUAAAAAUGGGAUAAUGGGAGUGCAAAUAACAUUAUCCUAAAAAAAAUUAUAUACAAAAAAAAACAUUUUAAAAAAUCAAUAGUAAGUUAUAAAUUGACAAUAUUUAAAUCAUUGCCUUAUUAGUAGUCACAUUUAUUUUUACUCAAAGAAAACAAUUACUUAAAACUGGUCUUGGAUUCAAAUAUUCAUGCCCCUUUCCCACUUUUUAAAUUCCAUCAUUCCCCUAUUAGAAAAAGUAGAAAGAAAAAGCUGGUAAAAAAGCACAUAGAUAAUAUGAAUAUUUGUAUGUUGCACUUCUUUAAAUUAUGUAGGUGACUAUAUAUUUGAUUUACCAAAAUUUAGUAAAUAUUAUAUCAAAUGAUUUUUUAAAAAAUGGGUCAAGGGCACUUAUCAAUACACCUCAUCAGCAUUUAAUUUACUAUGUGAAUAUACACUCACAUUUAAUACAUUUAUAUAUAUAUAUAUAUAUUUUAGUGUAAGCAGAAGGAUUAGAACCCGAGAUCUCUUGCUUACACUCCCUUCCCCCGUACCACCCAACCCAUCCCUCCCCCCUUACAUUUCUAUAUUUAAAUACUCGUCAAAGUUAAUUUCAGUUUUGUCAAAAGAAUUAGGGAAAAUGACCUAUUUCAUCCCUUGUAUUUCACAAAAAUAUUCUUUUCGUCCCUCACUUUUAAAACGAAGCAAUUUGGUCCCUGACAUUUAAAAAUUAAACCUAUUACAUCCCUGAACCUAAUUGUCAAUUUGAAUCAAACCAUCCAAUAACCUAGUAAUAAAUUUUGGAGAUAGAAUUGAUAGAUCAUAUCACAUGACAUUUAUUGAACAAAAAAAAAAAAAAAGUAUAACAUAAAAGGUCAUUCUUUGUCUUGGAAUAAUAGGAUUUCUUUUUUGGGUAAAUCUUUUCAUGUACCGUUAGUAUAUACACUUGUGAGUCUACAUGUAUAUCAUAAAUACAAAAUUUGGUAUUUAAAUUUAAAUUGAAAUGAUAUGGCAGGUACAUAAACCCAUCAGUGUAUACAAUGACAAUGUAGGAAAGAUUAAUUCUUCUUUUUUAUGUUAUAAUUUUUUAUUUUUGGUUUCAUUAAAUUUCACGUGAAUAUCAAGUUGAGUUAGUCAAGUGAUCUACCAAUUAUACCCUCAAAAUUUGUAAUUAGGUUGAUAGAUGGAUUGAUUCAUAUUGAAAAUUGGGUUCAGGGAUGUAAUAACUUCAGUUUUUCAAUGUCAAGGAUGAAAUUGCUUCGUUUUAAAAGUGAAGGACGAAAAGAAUAAUUUUGUGAAAUGUGAGAGAUGAAACCGGUCAUUUUCCCAAAGAAUUAACACGUGAGAGUCCAAGGCACCUGCUAACCAAAUCCGGUAUCUAUAUAAGGUGUUACCUUCUGAGUUUUAAUACGCGUAUUUCAUUAGGUGUAACACAAAAAGUAUAACAUAGCAUGCAAACUUUCUUUAUAUAUAUAUAUAUAUAUAUAUAGACACACAAACUAUAUGUUAAUUGUCUAAAAUAAUUUUGCUUUUGCCUUGGCAUUUUUUUUUUCUUUUGAAAAGGAUUAUCUCUGUUUGGAUUGGUCAUUUUCUGAAAAACAAAUUAUUCGUAUACAAUGCUACAGUAAUAUAUAAACAAAAACAAUUUCAAAAAUACCAAAAACAAAAAAAUAAAACAAAAAAACAAAAAAAAAAAAAAAAAAAACAACUUCGAAAACACAAAAAACAUAAAAAAAAUCUCAAAAAACACAAAAAAAUAACCUAAAAAAUAAUUUCAUCUACAGUAAAAAGUUUUUCACCUACAUUGCUACAGUAAAAUAUUUCAAAAACACUCUAAAAAUAGCCAAUUCAAACGGAGCCGCUUCAUUGAGUGAUAUAUAAUUAUAAUUAUUUGACAGACAACACCAUGCUCAUUGAGUGAUAUAUAAUUAUUUAUUACACGACUAACAAUUGAAUAAAUCUUAUUUUUAAAAAUUCAAUAAUUCAGAUUGUCGCGAUUAGAUUGUGUCACGUCCAGAUUGCGGGUCAUUGGUUGAUCGGGCCUACCAAGUUUUGGCACUUACGUAUUACAUAACGGGCGGAAAUAAUGCGUUUCAUCUUCUCCUCUUCAUCUUUGACAUCAAUUUUGGCCUAAACUUGCUCUCUCAAUCACUCUUUUAACUACUACUAUUACUAUCUUUCUUUUCUUUUUAAGAUAUGCCAUUUUCAUUUUGAAACAUUUCUUGGUAAUAGUUUUAUCUUCAACUACCGGAAUAUGUACCAGGCAGGCAAAACAGGCACCAAAAUACGCUCAAAACUCACACACGUCAUUUCUCUUUCUCUCACACACAGUCACACAGUAACAGCUCAAUACUUUUUCUCUAAUGUUUAAUUUGCCUGCUGACCGGUGAGGGUGCUUUUUUGCUUUGUCUUCAUUCACUCCCUUCCUCAGUCUUCACACUGACAGAGGGCCACCAAGACACACACAAUGCUCAUCAAAAUUUAAACUCAACCGACCAACCACUCUGCUAUUCAGAUCUCUCUACAGAUUUAUUUAUUUAUUUUUCUACUCCAGACAUAUGUAAAAUCAAAAGGGCAUUUCAGAAAUCUGGAAAAUAUUAGUGGGUUUUACUCGGAUUCCUGGCUGGUAACUUUCGAUUUGAAAAUGUUUCAACUUUAUUAGAUUUUCUUGAUGUGCAUUCUUGCCCCAUGAUAACGUAGUACUGAUGUUCUAGUUCUAGUGUUUGUUAAACACAAGAAAAGAAAGGACCUGUAUGCAUAAAAUGCUACUAUGGUUCACUUUUCUUGAAUUGUUGGACUUAAAUGCUAAUAUGAAAGUUCACAUUUUUUUGAUCGUAUAGGUACUUUUGUUGAUGGGUUUUUCUGGGUUUCUCUAUUUGUUUAUGUUUUCAAUUAUAUCUGCAUAAUCGCUGUAGUGAUUUUAUAAAUGUGUAAACUCCGCGUGUGUUGCUUGCUUGUUUUAGUGUAUUUUGUGGUUCUUGAAUCUAGGGCUUUUCUUGAUAAUUUAAUAUAUGAUGAAGCGAUUUUUUACGUUUAUGAGUCAAUAAAAGGAUUUUGAAGCUUUUGGAAACACACAUUUUCUGUUUUCUUCUGUAGUUUGACUUAUAAUCUCGGUAUACUUGGUUUUGAAUGAAUAAUGUGGGCACUGAAACUGUUGCAGUUUUGUAUAAAUUGAUGAUUUUGAGACUCAGGAUAUCUCUUGCUGAUGCAGCUAGCUGGAUCUCCUUUAGUUGUGUUGAUGAUUUAGGGGACUUGAUUGAUUUUUGGGAUUUGAAUGAAAAAAUGGAAGUAGAAAAGCGAAGUUCCAAGGGUGGAUUUCUUCAUUUGUUUGAUUGGAAUGUUAAAUCCCGGAAGAAGCUUUUCUCCGGCAAAUUUGAGUUAUCUGGUAAUUUUUUGUUUAACAUUUUUGUUUCAUUUGCUCUCUUAAGUUGAAGUUUGACUCUCUCUCUCUCUCUUUCAUGUUUAAUCUGUAUUGCUGUUUUUUCUCUGAAGGUUUAAUGUAUGAUGUUUUGACUGCAGAUAAUCCACAGCAAGGUAAAGAAACUUUUGAUGAUACAACAAUUUCACGUCUUCGAAAGGUACUUUUCUCUUCAUUUUAUUAUCCAGAUUAUUUUUCACCUUAUCUUAAUUUGUUUGAAAGAAUUUAAGCUUCCUUUUAUGAAGGCGCAUGACAAUGGGUGUGGUCCAAGUACCAGAGGGAACGAUGGUUCAAGUUAUGCUUCAUCUGUAAAUGGUGAUGAAAUAUAUGGCACAAGAGCUCCGGGGGUCGUUGCACGACUAAUGGGAUUGGAUACACUUCCUACUUCAAAUGUUUCUGAGCCCUGUUAUACACAAUUUUUUGAUUCUCGCUCUUUUAGAGAUUCUCAUUACUCAAGGGGUAUGCCUGAUUUCCGGAGCGAAGAACACAUCAUAAUCUAUGACAGCAUGCGGAAUAAGCUAGACGGGUUCACCAAGAAUCCUGUUGAAGUGAUGCUGCAGAAGGUGCAGAAUCGACCAAUUGAGAAGUUUCAAACUGAAGUACUGCCCCCAAAAUCUGCGAAGCCCAUUUCAAUUACUCACCACAAGCUUUUGUCUCCCAUUAAGAGUCCAGGGUUCAUUCCAAGUAUGAAUGCUGCUUAUCUAGUAGAGGCAGCUGCCAAAAUCAUCGAACAAAGUCCUCGUUCAACUGCUAGACAUAAGUUGCCAUCUUUGGGUUCUUCUUCAGUUCCUUUGAGAAUCCAGGAUCUUAAAGAGAAAAUGGAGGUUGCUCAGAAAUCUUCUAGGACUCUUCAAGCUUCUCAGAAGGCCAAAGAACAAAGCUCUUCCAAACAGGUAAAGAGACAAACUAGGGACAGGGUCCAAGGUCAAGGAGAAGCUCCAGACAUGUUUAGGGUUUCUGAUACAUCAAGAAAUGCUGGUUCUCAGAGUAUCAAGAAUAAGGAAAAAUCAGUUUCACUGGCUGUUCAAGCUAAGGCUAAUGUUCAGAAGAAAGAGGGAUGUACUGCAAUUGGAAACCGGAGUUCUGUAAACCAUAAGGAACCUAAUGAUGUCAGGCAUAGCUCUUCUGGUAGGAACCAAUCAAAAAUCCAAAAGAAUGUUGAAAGGAGAACAUCAACUGACAAAUCUUCUGAUGUACUUAGGCAAAAUAACCGGAAGCAAAACUUUGCUUCAGCUAAAGAGAUGGAAGGUUCAAGGCCUCCAUUUUGUCAUCAGAAAGACAGGAAACAGCUGUCUUCAAAUGACGUAUCUAGGCCGAAUAAGACUGUAAAUAAGAUUGUUGUAAGCACUCCUGUCAUGCCCAGAAAGACCUCAAUCCAUCAUGUUGGAAAGGAACAACUUCCAUCAGCAGUAAAGAGAUCUUCAGGAAAGAAGCAACCAAUCAAUGGAAACAAUUUUUCUCAUGGAAAUGAUAACCAAUCAGUGAGUAGAGGCGAAAGGUCUAUAAAAUGCAAUUAUGAAAUUGAUAGGUGCAGUAAAUGGGAUGCAGCUGAGAGAAAAAAUGGCACGGAUGUUGUAUCAUUCACAUUCACUUCUCCAAUUAAAAAGUCAUUAUCUGCUUCUAGUUCACCUGUGAAAGUCACUGACAAGAAACGAGGCUCAUUCCUUGUUCCCACAACUAGUGAAAAUCAGUCUUCUUUUGGUCUGAAUGUUGAUGGUGGUGAUGCUUUAAGCAUUCUUUUGGAACAAAAGCUCAAGGAGUUGACAUCUAAAGUUGACUCAUCUAAUCAAGACCACUUCCAUUCAGAGUUUCCUUGUAGUUCUGCUGGCAGUUGUGAAGAUUCAGUGUCUACUCUCACAAUGACACAUACCACAUCUGGUGAACAUCACAAAAAUUCCCAACUUGAUGUGCCUCUGGACAAACUGGGCAUCCAACCUAAAUCCGAUAGCUCUUCUAUUGAUGAACUUCACCUUAAAGCAAUGCAAAAGUGGCAGGUAAUUUGGUUUAUGAUUUUGUCUGUACGUGUAUUCUUAUGGGUCAUGUUUUUUUGACUGCGUUUGCUGUAGUAAAAAAUGAAAGAAGCAUACAUAUUCCUUUGUUUACCCAGAAAAAAAAAAAAAAAAACCUUUGACAAUGCUGCAAAACAGUAAAAAGUGAUUGAAAUUCUCUAUCUCACUGGAGCAUUACAAGUAUGCCUUUGUUGGUUCAAAAGUUUAUUUGUUUUUUUGUGAAUGAAGACAUCACAUCAAUACAACUACUAGUGCAUUCUAGGUAACAGGUAACAUCAUUAUCAGCUGGUGUCAUCUUGUGAUCAAGGAAUGGCUUCAAUACAACUGUGCUGUAACCCGUGAUUCCUUUUUUUUGUUGAACAACUAGGUAGAUAUUGUUCUGGCAUCUAUGUAAUUCAAUUAUAUGGGUUACAAACCAAGAAUGGUCCUAUGGUGGUUGUUGGUUCAUUUGUAGAACUUCUGCCUAAUGGCUAUGAGCCUCUGUAGAAGUUUGAACUCAAGGACAAAUUGGGUGAUUUCCCUUAUCAGCAAUAGAGUAUUUUAAUUGGCGGCCUUAAUUUGCUUUAUGUAGUUUCUCUUUUAUCUUUUUUAACCAAAUUUCAUCAAAAUUUUUUAUCUCCCUUUAAAAGUUCAUUGCAUGUUGCAUUUCUAAUAAAUAACUCAAAUCAACAGUAUUGUAGAAUGACCAAUUCUAUUCCUUGUACUACGAUCCUUGUUUAGAUACUUCUUUUUUACCAUGAUUAAGUCAAAUCUACAUAGCUAACGUGUACAAGUACUUGUACAGUCAUGUAGAGAAGCCUUUAUAUUGCAAACUAACUGCAGUGAUCACUUCUCAUAUUCCUUGAAUAUCUGGAAUACGUUAGUUGGGGAUUAACAUCUGCUAAUUUCAUAUCUGUCUUUCUCAUCGUCAUGGAGUAAAUCACACGGUUACUCUUACAAGAAUCACAUAAUGAAGUUGCUCUUGCUAGAAUUUUUACCUCUUACAACUCUUGAAGUGAUUCACUAACUGUACAUUAUAUCAGUCUGUUUGUUUAAACUCUUAUCCCACUUGUUUAGAGUCAGAUAAUGAUGCUUAUUCAUUAUUAUUACAGUAUUCAUUUAAAACAGCUCUCUGUGGAAUGUCAGUUGGCAAAUUUAAAUGAGAUUUGGCUGGAAAUGCCAGAUGAUGAACAGUUGCCGCCAAUACGCUACUUUUAAGUUUGCUUGUACCCAAACAAGUUUGUUUGCCUUUUAGCUCUUAGGCUUCAACUGUUGGUUUGUCCUAAUAAACAUCCGUUAAGUAGUUUUUGUUCUUUCAAGUUCAAACUAUGGUGUCUCGCAUGAUUUUGGACUCCAUAUUAAUUGAAAAAUGCAUGUAGUGGCCUCUUUCUUCUUGGCGCAUGCAUGCAUUUGUGUGGGUUAAUAAGCAGCAUAACACUUGCUAAUUUUAUUCUGCCCAUAUAGUGCUGAAAAGAAGUAUUGUACUCUGUAUUUUCUUCACCAUUCUCAGGGUGUACAGGAGAUGGAAGAGCUUGGCUUUAUUAGAUAUGACAGAGACCCCAAAUAUCAAUCCUGUGGUCCAGUGUCAAGUUUGGAACCCGCCUACUCAGAGAGUAGUUGCAACUCUCUAGAUAGCAACAGAAGUAUUAGCAGUGAGGGUAAGAAUGCUUGUCCUCUAAGUACUGUUAUCACAUUUUUCUAAUCUACACUGGAUUGAGAUAGACUAUAUUAUCUGGCAUUUUAUACAUAGUCCAAGAACUAUAUAAUUGAUCUAUGAUCAACUGCAUAAUAAAGAUUUAACUGAUGGCUGUUAACAUUUAGGAUACACGAGGAGGUUAUGAAUAUACAGAAGCCUAUGAGCCUUAAAGUCUUGAUUGAAAUAUUUAAUCGGACCAACUCUUUUAGUCCUUAGUAGAAUUUUCUUUGGGGGUUGUAAUUUAGGAUCUAAUGUAAUAUUUUCUUCAAUUUCAGCUAGCAAGAUGUUUUUGGCAGUUGAAGCUUAUGAAAUGACUCAAUGGAGCUCCACUAGAAAGUCCCGACCUGUGGAAGCCGACAUGGAAGUAUCAGAUUCUGCCUCUUCAGCCUCUCUCGGGGCCACAAGUGUAACAGAUACAAGUUCAUCAUUCACUUCAAUGAUUACUAAUGAAUCAGCCAAUUGGGAGUUGGAAUAUAUCCGGUGUAUACUUGUUAACACUGACUUGUUGCUGGAGGAGUUUGCACUUGGUGAGGCACACAAGGUCUUAGCUCCCAAUCUGUUUGAUCAGUGGGGUGAAGUAAAACUAGGAUCAAGUAAAAAUGUGGAAAAGAACUUCAAGUUAGUGCAAAAGGUAUUGUUCGACUAUGUUGAAGAAUCUCUAGAAUUAAAGUGCGUGCAGCUUUUUAGUGGAAGCUGGAAAUCUUGGACUAAGCUAGCAGCUCUGAUUCAGAAGAAAGAUUGGUUGGCUGAAGAACUGGGCAGGGAGAUUUCAGGCUGGACAAGCAUGGAAGAUUUGAUGGUAGAUGAGCUUGUGGACAAGGACAUGAGUACCAAAUUGGGGAAGUGGGUUGAUUUUGAGAUUGAGGCAUUUGAAGAAGGUGUAGAAAUUGAGAAGAGAAUAUUGAGUAAUCUGGUUGAUGAAUUGGUUGAUGAUUUCUUGCUGUUCUAAAGCAUUGCAACAUAGGCUACAUAGGUUUUACAUUACUCAAGUAUGACUUGUAGAUACAUGGUUGUUGUGAUGGGCCCAAAAAUAUAAAGGCUUACAAAUUCAUACUUGAGCAGAUUGCAUUUUGAUUGUAACUUCACCGUUCUUCAUUGCUUCUUGUCUCCCUGGGUAGAACUGCACUACUGAAAUUUCUUGAAACGCUUUUUAGGCCUAACUUCCUUUCGUUAUAGGACCUCAUAAACAGUGACAUUACAGGUUCCGUCCGUAUCUUCUACUAUAAGACUUUUACAACCUGGCUCAAAUAUUACAACCUUGUGUAAAACCAAUUCUUUGUAAAAAGAAAAAAGAUUGAACUGGUGAUCAUAAAAUAUCAUGCAGGUUAUAGACAUUGAAAAAUCAUUUUGAUGUAUAACUGUGUUAGGCUGUGCCUAGCAGACAUGAGGGAUUCGACAUGACAUAUGUAUGAUGAGCCAAGCCCCAAGAUAACUAGAAGGGUACACUGUAGAAGACUAAUCAUUCUAGUUGUCCUUCUUUGGGCGGCCAUGUGGGGUGUUUGGCUGGGAUUGGUCAGGUUGAAUUUGGUUGUAGUAGUGAUUCUUUUCCCCAUAAAUGGGAAUAAUUGAUUUACACGGUUGAACCAUAUUAACCUGACAAUCGACACAAUCUCAAGUGUUUUGGUGCUGGUGGUUAACCAAAUCCUUGUAGAUCCAAUGGUUUGAGGCUGAGUCUUUUCAUACUUGAGGAGUCGUAGCCAUGCUCUGAUGAAAGGAAGGACAAAAAAAAGAAAAAAACAUGGAGUUACCACUUCAUUAUCAAGAGAAUCGCUUUCUUUUGGCCCGCCCUAUUACGUGUCAAAAUGUGAUACCAUCACUUAGAGUUAGAGGAGGUGGAAAACUAGUGAAGUUGCAAAGUUUGACCAUCAAAUUUAACAUUUUCAACAUUUUUUGAUAUGGGUAUAACUUGAUAUAAACGAGUUUUUAAUAUACCUUGAAAAUAGAUGGUUAGGAGGGUUCAAUAGCACUUGGUUUUGGCUGAGUGGCACCUACUUGUUGAGGCUCAAGAAUGUCAAAAUGGAUAAGCAAGAAGAUGGGAGUGAAUUUCUUGAAAUGACUUGCUAGGGGUAUCCAAUCACCAAUGGGACUGAGCCAAAUGGUACACAAAUAGAACUUCACUGCAAUUAUAGGUUGAAUUGUGGUCCAACAUUUAAGUAGUAGGUGCUGGAAAGAAUUACUAUAUGGUUUGGAGAGAUGAUGAUGGAAUCUAGGACAAAAUGUUGCCUUAGGGGAGUGAUCCUUCCAAGAAGCCCUUUGUGAUUGGCAUCAUUAACUUGGGCACAAAUCAAAGCACAUGCUUCUAAAUUCAUGAAUUCCAAGCAAAAUGUUUGUUUAUGAGCAAGUUGAUGUUUGUGGUAUUUAUUGCAGACAUGUAUUUUAUGGCUGUGUUGUGUAAUGGGAUGGCAGAAGAUGGCUGUGGAGAUGAACACAGAAUGGUCAUACUUUGCCAAAUGGGCUCACGUGCCAUUUUCUAAUAUUGGUAGGUUAACCGGCCAACAUAUCACGUGAUCCCAUCAUUUCUUUGCCUUAUUGCUUAGAGUGCUAUCUUGGAUUGCCUUUUUUUUUUUUUGAAAAUUUUUUUACGUUUUCCAUGAACGUAUUUUUUAAUCAAUUUUUUGUAUCUCAUACACAUCAAAUAGCUAUGGUAUUUCUUUUUCUAAAAAACUCUAGAAAAUAACAAUCCAAACGGGUUAUAUAGGCAGUACAUUAUUCAUGAUCUAUUUUUCCAAAAGUUAAUAGAUAAUGUUACAGUCACAAUGUUUAUACCAGAGAAAAUUUUCUUGUUGUAUCCUCACAUGUCAAUAUUAAUUCAAGACUAGGAAGGUUGAUUGGAAGGAUAAUUUAAUUUAAUAAUUAAAACCAAAUUUGCUAUGACAUUAAUUCAAGAGUAGGAAGAUUGAUUUGAAAGCAAUUUUUUCCCAAAAAUUUUUUACGUUUUUCAUGAAUAUAUUUUCUAGUCACCUUUUAAUCUCACAUAUAUCAAAUCGUUACACUACAUUUUUAUAUAAAAACUUCAGAAAAUAGCAAUCCAAAUGGGAAUUAUUUCAUUUGUAAGUACAAGUUUUUGAGAACAAAGAGCCAACCAAAGAAAGAAAAGAAAUAAGAGAAACUUGAAAAAUUUUUCUAUUAAGUAUAAGAGUAAAUCUUUCUUACACUGACGGUGUAUACACUAUCAUCGUUGGAUUCAUAACAUGUAUACAAAAGUAGAAUUUCAAAUUCAAAUUUUACAUAGUUGUCAUUCAUCCAACGCUGAUAGAGUCACCUUUGGUGUCUUGCUCACCACAAAAUUUGAGUAAGACACCAUCAUUGAUGAAAAAUUUUAUUAGAAAUUGUGUUUGGCUAGCAUUUUUAGGAUAAAAAAUUAUUAUAACACUUUUUUGAGAUGUAUUAUAUGAACGAACAGGUAGUUUAAAAAUGUGUUAAUGAAAUAUUCUCAAAGAACUCAAAAAUUUUUCCCAAUAUUCACAAUCAAACAAACUUGUAUCUAUGUGUUUUUUCCAUUGGUCAUUUUCUAUUUUUUUUAGGCCGAAAAGCUCAAAUCUCAUUUUUUUCAGUUCAAAAGAAUCUACCAUAACAAUAUGUGUCUACUUGUUUAACUUACAAGUAGCUACCUCAGAUAUAGAGUGUGUUUGGAUAGCCAAGUAACGGCCAAAAAUUAUUUGCUUAUAUCACAAAUAUAAUAUUUAAUACACAUUUUUAUCUUUUCAAUUACCUUUUUAUCUCACAUAUAUCACAUCACAAAAAGUGCUACAGUAAUUAUUCUAAAUAGGGAAAAUGAUCGGUUUCAUCCUUCACAUUUCACAAAAAUAUUCUUUUCAUCCCUCACUUAAAAAACGAAGCAAUUUCGUCAUUGACAUUUAAAAACUGAAGUUCUUACAUCCCUGAACCCAAAUUUCAGUCUGAAUCAAAUCACCAAUCAACCUGAUUACAAAUUUUGUGGGUGUAAUUGGUAGAUCACUUGGUUAACUCAACUUGAUAUUCAUGUAAAAUUUAAUGAACCCAAAAAUAAAAAAUAAAAAAUUAUAACAUAAAAAAGAAAGAUUAAUCUUUCCUACAUUAUCAUUGUAUACACUGACGGUUUUAUGUACCGCCAUAUCAUUUCAAUUUAAAUUUAAACACCAAAUUUUAUAUUUAUGAUACGCAUCUAGAUUCGCAAGCGGAUAUACUAAUGGUGUAUGAAAAGAUUUAUCCAAAAAAAAAACUCUAUUAUUCCAAGACAAAGAAUGGCCUUUUAUGUUAUAAUUUUUAUUUUUUUGGUUUAAUAUAUUUCUUUCAAGAUUCAAAAUACGCUUAUAGACAUGGUUGUAUUCAUGUAUUGAGUUAGUAUACAUCAAUAAAAUUCGUUCUUAGAACAAAGUGACAUUAGUAUACACCAAAUCAUAUAAAAUAAACAAUUUGUACCUCUCAACCGCUUCAAAUCUUAACUGUAUUUGUCCCAAACCCCAAAUAUAGUAACACAUAAAAAGUAGACUACUUUCUAAAAUCAGUGGGCGAUCAAAUACCAUAGGAAAAAGCUAAACCCUGAAUACUAUUUCAACAAACUAAUUGUUGUAACUUUUUUGACCAACUUAUAUACAUUGAUAUUAAACCAAAAAAAAUGAAAAUGAAAAAAUUGACUAACUCAAAAUUUUAUAUGUAAAAAAUUUUAAGAUUCUGCUACACAACCAUAACUAUUCUACUUUUAACCAAAAAAAAAAAAAGAAAGAACGAAAAAUGUUCUUUCAAAGGACCAUCUAUCUUCUCUUUUGCAUAUGCUGUCCCUGAAAUUAAGCAGUACGUUCUCUGGGUGCUCCCUAACCAUCAGCACUCAGCAGUCAAAGAGUACUAUUCCACAGCUAACUAGGGCAGGCAGACGACCCGCUUGCUCUGGCCACAGCUUUCAUUUCUUCAAGAAACAUUUUUGGUAUUAUUUCUUUUUCCUAAGUGAUGGGUACUCAUGUACCGAAAUCCGCUAUUUAGGAAGCGUUUGAUGAAAUUAGAGUCUGAAAAUUGAAGUUUGAGAUCUGAAAUGUAAUGUCUGAAUCCAUUAAGUUAUUGAAUUGUUAAAUAUUAAAUCUAAUAUAUAUAAGUGCCUAUCAUAUUUAGUGAUAAGUAAUUAAUUUAUUACUUAAUUUUGAGAACAAACUUUGUCUAGAAAAUUUAGAUUAAUUCAAAUGUCUAAUUUUUAGUUAUUAAACGGUUUGAAUAUGUUAAAAUCUGAUUCCAUUAAUUUUAAUCUUAUAUUAGUUGCAAGAAAAAAUUGGUAUAUAUUAUUAGAAAACAUCCUUGGUGAAAGGAGACUUCCAAGUCCGGCACAUUUGGAUUGCUAUUUUUUGAAAUUUUUGAAGAGAAAUGUAUUGUAGCGAUUUGAUAUAUGUGAAAUUAAAAAGUGAUUGAAAAUUGUGUUCAUAGUAAACGUGAAAUUUUUUUUAUUAAAAAACUAACCUCAUUUGGAUUGCUAUUUUAUAAAGUAUUUUAUAGGUUAAUGUACUCUAUUGAUUUGAUGUAUGCGAGUUAAAAAGAUAAUUGAAAAAUAUGUUUACGAAAAACGUAAAAGUUUUCUAGAGAAUCCUUUGAAAGUUAACUAAAUGAAGAAGGGUUGAUUACCAUUUCUAUGUUGAGACAGGCAAAUGUAUUUGGACAGAUAAAAUGCCAUAGAAGGGGAAACCAUAGAAAUUAAAUCACUUUACUUCUUUCAAAGAUAAUAAUUCUGUUGUACAUUUUCGCUCUAAAACGUGCUUUGGCUGUUCCCAAAUGUAACAUUAAACCCAUGUGUUUUGAGAGUAAUUCUGAGUCUCUGGCUUGCAAAUAAUAUAAUCUGUCAUUCCAUUGUUGGUGUUGACAAGUGGGACUUGGAACUUGAUAAAGUUAGUUAAUUUUAUUACAAAACAGCUAAAAUAAUAAUAAUAAUAAUAAUGUAAACAGCAAGGGCCAUAUUUUACGUGUCAAGUGCCCUUUGGCCUCAAUGAGAUUCCUCUGCAGCAAGCUACUAUGGAUCCCUGAAUCUGCUUUCUUGGUUAGAGAAGAACUGGAAAAAAGAGGCUGUUUUCUGUAAUGUUUGCAGAUUAAUGCCAAUAAUAAUUUCUUUUUAUGGUUACUAGCCAACAAAGUAAGUAGAUAUAUAAACUAAACUAAGGAAGCCUACUAGACAUUUUUAUUCUACCAACCAAUGAUUAAUUAUUAAUUAGAGCAAUGCCCACCUCGAUUUAGCUGCCCCAAAAAGUCAGAAUCCUAUGGAGGAGCUCUUGGCUUCUUCCAUUGCAUGUGUCCACUUUCCCUAGCUACUGUUUCACAUACAUACAUGUGUAAAUGAUGCAUUCCAUUUCUUACUCUCUUCGUGAUGAUGAUGAUGAUGUUGUUGUCUAUUAAUGCAUAAUGCCAUUCACAAAGGCUUGUUUGUAUGACUAAACCACCAAAUUACUACUCAAAUUUUUUGGGAGGAAUUUGUUAAAUAUUUGUAAUGUCUCGAUAUACAUUACGCUCGAAUUGCUCUUGAUAGCAAGAAUUGGGAAUAACUUUGAACUAAUAUCAAUGACUAUGGUCAUUCAUAUAAAAAGCUUUUCUGAUAUGAAGUUUUAUAGUACUUCACAUUCACUCUAGAUAUAAGAAAACUUUGACAAACUUCAAAAUUAUUCUGUUGAUACAUGAAUUCUAGUAUGCAUGUCAUGAGAAUCUUCUUAAACUUUUUCCUUUAGGAGGAAGAAACGUCCUAAGUUGCCAUUUAUGUAGAGGUCGAUGAGGUGUUUGAUCUUGAAUUAUUCUGUAGAACUCUACAAAUAUUAUUUCAUCUUGUGAACGUUAUAUUAUAAUUAAACGUUAAACCAUAACUUCAGAUUAAUGUUUGUGACUAGUUACAAAAAACUAAGAAGGACAUGUCGAUGAAACCCUUGAAGAUGCAUCACUAACUAAAAGAGGAGAAGAGCAACACAAGUGCAACUCUUUUUAUGUUCUUCACUUGUACCCAAAAAAAAAAAAAGAAGAAGGGUCUACCACAAAGGUGGCUCUUUGAUUUGUCUCAAAAGAGAUGGCCAAACAGUCCUAAGAUCUUGAUUGACGUGCAUCAUCAUGUAUGAGCAUAAUGAUGUGCACAGAAGAUGAGAGCGAGGCACAUGAAACCUAGCAAAUGCGCAGGGGUAAGAAAACUGUGGUGUGGCAGUUAAGAGGAGUUAGAAAAGGGGGGAAGGGUUGGGACUUGAUUAGGAGAGAUUAAGAACGUGCCCGGCCUCUGAUUGUUUGCAGGCAUGUCUGUGGCGAGUGGUCCAUUGCACUUUCCCAUUUUCCCAUCAAGAUCCCUACUCUUCUCUCUAUGUCCACCAUUUUUAAUUCUUUCAUACCGUCUCUUCUUUCUUGCUAGCAUUGCAUCAUACUAAUGCAUUUUUUUUUUCCUUUUGAGGAUAAGUUUCCAGCGUUGGAUUCCAGCAAAACCUCCGAUUUGCAUCUGUCACACUGUAGUCUAUACUAUGCUACAACUUACAUUGCAUAGCUAGUAGCCUAGUACAUGGUACAAAUUUAUCGAGAAAUAUACACUUAAUAAAGAUUUGCUUGGUACGCUCUCGAUUUCUAGUGCCCCCACCACCUCGAGGUCAAGACAUCUCUUCUUUUUUCUUUUAAAAAAAAAUAAUAUGAAAUUUGAGUGUGUUUAAUUUCGAUCACUGUCAAGAGUCAGAACACACUUCUAUGUCUUUCAGAAGACGCUUACAAAAUUUCUUACAGAUCACUUACUAACAUAAUUCUCACAUGAGUGGCGGGAUUCGAACAAGUGACCUUUUGUAAGGAAGUAGGUCAUUUUUGCAACUAAACUAACUUGCGUUGGCAACAUUUCUGUUGAUUAUCCAACAUUCGAUUUUCUUAAAAGUAUCAGAUAAACCCCUUAAUAGUAAUGCUAAUAUUUGAUAAAAAUAAAAAUGAAAAGAACAUUGUUGAGGAUGUAUUCAACCACGCUAAUGUUGCUGAAAUUUUCAGCAACAUAAUUCUGCCUCGCCACAUUUUUUUAGGUGUAAUUAUGCUAACACCUUCUUUGUCUUGGGUUUAAUUUUGCCUUUCGGUAAAUCAAGGCGUAGCAGCAUUCAUUACCUAUGUUUGGUGUUAGGUUAACCGAAUAUGACUUUGUUGUUGUGUUUUGGUUGUGGUGAAAAGAUGUUCCCAACAAUUGGUGCUGAUUCAAUUAAAGAAAUAAAAUCAUGCCAAGAAAUCUAAGGUCCCGUUUAGAUUGCAUUUUCCGUCAUUUUUUAUGGAAAAAUUAUUGUAACGAUUUGAUGUAUGUGAGGAAAAAAGGUAAUAGGGAAAUGUGUUCACGAAAAAUGACGAAAUUUUUCUACGAAAAACAGCAAUCCAAGCAAGGCCUAAACAAUCCACUGGGGUAAAAAAAAAAAGUGGGAUAAAAUCAUGCCAAUGAAAUCAUCCAUGUGCUUCCCAGUACUAAAAUAAAAUGCUAAUCAGCUAAUAGCUUGCUGGAACUUAGAGUACCACAAGUCCACAAUCUUUCUUGAUACUCAAUAAUGUCUUCUUUAUCACCCCCUAAUUAUUCUCAAUAUACCAUUUAUGUUGUCCUAAAAUUAUUUGUUAUUCCCAUAGGCCCAGUUAGACUAUUGCCCUUUCCUUUUUAGUGUUUAUUGUGGCAAAGUAGUAUAUGAAAGCAAAUACUUCAUAAUUUUUUAUAGUACUUUUUGAAACAUAAUAUAGUAGUAAAUAAAAAAUUGAUCACAAAGACAUAUAAAGAUUGUAAAAGAACUUGUUUUCAAAAUCUCUAAGAAAUUUUUUUUCCUAAAUGACCCUCAUCCAAACAAAGAUGUAUAAAUUUAGAGCCACCGUAUGGUGACAUGCAUGUGAACGAUUGAUGCUGACUCUCGUCUAAUUUAAGUUCGAGUUGUACAUUAAAAAUUCAUCGAUCUCAAAUUUGAAUUCGAGCUUGAUAAAAUUGAAUCGAGAUUUAAUUCGAUUAGAUCAAAAUUUAAAUUUAUUCGAUUCAUUUGCCGUUCUAGUUUUAUCGUAACAAAAAAAAUUACCAAAGUAAAAGGAUUUGAAAAAAAAAAAAAAAAAAGAAAGAGAGGAGGAAAGAAAAUCCUGCACAGCAAUCAACACAUCAUUUACUCAGAGGCAAAAGUGGGGGCGUGUGACUGUGUGUCGCAGUAAAUGAACAUUUCAUAAUGAUAUCAUAUCCAUCAGCAAAGGUACAAAUAUUUACUAAAACAAUACGAAAUCUGAAAAGACAGCAGUGGCAUUGACGAUAUAAAUCCAAACAUUCAAGGUCUAUUCCUUAAUGUAACCGUCCUCCCAUCCUUCCCCCCCAUUAUUUUGCACGCUUCACCAUCCUUCCCCACUCCCCUUCUGCUAUAGUCCCUUUCACAGAAAAAAAAUGCUGUUCCCGGAAAAUCAAGAACUCGAAAUUCCCACCACCACCUCCUCCUCCUCCUCCACCGCCACUCAAACACUCGAGAAAUGUGAUCCCACCACCGCAAUGAAUGAGCCCAUGAACAUGCUCACCGAUUACUAUGACAUUGAUAGCACUUGCUCCACCCCAUACGUAAGUGCACCCUCUAGCCCCGGCCGCGGCCAGGGUGCACCCGUCACCGGCUUUUACUACAGUGCUCCGGCGAGUCCUAUGCAUUUCAUGCUUUCUACGGCUAUGAGUAGUUGUAACAGUAACGACUUAGGACUGUCUUCCCAACCUGAAGUUUCCCCUACUUCUUCCACUUGCUCAUUCGAGUUCGAUUUCGCAGCCAGUAAAGUUUCCACCAAUGGGACUUCAUCGGCCGGAUCCAUGAGCUCCGCUGACGAGCUUUUCUUGAACGGCCAGAUCCGGCCCAUGAAGCUGUCCUCCCACCUCCAGAGACCUCAAGUUUUAGCCCCGCUCCUGGAUUUAGAUGUGGCUGAUGAUGAAGUUGACGAAAUUGUUAGAGGAAGAGAGGCGAAGAUGCGGGAUAGAUCCUUGCGGAGGAGGACUAGAUCUAUGUCGCCCCUGAGGACUAGCUCGAGCCCAUUCGGGUGGCACGAUGGAGCCGAUUUUGAGGUUGAUAGAUCAGGUGGAAUUUUCGAGGACAAAAAGCAGCUGGCUGCUGCUAAAAAUGGCGAGGAAGAAGAAGCUGUUUCGGGCGAGACGACCCCGUGCGAGUCUGGUGCGUCCUCGAGAUCUUCAUCCGUGGGGAGGAGUUCGAGUAGAUGGGUUUUCUUGAAGGAGUUUCUCUAUAGGAGUAAGAGUGAAGGAAGAAAUAAUGGGCACAAGUUUUGGGGGUCUCUGUCAUUUUCACCUGUUAAAGACAAGAUCAAAAUGGAGAAAUUAAUGCCAACAAAGUUCCCAUCACUUCAUUCUUCUUCUUCUUCCUCCUCCUCUCCUAAGGAUAAAGAUAAAGAGAAGGCCGCUCCCACAGGUGCAGCAACAGUUUCACCUGAUUUGUUGGCAACAGAGUCUGCAGAUGGGAAAAGAGCAAAACACACUGGCGGCCAAAAAGAUGGGAAGAAGAAGGUGGCGGUAAAUGGGGUUGGAAAGAGAAGGGUUCCUCCAUCACCUCAUGAACUGCAUUAUACUGCCAAUAGAGCUCAAGCUGAGGAGAUGAGGAAGAAGACAUUCUUGCCAUAUAGGCAAGGAUUGCUUGGUUGUUUGGGAUUUAGUUCCAAAAGUUAUGGUGCCAUGAAUGGUUUUGCUAGAGCUUUGAACCCUGUUUCUUCAAGGUAAAAAUAAAAAGGGGAAGAAGAUUAUGUAAAAUAAGUUUAAAAAAAAAAUCUAUGAUCAUUAGAUUAGAUUAUCCUUCAUGGGGUUGACAAUUAUUACUAGUUGGGAAAAAAAAAACCGUAAAGUGGGGUUUGUAUAGAAACUUUCUUUUUAAUUGUGCCUUCUUCACUUUUCAGUGUAAUUUUGGGAUCUGCCUAUGUAUGUAGUUAACUCUACUACGAAUUUGAUGGCGAUCUCUUCGUUAGAAGGUUGGAAAUAGAAGAAGUUUGUUGAUUAAUUGUGAUGGAUUUGUUUAGCCAUUCUUGGCAAACUAUUCCUUAGAUCCACAAUUUUCUUCUGUUUGUUGUCUGGAUGAACAAUCCACCAGAGAGUUAGUAGCUCCAAUAAGUCAAAGCAUCUAUUCUUGACGACUAAUCACUUUUUGAUCUCAUCUCUAUUUGUUCAGUUCUUGACAUUUUCUUUGGUAUUUUUGGCACUUGUUUAGUAGACCAUUUUUCAGUGGUAGUUGUAAUCUAUUUGACCAACUUGCUGCAUAAUUGUAACACAAUAAUUUCCCGUGGUUCCCCCAGAGAGACAGCGGUCUCUUUCCAUCUCUCUCAAAAGCAACAAACUUUCUGCUGAGCCAUGAUGCUUGGCAGCAGAUGAUGCACAGGGGUCUGAAAGAGUAAAUCCAUCCGUGUUGUUGCAGAGACGCAUAUUGUUUCAAGAAACUACAAUGAUCCUGUAGUAACAGAAAAUAACAGCUCAAUUGGGGGCGUGGAUGAUGGAUGAGAAUUCUGCUAGUACCUAUUACUUCUGUUUUCAUCCUUUUGUUUUUAUGCCUUCCAAAAGAUUCCUGAACUUAUUGACGUUAAAAUUUGUGAUUAGAUAGAUGCAACUGAAAAGCGAUGUUAAUUCCAUAUGCCAUACCUUUGUCCUAAGGCCAUGCUUGGAUUGUUUGUUUCCGUCGGAAAAUAUUGUCAUUUUCCGUGAUCACAUUUCCCUAUUACCUUUUUCCCUCACAUAUAUCAAAUCGCUACAGUAAUUUUUCCAUGAAAAAUGACGGAAAAUGCAAUCCAAACAUAAUAAAAAGAUGGAAAAAAGAAUGAAAGGGGUUAUCUUUUUCCGUUACAAAGGUGAUGCAAUAGAUUUUCUCCUUUUCUUUUCUUUUUGGGGCAAUUGAGGUCGUGAGAGAUGGCUACAUGAACAGAAGUUACACGAAAGUCCCUAAAAGUUUUCGUAAUUGAAUAGUUUUACCAAUUACUUUUAGAAUUCAUCUAUUUUAGGCAAUUCCUUUAAUCAUUUCACAAUUUUCACUUAACAAUACAAGAAAAAAAGAAACCCUUUUCUAAUUAAUCUUGAUUCCAAACGGAUUAAAAGUUGCCAAGAAAAGAAAGUGAAAAAUACUCUACUAGUGCAACCUCAUUGAUCAAACAUUGAACUGUUCAUGCUGCAUGAUGCAUGGGAGGCAAAAGCUUUAGAGGCCAUGUUAGAUUUUUGAUGCAAUUAUUUGAUGGAUGCUGUCCUAGGUGAGCCCUUGUUAGGUAUGGGGCUAGGCCCCAUCUUCUACAAUUGCAAAAUUGGCUGUGUUGAAUAAUAAACAAAUGUGACAAGGACACGUAGCUGUUUCUGGUUGUAUUUCCAAAGGGCCAGCCUUGAUAAAAGCAUAUGCAUUCUCAGAUUGAUUGAAAAAGAUGAUCAUUUUUGGAUAAAUUAGGGCCUACCGUAAUCCAAUUUGGUUAAUUAUACAAAGUCCAUUUGAGGGAGACGUUGAAAAGUUUCUUCGGAGGUUAAACAAAGCGUUUUGUCUUUGUCAUCUUGAUAUUAUCUUUUCUAUGAUCUUUCUCCAGUGGAAAUAGACCGAUCCUGAUAAUUUCGGAGUUGGCAAGUUUUGGGCUUCUGGACUGACAGGUUGGGAGCAGGAAUGUAAUCGAGUCAAGUCGAGCUCGAGUAUUGCUAUAUUCGAGCUCGACUCGACCUAGCCAAGCUCGAUCGAGCUUAAAAAUUGCAACUCGAGACUUGACUCGAGAAAAUUCUUUUAAGCUCGAGACUCAACUCGAUAAGAUUCGAUCAAAGGUCAAGUCUUAUUAAGUCGAGUCUAAUCAAGCUUUUUGACUCGACUCAGAAAAUGUACACUUAAAUUCAGUAUAAAUUAUAUUCAUAACGGUCAUUUUAUAAUUAUAAUACAUAUAUAUUAUUUAAAUUAUAUAUAUUAAUUAAAUAUAUCCGACUCGACGAGUAGCUCGUCAAGCCACAAGUCACAAAUUCCUGACUCGAACUCGACUCGAAAGUAUAUUCGAGUAGCUCGAGACUCGGCUCGAACUCGAUUUGACCGAGUUCAAGCCAAGUCGUUGACCGAGUUCAAGCCAAGUCGUUGACCGAGCUACUCGAUAGUGGCUCGACUCGCUUACAUCCCUAGUUGGGAGCGCAACUUAUUGCGCAAGUUCUGUGAGGCUAUAUGUCAACACAAUGCAUUUAUUAAUUAAUUAUUACCCAAUACUUUUUUUUUCUGACGUGAGCCGCUCCUUCUAUUUAAUAGUUAAAACAUUUUACGUCUCGGGGGGUUUUUCUUUUAUUAGUACCUUUUUUUAAUUCUUUCAUCUUAGCGAGAUUUUUUUCGUCUCCAACGGUUAGGUAUAGAAUUUGAAUAUUUUCUCAUCUCAAACUAUUUGAUAUAGAAUUUGAGUUCUGAACUUCAUUUCAAUAAUCUUCUACCCGCAGACUCAUUCAAUCAUAGGUUUGGUUAAUGUUCAUUCAAUAAAUUAGUCUCUUAAAUUCUGUUAAUGAUAUCGACUGAUCCAAUAUGCACCAAAUAUAUAAUUAUAUCAUUUUAUUUCUACACAUUAACAAAAGUGAAUGCAAGAUACGUGUUAAAUAUGAAGUUCAACUUCAUAUUGGAAAUAAUUAUAUCAUAUAUUUACGCCCACUAAUGUAUAUAUAUAUAUAUAUAGACCGGCAAUGUAUAUGAUUGAUUAAUCUAUAAAUGCCCAACCCUUGGUCAUGCUACAUCUUCUCUAUCAUUUGAAUUGAGGAGGUGGCAUGAUUUGAUUUUUCUUUUUCCUAAAAUGUGUUUUUGCCAAUCCAACUUGUGGUGUUUUCUCUCCUAAUAAACGCUAAUCAGAAGAAGAAAGCAAAAAGACUUGUGGUGUUUGGACUUGCAACUUGUGCAAACUCAUGCAGCUCCAAAUGGAAGGAUUCUUAAUUGGGCUUUGAUUGGGUCGGUUUGUCUCCCGGAGUUUGACAUGAAGAAGCUUGAUGGAGACAUGGAUUUGCAUUUCUAUUCUAUUCCUUUUCCUUCUCCACUUUUAUGAUGACUAUUGAGGGUUGUUUUCCCUUUUUGUCAUUCUACCAGAAAAACUCUGCAUCAUCAUUUCUUGUUGGUAAAAAGGUUUCAAGUCCACCCAAUAGAAGUGUUUCAGCAAUCCACAAAGCAAAAUCAGAGUAGUUUAUUAAUAAUUGUUUCACACAGAAACACCACUUUCUAGCCCUCAAGGGACCACCCAUAACAUAGGAUGGAUAAAUGUAAUUUUCCUUCACGUAUCUAGAUUUGUCUAACAAGUGUCCGUGGAUACUCGAUAAAAUGUAAUUCAAGUAUAUAUACUUUGGAAAUGUAUAUGCAUUCAAAUGAUACGUUAAAUAUAUGUAUUCACAUGCUAUGCUAAAUAUAAUUUAGACGUUUUAACAAGUGUCUGGUAGACAUCUGUUACAAAAUCAUAUAUUUACGCCAUUAUCUCAUUGAAUUGUUUCUUGACAUAGAGAGGUAUCAUCUUGGCAUCACUCAUCUUUUUGUAAUACUAAUAAAAGAUGGCAUUGAUUAUCUAACCUUUCAAUUGCAGUAGUUUUUUGGUCAAACUUGAAUGAUUUCUUAAGAUGUAUGAUUGAAAUUGAGGAAUUUUACAUAAAUCAAGCAUGCAAUGGUAUGCAAAGAUAUUACUACUAAUUAUUUCUAUAUGCCUCAUUUCCUAUAUUCUUGAUGAAAGAUGAAAGAUAUAACAUGAAACCCCUAAACUACCAACAUAUAAGGUCUAUGUUAGAUGGAUGAUGCUGGAUAUAUAUAUAUAUAUAUAUAAAAGCAAUAUCAGCCCAGAACAUUUUUUGGUUUUAGUACAUAACUACAAUAUUAUAAAAUGGAAAAUGAUAAUUUAUGACUUGCUACAACUCUUACUCUCACAUAUUAACUGUGUACUUGUCACACUAAGGUGGUGAUCUAAAAAAAAAAAGUUACAAAACUAUUUUCCACUUUCAUCGUAUGUCAAAACAGUUUGACAAUCAAAAUGAUUUCUCCUUCAUAGAUAGUUUCUGUUUUUCUGAAAACAAUUCCAAGAAAAAGUAAAAAUGAACACUUGAGAUUGUACUCUCUGCAGGGAUUGGAAAAGCAAAAACAAAUAUAUUGCUGUAGAUUUCACCCAUCCAUAAAAAGGUUGGUCAAAUUCCUAUGUUUGUUACUGCAUCAGAGAGGUUGCCUGCAGAGGUUACGAGGUUAAAGAACAUGUUUCUGGUAAAAUCUAGUACAAGAAGAAUUCAGAAGAACCUUUUCACAAAUUGCACCGAAUAUAUAUAUCAGUACUGACCAAGGGGUCCUUUAGCCAUUGAAAGUCCAUGAAUUCUAAGCCUGCAAAAAGUGCUUGAAAUGAAGACAGUCAUAUCAAACCAAAGCAAAGAAAACAACACCAGACAUAAGAUGAAGGGCCCGAGUGACAGACAGCCUUUGCUUCAUUAUUGUGGCAAUGGCAUCAUUUGCCAGACUAUGUAUGUAUGCAUCAAUGAGCAGCUGCAGCAGCAGCAGCAGCAACAGCUUAUGAUUGUCAUGAUUCAUGGCUUUUGAGUUUGAGCAAAAGAACCCAUAUUUUGGGAGUUCUAUGAGGAAUGUACUCUUUUCUUGGCUAGGACGCAGAGCUGAGCCAGCUUGCUAGGCUCAAUGUCCACCAAGCCAAGCUAAGCAAAGGAAAGGAAAGCAAAUUGGAGACAGUUUUUCACAUUUCUUCUCUAGUUCUUUCCUUGAGGUAAAAGGGGGACCAAAAGAGAAAAAAAAGAAAGAAAAAAGAAACAACUGUAAUUAAAUAUUUGUGUGGUUACGAAGUUAUAGAAGUCGGAUUUUGUUAAUCAGUCCAUCAUCCAAUGACCAUCUCCUCUUCAUUGUAAGUUUUUUAUCAUUUCAUCUUAUCCAACUCUACUGCAUAUUUUAGUGCAGGGUCCUUUGACAUUGUAGUUUCUUGUAUACAACAAUCACAUACCAACCUUUGUGAUUAGGGUUGCGGAAGGAAUGAAGUUAGUAAUUUUGGGAGAGGGAAGGGAGAAUGAAGACGUAAAAACAGAGUCGUAAUGCAAAGUACUAGUAGUAUUUUCUUGCAAUCGAAAAUGGAAGGUGAUCUGAAGAUGUAUGUGACGCUGAAUUCAUGUAUUACUCCUGAGUUGUGUAUCGUCAUACACAACCUAGAAACUAAUAGAGAGUUGCAGGAUUUCGACAAAGUCACCGCCGUUCAGCUUCCCUAAUGUACUAGUGUGUGUGUGUGUGGCAAGGGCACGCAUGGCCCGACUACAAGUGGAGUGGAAAAUCAGCACUACCCAUUCGCUGACUCUGAGACAAAAAGAUCCCAUUUGAUCUUAAGAAACAAUCAACAAAUUUAUCUCUGGCAACUUGACCACUAAAAGGGAGGAUCUUUUGUACUCUAAGCCAGAUGUUCAAAGAAACAAAUCUGGGCUUUUGGGCAAGCAAGUCAAUUGGUACAUAUACUAUAGUACCAUGCCACUUUAACAGAAACCACAAAGGUAAGCCGGUUCCAUCUUUCCGGAAAAUUGUGUGGUUGGCACCUUAGAACUGCUUCCAACGUUGUUCGUUUGGAGGCUCCUAAAAGAUGUUGGCUAAUUAUGCAUACUGCAGACUAUAGUUUCUGGGGCUUUAGCAGACAAAGCUGAUACAGUUCUUAAAAUAUAUGUUAAUAUCCGUUCAACUGAUAUCUUAUUCACCACAUUAUCUGCAAAAUUUCGUUCUGAUUUCUAUGAUAAUAUCGAAAUGAAUAUCUGUACUACCUUAACCAAUGCAGUUGUUUCUUAAAAACUACCCAAGUUGAUUCACCAGGGUAUCCUCAUCAGAUUGGAUACAUCCUUUAAAACGAGAAAAAAGAGCAAGAUUGCUACAGGUGGGGGUAGGAAAUGUCUUGCGGAAGCAGGAUGCCGUCUCAUUCAAAAGUCAAAGUCAUAAUAAGCAUUUCCUACGUUAAAUAUUUGUGUUAUUCCUGCUCGUAAAACUGCAAAAUGUUCCAUUUUUUCCCAAAUCUACCUUCUAAACAUACUUCAGGCAUGGAAAUGCCAAAAAAAGAAGCAAAUUAAGAGUAACAAGAUGAUACAAUUCCCAAGUGUUGGGAAAGCCUGGAUGGCAGACGAAUACAUGAAUACAUCUCCAGGCAACCAGCUUCUACAUGAAUUACCAUACUGAAAUUCCUAUGCUUUCAAGCAUAUGUAGAUAAGAUAUUCUUCUUCAGGAUGAACUCAUCAGCCUUUGCUGCACUUAUUGCCUGCAUCACCAUUAAUCGAGUAAUGUAGAGAUAUCAGAAAACUUUGAAUAUUUUAUGUCUUUGAGUGACAAUUUCAAAUCGAUUAACUAAUUGAGAAGCUCAACAAACUUUUCAUAGCCAGAUACAGAAAACGACAUCCUCCAUAGCAUUUAUAGCACUAGAAAAACCAAUCAUUUACAUGACAUUCUUUUCUCUAUAAAAUUCUCACUGCAUCUUUCCUUUAGUCAUUAUUUCAAAAGAAGCUUUGUCGAUUUAUUGUUCUAAAAGUGAGCUGUGAUUUCUAGAUAGUCAUUGUCGCAAGACAUGAUGUGCAACUAUAAUUACUGAGUGCUAAUCAAAGAAGAAUAAAAGAGUAGCUGCAGAAAAUUUGAAGAACUAACAUAGGAACAGCCCGAGUAUUACCUUAGCAAGCAUACGUUCAAGUCUCUCAAUUUCAUUCUUAGCAUAAUCUGCACCUUUUUCCAAGCAGCUCUUGGCAGCUUUCAGAUAGAUUUUCCCAUAUCUAAACAAAACAAUUUCAAACAAAAAGAUCAACACUGGACUGUGCUUAAAUAUAUAUCCUUUUUCUGAAAAAGGCACGAUCCUCAUUAGAACAUUUAAUCGAAAACUGAUUCAAGCAUAAUUACAAGACCAGACCACAACGUUUGUAAUUUAAGCUUCAUUAUCAAAUGGAAAAUACAUAGGAAUACAAAUUUGCAGAAAAAAUAAGAGAAAAAAUCAUCAUAAAAACCUUGCAGAGGGACCCGUCAAUUUCUGGGCUUCAUCCUCCAGCCGUGUAUAUAUUGACUUCUUCUCCUCAUCUGAAGCACUUACAAACUCCUUCACCAAAAUAUCAAGGGAUUCAACAAUACCAGCCUGUUUUGUAAGACAAACAAAAAUACAAAAUUGGUAUUAGUACCGGUGUUGUGUUACUUUACAACAGUAUGAGAGUUUGCCACUAACCUGGGAAGUUAAUUGUCCUUUUGCAUCACGGCUGGUGCCGGUUCUCUCAUUGAUGAAAGUAACAAAGUCGUCUAAAUCGCGACCACCAUCAUAAUCUUCGCCGGCUUUAUUGCCCUUUGGGAAGAACUUCAAUGUAGGAUAACCACUUACACCAUAUCUGAUUUGGCAAAAUAUUAGCAUAAAAUCUUCUACAAACACAGAAGACAAGGGGUUUUUGGGGGCAGUGGUGUAGAGAUAGAGAGCAUCCCAGUUCUUUGCACAAAGAUGGAUCAACUAGAAACAAUAACAGCAGAAGCAGAAAUCUGAUGGAAAAAUCAAUUGGCUAAGGACCAAAAAUGCAAACAUAUCAAGGACUCACUUCUCAGCAAGAUCUUUGUACUUGUCUGCGUCAACAUUAGCAAUAACCACAUGAUCCUCCAACUUAAAUGCUGUAGCCACCUUUUCAUAUGUCUGCAUAAUAUAAAAAUAGAAAGUCAGGCUUUUAGUCAAAAGUUGUUUGACAGCUUCCAACAUAUUCCAUUAGCUAGUAAUGCACAUACGGGAGCAAGGCUUUUGCAAUGACCACACCUGCAAAAGAUAAAGCAAAAUCAGAGAUGCAAAAUGAUGUAUAAUCAUACUGGACUUCCAGAGCUAUCACACAUAGUUGAUUGGAAAACAAAUUGGCAACCUAAAAGAGGAUUUGCAACAAAGAAAAUGUACCAGAACCUAUAUAUUACCAGGGGGCAUAAAACUCAACCAGAACAUCUUUUUUCUCAUCAAGCACAAUCUCAUCAAAGUUUUCUGGAGUAAGUACCACAACAUUUGAAGGAACUGCAGCUAUCUUGACAUUUGUCCCUACACAGAAAAUGGUAUUCAAUCUUCAUAUGUUGAGCAUAUAUCAUCCAGAUGCGGAUUAAAAAAAUAGCUAGAUAAUAGAUGGAGGUCACUGAAUUUGCAAUAGAAUUUUUGGUAACAUUUGUUUGAAAAGACAAUAGGACAAAAUCUAUCAAACAAUACAGCAUACAACAUACAACUUCAGUAUUCCUUUUGAGAAGGAAAAGGAUAUGUUAUUGAAACUUGUCUAGAUGAGUAUCCGCCCCUCAAUAAUAAGCUUUAAUUAUAUAGCAUCUAAUUUUGAGAUCGAGUGGAAGAGAAAAGCAUUGAACAUUGAACAUUGAACAGGAACACAUAAUAGAAUGAAAGGUAACCAAGCACAUGAACUGAUUUCAUUCCUUCAAGCUGCAGUCAGUCCAUCCACAAAGAAUUUUGUCUUUUAUGAAGUGGACAUAUCUCACGCUCUUUGAAAUUACAAGUUCUUUUAAAAAAAAAAAUUAAGAAUUAGCCUUCCAUGUAUUCCUGUUAACAACUUCUAAUGAUAUAUGAGGCACUUUUUGCACACCUAACACACAAACACCAUGUGUUCGAGGUAAAAAAAUUCUGCCAAUGUUACAGCACAUAAAAAAGUCAUUAGAAUAUUUCAUAUUAAGAGAUUAAGCGUGCAGUAAUAUGUCAGUUAUCAAUUACUUAUUUUUCUCCAAACUGCAUGCAAAACAAGAGAUCAAUGAAAGGCACCUUGAAAUUCAAUGAUGACAAUUCCUUCAAGUUGCUGUAACUAAAUUCGAUGAAUAUGAUAAUCUCUUUAUUCAAGAUGAACAAUCAAAAUUAAAUGCUUAGAAGGGAUUACAACUAAACAUUACUGCAGCUGAAAAAUCCAUGUAUAGUAUAAAUACUAGCUACGAUGCAGUUCAUGUAUGCUCAAGAUCAGGAAGAAUUAAUGCCAAAGUCCCACUAUCAGGUAUUUAAGGUGAUAUUUCAGCACAAUGAAUCCAAAAGAGUUUGGUGAUAUCUUAAGGUGAAGUAAAUUUCUAAUCUUCAUAAGUAAUAUGGAUUGGAUUUUAACAUCUACGUGGAUUAUUAAACAGCUUUACCAAAAUAUGCUUUAACGUAAAUCUAACAAACUUGUUAACAUGGAUUACACUUAUGGAGUACAAAAUACAAGCCAGCUAGCCAAUAACAUUACCUCCUUCACUGUUCACAAACUCAGCAAGGGCUUCUGCAGAUCGUGCACCUUCAUACCUAAGAAUAAAAAUAGAUUCAUGAGGAAUACAAUUGUAUGAACUCAAGGCAUGCCAGUUAUAUUUACAUAUAGUCAACACCAGGACAGAAAUCAUUUUCGCAGAGCAAGUAAAGAAAAACAAAGACCUUUUGAAAACUCCAGUAUUACACAUAUACUCACUUUUUGGGCUCCAAGGAACCUUUCGGAAACCAUUGGAUGGUGGGGUAGCCAGAAACACCAUAUUUGCUGCAAAGGCUCUUAUGCUCAUCGCAGUCCACCUACAACAAUAUAAUUUGACAAAAGUUCAAAAACUAAACUUAUUUUUGCUAUAAUUCACAGCUAAACCAUUGAUUAAUAUUUUUUAAGUAUUGAAAUUAAAUCAGAUGCAACAUAGAAGAUCCACAACAGCUAAGAAAGUUAAACCGACGUUGAUAACAGCAAGCCACCAGAUAGUAAUGGACCUCAGGUUCCACACACUCAAGAUUUUUGUGAUGGAAAUCAAAUAGAGCAUACCCAGUUUGUGAGGAUGAAAAGAUAAAAUGUAAGCACUUUUUCAACAUGAAAUAACCGUAUAUUUUGUCUGAGAGAGUUUUGCCAUAGCAUCUUGCUCUAUAUUAAUGCAGCUGCCAAGGAUGACAACUCCUAAACCAGUGAUCAGAAAAAGCACAAAGAUAGAUGAUUCAUACAAUGGCAAAAACCUUAAUAAUGUACAACUCCAAAAUCCAUUAAAAGAAACACACCACAAUGGCAUGGCAAAAGCCAUGAAUUUUGCAUCAUAUCUGAGCUCUCUACAGCAAUGCAAUAGUAACAUUCCCAGAAGUUACAAGCUUUAGAUUGUACCAACUUUAGCUAAACUACUUAAUAACCCAAGGCAAAUGUUCUUAUCGAUAUAGCAACACUACAAGCCUAGAGUAAAAAAGAGGCUUUUCCCACCAUAUUUGAAAGGGUCAAUGUAUCAUAAAAGAGCUGAAAAGCUAACCUUUCCAAUCAAAACAGAUUUAGCUUUCUUGAAACUAGCACCGAGCUUUUCGUACUCUGGAGCAAGCUUCUUACAGUGCCCACACCUGCAAAUGCAUCACGGGGAGAACCACCAAAAAAAAAAAUUCUUUACAUCUUCCCUUACAGGAACAGCUCAAAAUCACUUCAAAUCAGCAAACAUAAUGAUAUCAAAAAUCAAUCUCGCAUUCCGACACAGUAGUUUUUCAUGCUAGUCCAUCUAUCUCCUAAAUAUCAUACACGGCAACAGACGAAAACUGGCAGAGCCUAUGACUCCACAUAUAAAUAUAAAACAGAGCAAAAUCACAGCAAUCUUUUUCGCAAAGAUCCGAAUUCGACUAUUACAAAAAAAAAAAAGUUCGCGGAUCUAAAAGCAAUUAAAUACAUCAGACUCCAAUUCAUCAAAACCAUCAAAAAACUUACAUCCAAUUCACCAUGACCAAAAAAAACCUCGCAGAAAUUAACAAAUGAAGGAAAUAACGGGGAAUCAGCCAAUCAGGCAUACCAAGGAGCGUAGAACUCGACGAGAGCCCCGCGAUCUUGACCGACCUCUUUCUCAAAAUUCUCUUCAGUCAAAACGACGACGUCGUCAGCUAAGGCCGAUGCGAAGAAGAAGAACAGAGCUAGGGUUACCAAAGCUAUUGAGAUCCGUAGCCUCGACAUUGUUUUCUCUAAUAUAACUGGAAAUUCUCUCCUACUACUGCUACUGCUGCCACUAAAUCGCAGGCAAAGAGUGAUGCGGGAUAUUUCCCAGGUAUGGUUUUAGGCAAACAAGGGAUUGAAGGCUUUUAUAGUUUUAGAAGGAAAAAAAAAGCCAAAUUUUAUAGUGCCAAAAAAAAAAAAAACUGAAGACUUCCUAUCUAGCAGGAGGAGCAAAGUUUGAACUUUGAAGGAGAGAAGUAGAAAACAUGUCACGUUGGCUCAUUCCACCAAUGAGGGAAUGACUAGUGUACUGCUUUUGUUUUCCCUGCCAAUAAAAUUGCAGUAGUGUUUCUGGAAAAAGGAGCAGUUGUUCUUUUUACUUUUUUUAUAUAAUUAAUUUUUUUAUACACUGAUAAUGUAUAUAUUUUUACUAUUUAAUGGUUAUAUAAUAUAUAAUUUAAAUUUAAAUUUGAAAUAAAAUUCAAAUAUUACAUAUGCAUUGUCAUUGUCAUUGUAUAUGUAAGAUUUACUACUCUUAUCUCAUUCAUAAUUGUUAUUAGCGUUUGGCACUUUCUUUUUUCUUUUUAUGAUGUCACUCUUAUUGACUUUACAUAUAUAUAUAUAUAUAUAUAUAUAUAUAUAUAUUUGUGUGUGUGGUUCAAAUUCGAAAAGGUAUAAUAAAAGUACCAUCAUAACAAAAAAAAAAAAAAGUGAAGUACUAUGAAUAGGUUUGUUUGAAUGUCAUCUUAUUUGCAAAAAAAAAUUUUACUUUGAUCAUAAACAUGUUUUUCAAACAUCUCUUUUAUAUCUCCAGUUAUCUUUUUAUCUCAUAUAAGUCACAUUAGAAAAAAGUGUUAUAGUACUGUUUUAAAUAAUUUUUCAAAAUAAUCUCCUAGCCAAGUUAUUUUCCUGUAAGAGAUAAUGACCAAUGGGUAUAUAUUUUGUUAAUCAAAUUCUACUCCAAAUAGGGACCCUAUAUAUAUAUAUAUUCAAAAAAAAAAAAACAAAGUAAAGUAGGAAGAAUGAAGUGCAUGAACACAUGUAGGUAAGGGAACACAAGGUCAUGCACAGAUGCACACUCAUGUUGCGGACGCAUUGGAGUAUGUUUUUAUUUUUUUUCUAAUGCAAUGCAGUUUCUGAUAAAAAGUCUAAUAUUGCAAAUUGUCAAAACGAACUAGCUACUUUUUAUGAAUGCCUUUUUUGAAACUUUUCUUUUUUUGUUCACAACGAUAAUACUCAGAGAAAGCCAUCCAAAGGUGGCGGCUACAAUUAAAUGACAAAUACGGUGGGAGGUAAGGUUGAACCCUGGACCCCCACCUCCCUUAGACUUUACCAACAGCUAUUGCAAUAUGCAAGUCUUUGAAUGCUGUUGCAAUUUGUUGGCCUAUAUACCUUCUUUGAAUGCUAUUGCAAUUUGCAACACUUUUGUACCAGUACAUAAAAACAAUUGUUAUAGCCAUAAAUGGUACUCCUCAAGCCAGGUGUAAGCUUUCUUCUUAACCUAUACAAGAAGAAAAAACCUAAGGGUUGACCUAUCAGUGGUACUGCUUUAUAAUUAUCAAACUAGGGAAAGGCUGCCAAUACAAGAAUGCCUUCUUGUUUUGUCUAAUACUAGUACUAUCUUGUUUACACUAGCAAAACAUUCAUUGGAUCUAAAUCCAGUGUAUAGGAUUUUUUUUAAAUUCUUUUCUUUUAUGGGUAAAUAGCAAUCCUUCAUAAAAAUGGUUGCUUAUUUGCAUCUAACUUCAAAGUAUUAGCAAUCCUAAAUUUUUUUAACCAUGGGAAGGGGUGAGAUUUUAGUUAAGAAGCACGGACGGACAUGAAAGAUAGGAAUUGAACGCAAAACCACUAAUUCGUGGGUUUCAACCUUAACUAUUAAACUAAAAAAAAUUAAUUGUUGUUUUUUUUUUCAGAAUUUGCAGCUGAAUGAUAGUUUCAUAUUUUUGGUAUCAAACUAUGUGUAUAAUAACACAUUAACCUGACAUGAUUUUUUUUUUUUUUAUAAUUAGAUUACAAGGGGUCCAUAAUAGAUGGAAUAACACAACCAACAAAUUGCUAACCCACCAAUUAUCACAAUUCAAUCAAUAGCACUGCACAUAAAUCCAAUCAUCACAAUUCAAUCAAUAGCAUUACAACUGAACCCACAAAAGGGUAGGAGAAGAAACGCACAUAUGAGAUAAUUGUCAUAUUAUAUUCCUGUUUCUUUCUACUGGAAAAACAAUUUGAAAGCAAACCAUCAUAAAUUCAACAAAUAUUAAUAUUGCCAACCCAAAUUCAUUGUAAAAACAUUGCACCAUCAAGAAGGGAUUAACUUAAGGGGGGUGUUGCGAGAAUCGAACUCGCGCCCUCUCGCACCCGAAGCGAGAAUCAUACCACUAGACCAAACACCCUCUCUCCCUUUAAAGAAGACGACGUACGAUUAUUUUGUAAAUCAACGGUCAAAAGUAAAUUAAAUAGCUUUUUUUUUUCCUCCAAAUUUGUACUGCCUCCUCCUCCUCCUCCUUCUAAUUCCCCAAUUUCCCCCCCGAGUGUUCAGGCUGUCCCGUCUGAAUUCAAAUGUGAAAUUAGGGUUUAUAGUACUCCUGUAAUUUGAAAAUUAGGGUUUUUUUCUUGAAAAAGGAAGAUAGUUUAGCAACUUCAUUUUCAAUUUAAGUUGCUGUACCUGGUGAUUAAUUCAUAGUCCGAAGCAGCUUUACAUCUCUGAAGCAUCAAGAGCAAUGGCUCAAUCUAAUAAUAGCGUAAGUUCAAAACCUUAUCAAGUUUGUUUACUUGCAAACAAAUUAUUGGACCCUGUCAUGUAAUUUAAGUUAGUUAUUUUAAUGGAUUUUUUAAAAAUAUUUCAUAUUUUGAUGAUAUUUUUUUGGGGCAGGUCGCUGGAGUUGACAACACUUUCCGCAAGAAAUUCGAUCGAGAAGAGUAUUUGCAACGUGCUCGCGAACGUGAAGAAAAGGUUCUCCUGGUUUUUUUCUUUUUUUUGGGGGCUUUUUCUUAUGAUUUCUCGAAUAAAGUUUUUUUUUUUUUUUGUCUUUUAUUGUAGGAGGCAGAGACGAAGUUCAAAAAAUGUAAUAUUAUUUAGCUUGCCUGUUCUUCAGCUGUGAUAAACGAGUUGGUUCAGCUGUGAUAAAUGAGUAUAGUGUGCUGAUGCACAUUUGGCCAAGUUUUCAAUUCUUCUGCACUUGGUUUAGAUAGUGGCAUUCCAUUCCAAUUUAUUGGUUUUAGGUGCUGAACUUGAAAGUUUUCAUGUGCAGCCAAAGGUCCACCGGUGCAGAGGAAACCCUUGAAGCACAGAGAUUAUCAAGUCGACCUUGAAUCUCGAUUAGGAAAGACUCAGGUUAGUGUCCUUCAGUUCUCUUUGUAAUUGAUUGUUUUGUUGAAAUCAAGAGGAUCUUGGGCUUGAAUUCUUGCUGCUACUUGGGCUUUGAAGUUAUUGGUGUAGGUUAUGUUACUAACUUGCGUUCUUCACUUGCGUUGAGCAUGAAUCAUGAUGAGCUGUAGGUCUAAUGAGCUGCUUUAGUGGACAUUAGGAGUUGCUAAAUAUAAUCUGAAGAGGUAUUUAUCAGCUGUUGUCCAUCUUGUGUUGGAGUUGCAUGCUGAAAAUCUUUACUUUCUCGAUGCAACUGCUUAAAGUUAUGUUAAAAGAUUCAGUGGCUGCUUUGGUGGUCUCCCAUAUUGUCGGUUGAUGGCUGCGUUUUAUCUGUUUGUUCGUCACAGCUAAGUAAAAAGAUUCAGUUGAUGUAGAUAUGGGGCUGAGAUAGAAGUAUCACAUGCUAGAACAAUUUAAUGGGUUCGUAUAUGCUGUUAUAUUUUAGGAUUUGGGGCUGACAUUUCUGUGUACUAGGUUUGCCUUAUUUUAUCAUGUUGCUUCCAUUGACAAUAUGUUAUACAACCUUGAGUUGAAAAUGAACUGCUGCGUUUCUAACCUUCUGUAGCUCCUCACUUGGUUUUCACAGUGCUAAUGCCUUCUGUCUGUGCAUUUUAUGGCAGGUUGUCACUCCGGUUGCACCCCUAAGCCAACAGGUAAUCUCCAGGCUUACUUUCACUAGCAUCAUCACAUUCCUUUGUAAGGGUUGGAUCUGACAUACAACUAUGUUCCUAAUGUCCUUGGAAAAGAACUUUAUAUAUGCCAAGGCAUUAAUACAAUGAAAGGAUUACAUGAAACUGGAUCACAAUUUAAACCUAUUGUUAAUUAGUCCAUGUGUUGUACUGUAUGAGGGUUUCAUGGUUAUCUAUGAAGUAGUAUAUGCAUGUUUUUGUUUCUCAAAAUCUUAAUAGUCCCUAUCCUUUUUCAUACAUUAGUAAUUUUUACCCUUGGAUUUUCAUGACAGAGAUUGUUGUAUUGCAGGCAGGAUACUACUGCUCGGUUUGUGAAUGUGUAGUAAAAGAUUCAGCAAAUUAUUUGGACCAUAUUAAUGGGAAGAAGCGUAUGUGUUCCAUGUGUGUUGAAACUGUCCCUUUUGGACAUUAUUUCUGUCAAUUAAUGUGCUAUUGUUUUCCUUUUAGAUCAACGAGCUCUGGGUAUGUCUAUGCGGGUGGAGCGGGCAUCCCUGGAGCAGGUAAGCUUGUGCAAUCUGUCCUUCAACUUCUUAGUCAUUUUUUGUCUUGUGUUUUAGAAAAGCAAUAAUUUGGCUUUUGUCCAAUGGGGAAAGGGGAAGGGGAUUGGGGAAGAUAGGGGGUUGGUAGGUUUGUAAUUGAGACCAUCUUUGGUGGCUAAUUUUUAUCAUACUUUGCCACUAGAUGUUAUGAACUGUUUUGAAAGAGUUGGUAUGUGCAAAGAAAAGAAAUAACAAAGAUCAACUGCUUAAUGUUAUUCUGUACAAAUUUGAAAAACAUUAUUGAUCUGCUAUGACGACAACUGAUAAAUGUUUAGUUUGAUAAGGGGUGCAAGUUUGCAGCAUUAACUGAAGAUGCAGUUUUUGGACUUCUCUCAGUUGUGUGGUUGAUGUCGAUAUUAUGUUUGGAUUCAUCUCUGGGUAAAUAUAGGUUGAAACUGCAACUACUACUGUUUUUUCCCUUAAGAUUUAUGUGUACAGACAUUUUGUUUUGAGCCGAAGUAUGCCAAUUGACAUGCCAUGCUCUGGAAAGGCUAUUAGCAGGCCUAUUCAUGUAGUGCUCUUGUUUGCCAUUUCUAGGAACUGAUUUUAAUCUUGUAAGUUUUUCUGGAACUGGAACGAAGGUUUUGGCUUCUAAUGCAAGUGCUGAGAAUAUAUAUCACAGGUCCAGCAGCGGUUCGAGCUUCUAAAGAAACGGAAAGACACUGUAGGGUUUACUGAGCAAGGUAAUAUUUAAAUAAUUACUAAUUGAUGUUAAAGUAUUGAAUAAAACGUGUUUCUCUUAGUUAUUAUGCAUGAAUUAUGAUUGUCAGACUCAUUAUUGAUUGUUUCCUUUGUAGACUUUGAUGAGAGAAUCUUGAAGCAGCAGCAAGAAGAGGAGGAAAGGAAGCGCCAGCGCCGUGAAAAAAAGAAAGAGAAGAAGGUUUGUACUUGAAUUUCUGUAGUCUACUACUUAUUACUCUUUUGGUUCUGACCCAUCAUGAGCUUAUGGCGCAUGCUGAUUUGUUCUACUCAGAAAGAGAAGGCUGUAGAAGAGGAACCUGAAUUAGAUCCUGAUGUUGCGGCUAUGAUGGGCUUUGGGGGAUUUCGAUCUACCAAAAAGUGAUGGUGCGCAUGAUUCGUUUGCCUGUUUAUAUCACCUUCACCUGAUGUAUUCCUUUUGAGCUUCUGUCUUACUUUUGAACUGCUCUGAUUGUACAAAAUUGAAGGUUUGUCAUGGAAAGCCUGUGCAACUUGGUCUGCAAACUAGCUGGGAUGGCAAAGGAGGGUGUACUAUGAGAUUGUCUAAUUCUAGUUUAACAGACAGCAAAUCCGAAUGUAACUUGAGUUGUCAAAAUAUCAGCCUGCGCUUGGUAGGAUUUUGUUGGGCUGAUUUGUGUUUGACUUUUGCCCUGCUGCUAUACAAAUCAAAUGCAUUCUUUUGAGCAACUCUCUUGCCUUUUCCUGAUUGAAAAAUUCAGGCCAACUAUUAUGAUUCCAUGAGCAAUCAUCUUCUCCACAGAUGCUUCUGCUUGCAGGUUAAUGAAGUGUAUUCCUGUGCGUUGCAGUUAGUAACCGCGAGACAGCGUUAUCUUAAACUUCUACCACAAAACUAAUCCAGAGAAAAACAAUUGUCCGGUUUCUUGCAACAUUUGUUGCUAAAUUCCCUCAGACACUAAAGAAUCCUAUUCGACAAAAAUUAGGUAAGCAACUGCUUAUAGGGUAGAUUUCCCGUGUUUUGCCACCACUAGUUAUGUUGAAUAAGUUGCUAAACAAAUGAAAAAAUACGGCGAGAACUCCAAAUACGGCAGCAUAUUUGGAGGAUUGGAAUAGUCCCUCGAUAUAUUUAUCGAUUAUCAUUUUACCUGACAUAUUAUAAUUAUAAUAUAUUUUUUAUUAAAAAGAGACUCAAAAAUUGCAAUCUAAAGAGGCUAUAAUAUUCCACAAAAUUGUUCCUAUCAGGGGACAAUGGGACUUUGAGUUAAAUAAUGAAUUUUGCUUCCGAGGGAAAUGAAAUGAAUUUUUCAGUUGACAAACUAUUUUUUUUUGGAAUAUUUUGUUAGUCGUAUUAAUUAAUUGUAAGGCAUUCCACAUAAUUAAGCCAAAAAGGUUCCCGCCAAAAUCCAACCCCUUCUCCUCGUUUCCCGCUAACAGAUCAUGCUGAGCGAGAAAUAGCGCAUGAACAGAGGAAGCGGGAAGGCGGUGGAGCGGAGGCUCCUCCACCUUCUGCACGGCCGGAAAACCCGAACCCACCUCACUGAAAUCCAUGCUCACUUCCUCCGCCACCAUCUCCACCACUCCAACCAGCUCCUCUCCCAUUUCGUCUCCGUCUGCGGCUCCCUCAAUAAAAUGCCUUAUGCCAACCUUAUCUUUCAACAAUUUCAAUACCCCAAUAUCCUCCUCUUUAACUCCAUGAUAAAGGGCUACUCCUUAUGCGGGCCUUACGAAAAAUCCCUUCAUAUAUUUACGGCCAUGAAAAGCCGCGGCAUUAUGCCCGAUGAGUUUACGUUUGCGCCUUUACUUAAGGCGUGUACGAAUCUUGGUGACCCUGAAUUGGGUGAAGCGGUUCAUAAAGAGGCGCUUGUUCUUGGGUUUGAGAGAUUUGGGUCUAUUAGGAUAGGAAUUGUGGAGCUAUACUCGAGUUGUGAGAGGAUGGAUGAUGCAAGGAAGGUGUUUCAUGAAAUGUCUCAUUCAGAUGUGGUUGUUUGGAACUUCAUGAUUCGUGGGUAUUGUAAGAUUGGAAAUGUUAAAAUGGGAUUUCAGCUGUUCAGACAAAUGGAUGAGAGGAGUGUUGUCUCUUGGAAUACAAUAAUUUCGUGUUUGGCGCAGAUUGGGAGGGAUAAGGAUGCUUUGGAGCUUUUUCAUGAAAUGUGGGAUGGUGGGUUUGAGCCGGAUGAGGCGACUGUGGUUACUAUGUUGCCGGUUUGUGGCCGAUUGAGGGAAGUUGAGGUUGGUAAGUGGAUUCACUCUUUUGUCGAGUCAAAUGGUCUCUUUCAAGAUUUUGUAACAGUCGGUAACGCACUAGUUGACUUCUAUUGCAAGUGCGGGGACCUAAAUACUGCUUUUCUGGUAUUUAGGAAGAUGGCCAGAAAGAAUGUGGUUUCUUGGAAUGCAAUGAUUUCAGGUGUGGCUUUCAAUGGCAAGGGGGAACUUGGGGUUGAAUUGUUUGAUGAGAUGACAGAUGAAGGUGUGAGCCCGAACGAUUCAACUUUUGUGGGAGUUUUAGCAUGUUGUGUCCAUGCGGGAUUGUUGCAAAGGGGUAGGGACUUGUUUAGCUUGAUGUUUGGAAAGCAUAGUAUAAAUCCAAAGCUUGAGCAUUUUGGAUGCAUGGUCGAUCUUCUUGGACGUAGUGGUUGCUUAAAAGAGGCUUUUGAUCUAAUAGAGACAAUGCCAAUGAAGCCAAAUGCCCGAUUAUGGGGUGCACUGCUUAGUUCUUGCAGAACUCAUGGUGAUAUGGAACUUGCAGAAAGAGCUGUUAAGGAGCUUAUUAAUCUGGAACCUUGGAAUUCUGGAAACUAUGUGCUGUUGUCAAAUAUAUAUGCAGAAAGGGGGGACUGGGAUGAAGUUGAGAAGCUGAGAGUGUUAAUGAGAGAAAACAGUGUGAUUAAGGUGCCAGGACAGAGCAUGUUUGGGUAAUUCGCUGGUGCAAUUGACGAACUCUUUUGUGAACAUCUGAUCUGUUAGUUAUGGCAGAUGGAGAGAUGCAUAGGCAGCACAGCCAGUUGGCGCAAGGUAUGAGAUGAAUUGAAGAUCAGGCGUGAGAGAUUGGCCCUCAAUGCAUGUGAGUCCGACCCAUUUGACUCGCAACUGCUGGGAGCAAAAUGUUUGAAAAGCAAAGAUUGAACAGAAGAGCAAUUGCAUUGGAAGCCAAUAUUGCUUGACUGACCGAGUAAUUCCACAAAAUUUUCAACAGAAGAAAAUAAUCAAGUAAAAUAGCAGAAUGGACAAAACUGGAAAAUAGUUUGAAUGUUGGAUAUGCAAAGAUGGGAGCAGAUAUCAUGUAGCAAAUUUGAUGAAAAAAAAUGUCCUUUGUCGUCGGCCUUCUUUUCGCCAACUUUUCAUUUUUUGACCAAAAUUUUCAUACCAUAUAACUUUUCUGGUCCCCCCCCCCCCUCCCUAUUGGGUGGAAACAAUUUCGUUUUCUUUGUUUCUAUUAUAUUUUGUGUGGAACUUCUGAACAGAAUACAAAGUGGCUCUUAUGAUCAAGGUCUUUAUCAAAUUUUUGAUUUCCUUCAAUGACACAAGUUUGAUGUAGCUGAUCUUAUACCGGAAGAGCAUUUAUAUUCCAAUCAGAAUAUGGAACUUGUUUAAUAAUUAUAGUUGAACAAAAAAGGUGAGUCUUCAUCUUCUAUACCAAUCUCUAUCUGGUGCAUUUUAUCUGACGAACAGAUGUUGAAUCCCAUAAAACGAGGUCAAAUUUAAUGGUACUACGAUCAGAGUGACUGCAUCUGAGAACCUUGGCAAAUCACUACGCCAGUUGGUAAUUAAUUCAACGCCCCCCGCCCACCACCACCCCUGCAUAUCUUAUACAUUGCAUGGGGCAUAACCAUGUCCAAUUACAUAACAAAUGAUGCCUAGAAUUCUACAAAAUUAAUUAUAGAAUUAAUGAAUAAGUACUUUGCAUAGAAUUUAAUGGGAGAUUUACAUGAGAAGUGAAGAGUUUGAGACGCAUUGGUACCGCAGAAGACAUGCACAUAUCCUUGAAGGAAGAAUCCCAUGAGCCUCGUAAGCUCUAUAAAUAGUAUUCACUAGCAUUCUGUCAUCGCAUCAGCGUACGACCUAGAGAUUUUUGAGUUUGGGUGACCCUUUAUUGGAAAAAUCUGUUGAAGAAGGAAAAGAUGGAAUACAAGAGUAGUUGCUGUUCUUCGAGGAAGUACACCUCCAGCACUCCAGCUGCAACAACUCCGAAGAAGGAACCAACAGUUGUAACGACAAAAAAGGACAUUAAGACAGAGAAGAAGGAGACUGCUGCUGUUCCUGCUGCAAGUCAGGCUGUUCCAGUAGCUAAAGACAUUAAGACUGAGGAGAAGGAGACAGCUGCUGUGAAGCAAGAGCCAGUGAAGGUGAAUGUUCGUGUCCGUGGAGGUGGUGAGCCUUCACGUGAUUAAGUAACUGCAUAUUAUUAUGGGGCCUGUGCCAUAUGGUAGUCAGAUAUAAAAUGAUGAAGUGAUUAAUAUCCUCGUGGAUCUUUAGUAGUAGUAGUUCUGCGUAAUAAGAAUGCUGGUGCAGGUUCCCUCUAUGUAAAAUCCGAUUUUAUCAAUCUAUAUUAUGCGAGUUCUUAUUCUCUACUGCGCUCUCUGUCUCUUUGAAAAAAAUCCUAGAAGUUUAAGGGUGAUUUUAUUCGGUAGGGCUGUGACAAUGAUGUUGUCUAAAAUUUGGAUCUGAUUUGAAGCUUGACGUUGCUUGGUAUAUUGACUGAGAAGUUGAAACACGAGUCAGUAUGCAUAAUCAACUCCGGGUUGGUUGCAGCUGAUGCUGUUGCCUUAAGAUUAAUAAAAGGAAGUUUGCGCUAAAUAUGGUGCAUUUUCUUGAUGUGAUAGCGUUUUACACGUAUAGAAGUGUAACUUUUAAGAAGAGCAUACAUGCUACUCCACAUAUUGGACAUUUUUAAUGAUGAUGCAGAAGCCAAAAAAACCAAAGUGCUGUGACGGGUAAGGCAUGGUAUCUGAAGGUAAAGUGACUUCUGCUUGAAUAACUGAUACCACCAUGUACGCAAGCUGCCAAAAAUUUGCCAAAAAUUUUUGCUUUCGUAAGAAAAUGUCAGAAAAAAAAAAAAAAAUGUACGCAAGCUGCCACAUCAAAGAUAACUACGAAUGAUAAAAAAGGGAAGAUGUCAUAAACUUGCAACCCUCUACAGAUCUUUAUGUCACUGGAUAUUACUCCAAAACAUCAUUUAAUUAUAAUGGACAUGAUUGAUUGAUUACAUUUGCUAACUGGAGCGAAAUGCUGUGCUACUUUAGUAGAUUAACUCCUAUCAGUGUACCUACCUCUUUGAUCAGUACAGCUGUGGCGACCCCACUUCCCCCUAAGGCGAACCAAAGGGUUGGCGGGCCGUCUGCCCAGCUCUCGCCAGGACUCACGCAAGCAAACCGAUCAAAUAAUCCGGUAUAGCCUAAACUAAAAUACAAUUCGCCAUCGGACAUGCCCAACUUUAAAUGGCUGGAAUGUUAACACACAUUAACUUCAGAGAUAACAGGGCCAAUAACAUCCGAACCUUCACUCUUAAGAUACAACUCAAACUACUUUAACGCAUAGAUACCUUUAUACAUUACAAACCAAGAAGUGAAAUCAUAAAGUAUAGAACACUUCCGUACAAGUCAAAACAUAGAAUUUGCACUUUUCCAGCUUCAAGUGACAACCCAAACAAAGACACAAGAACAAUCCGAAAUAAAAUUUACACAAAUGAACAGAUGAGCUUCAAGUCUCUCGAUUUCCAAGACCUGUUAAGGAAAAACAAAUAUCGUGUGGUGAGCUAAAGCUCAGUGGUGCCCGAAACAUGCAAUCAAAUCAAUUACUUAGCAAAUAGUAAUUUCAACUUAAAUUCAGCAAGUAGGAAAGCGUGUAACAGCACGUGUAGGAUACAUGGGCUCUCAGGAGCCAUUUUCCUUGCGCUUGAUCAAAACUACCCGCAGUUGACCCUCCAUCAACUUUCACCAUCUAAAGUCCAUGUAGAUUCAUUAUUGUUAUUUUUUUAUUAUAGACUAGUCGAGGGAUUCACCCAACGACGUUGCGUCCAGCAUGAGGUUAUUAUAGACUAGUUGAGAGAUUCACCCAGCGACGUGGCGUCCAGCAUGUUGUUAUUAUAGACUAGUCGAGGGAUUCACCCAGCGACGUGGCGUCCAGCAUGUGGAUAGUGCAAGCAGAAUAUUCACGAAAAUAUUUCAAGCAAGCCACCACUCGAAAGAGCUAGUGCGAUAAAGUACACACUGCCCACUUCGAUGGAUCAGAAAACCACUUUUCCAAAUCAUCACAUUUUAAUUCAAGAAAGCACUUUAAUCACGUAGGAAUAGAACAAGCAGGGACACUCACAAAGAGUGAAGUUCAGAUGUCAAGUUGGGAAUCGAAUUCCGCGUCCUCGCAAUAUCCUAAAAACCAAAUUUUGAAACUAUAAGUUCUCUAUUCAAUUUUUAAGCUUAUUCGUAUAGAGGAUUAUCUAAUAUAUUACUAGUUUACUUCCUCAAAGUAAUUUCAAAAAUCUACUUAGGUUGAGACUUGACAAAAGUAGAGAAAAUGUUUCUUAUAGUUUUCCUUGAGAUAUUUUUCCUUAUAGAAGGGUAACUAGUAUUAUUUUCUUGAAAUAAGUCGACAAUCCACUAAGGAUUAAAACUGGUAAAAGUAAUAAAAUAUUCCGUAUAGUUUCCUUAUAUUACUUUUCUUUCUAAAGAUGUAGCUAGAGCUGCUUUACUUGAAUAAGUUUGCUUACCGAACAAGUCUUCUACGCCUUUUGUUUAAAACUAUUGAAAUCUCACGUUUUUAACGAGUUUCUCAAAACAACUAGUCAGGGGCAGCUUUUAUGGAAUGAAAAGAAAAGUAAGCUAGUACCUAGGAUUUUAAAACAAAUGAAAUCAUUUUCUAAGAAAGGUACUAAAGCUAAUUUAAGCUUAAGAAGGAAUCGUCGAGUCGGCAAAGUUUAGAAAAUCCUUACGCAAGAGUUUCUACUUAAAAGUACAAUACUAAGUUUUAUCGUUUAAUGCCAAGCACAAGCUAUGUUUAAGUAAUUCCCCUGAAACAUUCUCGAAUUCACAGGGUCGAAAUGAAUUUCACAAUUUCGAUUCCACUUCGAAAUCACAUUGUAACUCAGGUUUGCCAACACAUCAAAAUCACAUUUCAAUAGCAAGUCACUAGGGCUUCGUCAAUCAUUAGCCCUAGGUUUCAAUAGAUUCAUUUCUGAUCAAGAAUAAAAUAAAUGACCAAGGCUUCGUCAAUCAUUAGCUCUUGGUUUUGGCAAUUUCAUAUCACCUCACAAUUGAAGCAAAAUAAAUAUAAAGACUUCAAGUAAUUCUAGCAAUUGAUUUCAUCACGCUUUAUCACUUGUAUAAAAUCAUUCAAAUGGCCGAGGGCUUCGUCAAUCAUUAGCCCUUAGCAUCCAACAAUUAUUUCUCACAGCAAUUAAAGCUAGCCUUUCAAGCGUUUAAAAUCACUAACCAGUAUAUGGACGUAAGGCAGGAUUGGUGACAAUAUUUUCAUCCAAGACCUCAACAAAAUCUCAUUACACAUAAUCGAAUGCAGAUUAAACAUUUCACCAAAGUUAUUUUCCAAAAUUUUCCAUUCCAAUACCGAUCACUUUAUCACAAUAUUACAGUCAUAGUAAAAUCAAGUUGUCACUCCAAACUAUACAAGUAAGACUCUCUUAAUAUAGCUUCAAGUGAAAUCAAUGAACAUAAGAUAUUUUACAGCUCAAAACAGCAUUUUUAGAACUAAAAUUCGCCACAAGAAAUCUGGAAAAUUCCUUUACUACUUCUAUCAAUUCAUUUGGGAAAUUUUCCAGGUCUAUACUUCCACAUUCUUAGUUCAAACUUCCAUCAUAUCAAAUGAUUCAUAGUUAAACAACUUAUGCAGCUUAAAACACAUAUUUCUGAUGCAUUUCAAAACCAUGACACCCUAAGGAAAAUCCGGAAACAGGUUAAAGUUCCAAAAAGAAAACAAACUGAAAUUUCUGCUCAAGCCUCUCGGCUAUCAAGAAUUUUUCCAGCACUUAGGUGUUUAUAAAUCCAACUUUUCCUCGGUUAAAACAUGGUUUUAGAUUCUCAAAUUCGUCAUGUGAACCUUUGGCUAGCUAAUUAACAUUUCUGGUUCAAAAUCGAAUUCGAGUAACAACUACAAACAUCCCAAAAAUCCAGAAAUUUGUCCAGCUAGUCACGGAUGAGCAUGCAUGAAGAAAUUUUCUGUUUUCAUUUUAUUUUCUUGGUUAGCCGAGCUACUUAGCCUCAUGCCAGACUUAAUUACCUUAUUAUUAGUGAGGUAAUCACAUUCACCAGUUCAAAUUGUUACCAAAUAAACAGAUUAGUGCUGCCUUUUCAUUUCAGCUACUCGGCAGUCCAUUUCUUUCCAAAUCAAGGUUUCUUAUGCUUCUAAUUUAAUCAUCCAAUACGCACAAAUCAACAUGCAAAGCCACCUAAAGAAUUUACUUAUCAUAUCCAGUUCAAAACAGGUUCGGUCAGCAGUUAUAAACACCCACAAAUCCAGAAAUUCCUCCAACUAUUCUCGGAUGAUCUUGCAUGCAGCAGGUUUUCUUGUUCAUCUUUAUUUUUCUGAGUUAAACCCGUUAAUUAGCUACAUGCAGAGCUUAAUCAUCUUGAAAUUUACUAGUUAAUCAUGGUUAGAGGCUCAAAACAGCAAAAUUAAACCAAAUGAAGCGGCAUUAAACCAGUCAGACUCUCGGCAGAAACUUUUACUUCCAAAACAGAUUUUUCCACAACUUUGAUUUCAUCAUCCGACUGCACAAACAACACAUGCAAGCUCUGAUACAGCUUCAUCUACCAGCAAAUAGCUAUUUUAAGACUCGAAUUUACCUCAGCUAGGAACUCAGCUCACGCACAAGAAAGCUAUGAAGUUUUGCUCUCUCAGCUCGCGCACACUAUUUGAUCCUGGUUUUUGGUUUGCAGCUGGAAUGGUGUUGCGGUGAAGAUGGUUGCAGCUGGUGGAGGUUGAAAAGAAAACGGAGGAGACUCACGCACGACCUCUCCCUUUCUUCCUUCAACUCACGGUCAGAACCAGAAAAUUUGUUUUGCAGCUCGCGGAUUCCCCUCUCUCGGUUUGUAGAGUGCGGCUCUCUCUCACUCCCUCCCUUCGUCGAUGGUAACAAGGCAGAGUAGGAGUGCAGUGGUGGUUUGUAAUAUAGUAAUGAAGAGGAAAAGGGAUGGUGCCGCUGUUUUGAGAAGGGAGGUUGAGUGUUGAGAUGGUAAAAAAAUUUCUAUUGGCCGGAUGGUGCGGUGCUUAGGAGUUAGGAUGCUGUCAGAGGGAUUGUUUGGUUUUGCAUGGAAAUGUUGGGGUUGUAUGGGGGCAUUUUAGUCUUUUCAUUUUUAUUCCUAACCUCUACUUAAAUUCUCAAUUCUAAUUUAAUUCCAAAAAUUAUUCCCAAGUGUGAUUUGAACGCCUAAUUAUACACUAGUCAUGCAAGACUUUAAUUAUCGUAACUUCAUGCUUUAAGUAUGUUUCGCAUACUUGUAUUAUAUUUAUCUAAAAUUCAUUGAUUUCGUCUUAUCGUGAAAAAUUUCCUUUUAACAUAUAACGCUAGCAACUAAUUAGAAUUAAUCAUUAAAUUUCAAGUAAUUUAUUUUAAGGUAAUAAGAUUAAUCGGCUCGAGUAUCAUUAAUUUAGCAUGAAGGAAUCUAAAUAUUCUAACGUUUUAGAUUAAUUUAAUUUUAAAAGUAUUAAUUUAAUCUAUCGAAGCAUAAAAAAAAUUCAUAGUUUAGUAAAAUUAUAUUAUUUUCUCAUAAAAUUGUUUUUACGUACUUAUCUGCAAACAAGUGAAAGUAAUGCUAAAAUUUAUUAAAGAAUUAAAAGAAAUGCAAAUGAAAUAUGCACUUGCUUAUAUCCAUUUUUGGGGUUCUCACAACAGCUGCAUCCAGAAUCAAGUGCAUUGCUUAUGUCUUGAGUUGUGGCUUUAUUGUCGAAUAGAUAGUUAGGAGCCAACUUGUCAAUGCACUUCAGUAGCAGCUUGGUCUCCAAAAAGCAAGGUCCUUUGCAGAAUUUCUCUGUACUGUUGCUUGGGAUGUAUAUGACACCACUAUGGUUUAAUCUAUCUGCUUGAUCACAGCCAAUAUAAGUCUGUUUCAGUCAUAUUCCAGAAGGAAAACAAAAGGUAGUUAGAGGGAGCCCUUCACCCCUUUAAUCAGCAGAUAACAAUUGAUCUUUAGAGAGAGAAAAAAGACACACCAAAACAUAAAAGAAAGGAGGGGGGGGGGGGCAAAGGAAGCCAGGGAGGUCUUGUAGAUAUGCUUUAUUAACAUGUUACUCACUACUUUGUUGUUGAAGCACAAAAAGGUUGGGUUAUUGUCUUGAUUUGCAUCCUGUGUAUGCCCUGUUGAUUGUUUGUAUAAACAAAAAUGUUCAGGAUUAUUGUACAUAGGCAGAUGCCCACUGAUGGGAAAUCAGCUAACAUGAGAACCGAAGAAAAGAUAAAUCAGUUGCAGUUGUUCAGGAAACACUAUUACCUAAGUUGCAGCAGGAAAUAGCCAUAAAUAGUGAAAGCAUGAAGCAUCUCCAUCUCACUGAAAAGAUUGAGACUAUCAAGGAUGUAAUUAAAUAGACCAUUGUUAGGAUGCUAGAAUAAGGAAAAUGGACAAACUUUCAUGCUAUUUUUGGAAUUUAAAGGAUGGUUGGAGGAAAUAUAGAUGAUGUUACUCUAUGCUUUGAUUUCCUGUCAAUCAAUUAUGCCACUUGGAAAAAUUCUAUGGAAGAAGAGAUAUAUGUAGUCGAUAUUUUACACAACUUACCUGUAAGGAAAAGCACAUAUGGAGACAUAUGGAAUAUGAAUAAGGGAGUUUGGUAAUAUUAGCCACCAACUUCCGCACUUGUCCCCAAACGUUUGAAAGGAAGGUAAACCUUCUAGACUGGAUAAAAUAUUCCAACAUUGUCUCUUGAUCCUUCUAUCCAAGUCUUCUUCUUGAGGAAUUUUUUUUUUUUGUCAGAAGGAAGUAACAUGCCACAGUAAUGAUAUGCAUCGUGGGUAAUGAUUAAUACCAUAUGUACGUAUAACUUCCAAUUAUCCAAUGAAAACUGAUGAACUCAACCUGCCUCUUCUUGGCUAUGGGAUAUAGAGUUUCACAAGCUAUAUUGCUCUCUUAAUGUCCCAAAUCUUUCGGUCCCUGGAGAUUUUUGAGAUUAGGUAGUUCCCCAAAAACGACAUCAUAACUUCAAAGGUACUCCGUAAACAGAUUGUUAUGUGCUUUCGUCUUUGAGAAUGCAUGAUUCCCGGUAGCGUCCUGCUGACUCUGUUGGUGUUUUCUUUCAGCAUUUUAUUGCCCAUAAGAGAAACAAUUAUGCUCUUCUAUCUUUAUUCUGCAUAAGGGAAGUUUUCACUUCCUUAUGCACUAUGGAUGUCCCAGUUUCUGAGUAAUUCCGGCUUUCUAAACAGGAUGGCCGUACAGAUUUCUUGUUUUGGAACAUGGCUCUCAAAUUUCAAGAACCAUGAAAGGCCGCAUGUUUAACAGGCAAAUUUCCGUUGUCCUUUUGAGAAAAAUUGGUGAAGAAAAAUAAUAGAUGAUGCCUCUUCUAUGCCAGUUCUGGUCCAGAAAGAUAUUAGUCCUUUCAAAACCUUAGAUGAAAUUUAAUGGAAAUAAUUCUGCAAGGACUUGAAACUGUUCAGAUCAUCACCCCUUGUAUUAUUGGAUCAAAGUAUUGGCUCUCAGCAUGAGGUAAAGUGACAUAUUUUUUCUGUUAUACGGUAAGGUUCAUGAGAACACUUACAGAGCAGUGUGAUCAUUUUCCCAUUAAGAUUCUCACAUUCUGAAAAAUAAAUCAAUACCUCCACAGAAAUGAUACUUUAUUUGAAUGCCUCUUAUAGAUAACAAGUUUUCUGAACUCCAGAACUCUUAAUUGUAAGCAAAGCAUUUUUUGUCAGGACUCAGGACUGAGGCCAUGGCAGGGCCAACAGUACUCAAGGGUUGCUGAGAAGCUACGUAGAGCCCAGCACAAAGUAGAAAUUCCAGCUCCUAACUCUGGCUACUUCAUGCUUUCUUGGUGCCAAAUCUGUCAACAACUGCUGGGAUGCAUGAUAUACCACCAGCUAAGGUAGGAAUUCCAGCUGAGUUGUAGUUUGGCAUAUGUAGCUUGACCAAAUUGCCAAAGUAAAGUUCAUUGUCUUUUUUCCUAUAUUUUACAAAGUUAAACGAGUAAGAUGGUUUGCUUAGUGUCAACGCUCGGCCGGCCGGAAAUUCGAUGAUCAAACCUUAAUAUUUAUUCCACCGAUGAGAUUAUGGAAAUGAAUAAGAGUAUCUGGAUCUUUACAUGAAGAAAAGCUGUUUGAAGGUUGAUUUUCUCACAGAAAGCUACUCAUGUAAAAAUAGACGUAGUAAUAGAAAGAUUGCAGAUAAAUGCAUGAAAGAUGAAACCAGUGCAUGCAGCUGAUAUAACUUUGUAGUCCACAAAUCUAGAAUACAUUUUCCAGCUCUGUACUUCCCCUCCCUGCUGUUUUAUUGAGACUUAAACAUGUUGGAAAAGUAACAGGCAACACCCUCCUAAUAUGAAAGACAUAGCAUAAUGUUGAAACCCGAUUGGUGGAGCACUGCUAUAGAAAUUCAAACCGCAGGAUUCAUGUAGUCUAUUCAAAUCAUCUCCAACAAUAAACGUCUCUGCGAAAAAAAAAAAGAAGAGACAGAGAACAGAAAUGGGAUGCAAAGGUCAACAAUUUCAUUACCUCGCUCAAAGAGAAGAUAUCAAACGCAAUUCAAGUACAGAUGAUUUUGCUUCAUAAUUAACGAUCUACCUCUUUGAUUACUGUAUCUACUACAUCCAGUAUCAAGUGCAUUUCUGAUAAACUGAGUCGUGGCCCCGUUCAAAAACAGGAAGUUGGAGGCCAUCCUAUCAAUGCAUUUAAGCAGAGAUUUAGUCUCAGAUAAGCAAGGUCCAUUGCAAUAUUUAUUAGAGCAUCCAGCUCUUUCUUUGAUUCUGCAAACCUUUCUUUGUCAUAAGCAUCCACGAGAUAAACAACUGCAUCCACCUUCACACCCAAAUUUGCAUGUUAUACACAUGGUAUUGACCAAUUACAAUUUGAAAAGUAUUCCUAAGCAAGAAUCUAACAAAGAUAAACUGCUACAGAAAUGGGAUAGAAAAACCAACAACUUCAAAUCAGCCAGGUCCUGAGAAACAAAAGCAAGAUAUAAUCCAAUCCUAUCCACAACUCAAUAGAUUUUCUUUGCCUCUUUUAUCAAAAGAACAUGUGCAUGAACAUGAGCUAGCUACAGAAACUAGUAUAUCACCACCAGAAAAAGGAAUGCUUGACAUGUCAUGCAAAAUAUGAUCUAGCAACACCAUAAAAGCUUAAAAAAUGAAGACAUAUCCUAAGCCAGAAUGUCAAAGGAGAAGAACAUUAGAAAAGAAAACAAAUCAUGAAAUGCUAAAUUUUGCACAGCGUCCUAAAAGAUUUUGUGCUACACACUUGAAAAAUGUCAGCAGUCCAAGCCACAAAAUCAGGUGCAAACACAAUAUGGCAUCUAAGAACCUGCUUUAACCUUCAACCUAGUAGAACCUGACAACUUCAAAACUUUCUGUAAGUGCACUCAACAGCUUAAAACAUACACUCCAGAUCAUAACAGUUCAAAGUCAAAUAUGCUGAAAAAGUUCAUGUAUUGCAUGCCAUCAAGAAGACCAUUUCUUCCAUCUGUAUUAGCAAGAUUGUUUAUUUUCUAACUUCAUUAAAAAUAAACCUAUAUCCUCAUCAGACACGAGAAGUUUCAUAAAACAUCAUAGAUCCCUCAAAAAAGCUAUGUGAUACUCUUUGUUGCAUUCAUUUUCCACAUAUAGAGCCAAAUAAAGGAACCAAGAGUACUUUAGGAACUGAUAAUUAAUAAUCUAAGGUAUAAUUUCUAAAGGUAACAAAAUAAACCCAUAAAAAAGAUAGAAACAACAUUUUCACAGCGAAGUUAAUAUUUGUCGGGCAAGGUACUAUUGAAACACCUUCUGGAAUAUAAAAGGUAUUAUCAGCGAACUUCCACAUCGAUAUUGGCCUCCCAUGAAUCAAAUAAACAUAGAAAACGUUCAUUUGGGAUUAAUGAAGGCACUUAAACAUCUUGGCAAAUGAGAGAAAGCUCAUUUAUCCUCUAUAUAGAUGGUUCCCAUUCAUUCUGUUAGAUGCCAAACUAAUAAUUCUUCUCUUAGGUCCCCUACACCUCGUAUAUUAGACUAAAGCACAGCCAUGGGGGGAAAAAAGGAACUUUCAUGUAAACCUGGAAAAAAAUAGUACAACCUUGAAAUAUUCAGAAUAAACUGAUAAAAAUUGUUGAAGUAGGUAUAUAGACAUUGCUAAGCAUAUAACAAGGUUCACUACUAUCUGAAGCAUAUUAAGGCAAGUUUUUUAUUGAGACUUCAACCAGCAAAAGACACAUUAUAAAACCUGGUUCUUCGAAAAUUAAAAGGAUGGACAAGGAAAAAAACAAGGGGGGAAAAGAAGCCAAAGAAACACGACAAAAGAAAUUCGCUCCACAAAUAGAGCAUCCCAUGCUGAAGAAAAUAGUACUUUGCCCCAAGAAAAAAAACUUAUCAGUGAAUGCUAGAGUGGAACUUAAGGGAAACACACAGAAGGGGAUAAAAAUUGGGCUAAUAUGCAUCUAACGGAAGGCGAAUUUAGAGGGUGUGAAAAUAGGGCUGUGAAAAUGCUUUUAGAGGGUGUGAAAAAUUUAGCAGCGUUUUUCACACCAUUUUCUGGUCCAUGUAUAAUCUAUUAUGCUAAUAUGCAAGGGAAGCUCGGGAAUGGAAAUGCUUAUUAUACUUUUAUAUCAUUUUUUAGAUACAUGGACUGACUUUGUUACAUGAAAAUUAAAAUUGAUGUUAUAUUUGAAACCACAACGAAGCCAACUAAAAUGGUCAGAAACCUCAAGGAAGGUUUGUGAAAUAAUCCCAAAAUUUGAUCAAGAAAAUAGAAAACCUAACAAAGAUAAAACACAAUAACCCAAUACAUGGGAUUUGCGCUUCAAUCUUGCACCUAAUAUCGCAGCCAAAACCAGUAAACAAAGAAGGAAAAAAGAAAUUAUACCUUGGCAUAAUAAUCUUUCCAGACUCGGCGAGCGAUCUGAUGGCCUCCCAAGUCAAAAGCCUUAAACUUAAUUUGGCCAAUACUCAGCUCCUCAGACGUCGGGUACUGCGUUGGCUGAUGUUGAACCAAUCUCUGCCCACAAAAUGCAAAUAAUUCAUUCAAUAUCCAAAAUCCCUUUACAUCAAAUUAGUACUUUCAACAAUUCCCUUCUCCACGUGCAACAAAAUCCAAGAACCAAAAAAGAUAAGCAUUAAUCGAGUGAAACACCUUAGGAAACCUAUUACCACCACUCCCAACUAUAUUUCUCUAAAUUACAACAACAAUUUUACCAAACCCACAAAAUCAGCUCAACAAAUCAAUGAAUCAAAGGAACCCCGCAAACAAAAGCUAAAUUCCUUUAUUCAUCUCAACAAUUAUAAGUUAACAAACCACAAAUAUUGUACGCAUAAGGAAAAAGAAUGGAAAAGUUAUACCUCAUCUUUCAACAUAUGAAGCAAGGUGGUUUUGCCGGCAUUAUCGAGGCCCAGAAACAAGAUCUUAGCCUCCUUUUGCCACAGUCCUAGCGAGGCCAAUAUUCCGUAGAACCAAUCCAACAAAAACAUCUUCGAAUCCUUGUAAUUAUAAUUCACCUCAAAAUUCCUCAAUUAAUCACCCCCAAUUUCCCUAAUCCACCUCCGAUCCCUACAAAAAUAAACCUCACCAGUCGGAUCGAUGGACGACAACAGAAGAGAGAAUCAAAGAAAGGCGAACUUAGAGGGUGGGAAAAAAUUGGGCUAAAUUUACUGUGCGCUGAUUUAGAGAGAGAAAGAAAGAGAAAAAGGUGGGUUGGUGUGGACGGGUAUGGUUAUUUAUAGAGGGAACCCUAGAGUUAUUACCGUGCACUAGCGGACAGAAGAUGCUGAACUCUGGUAUCAAACCGUUGCCUGUUGGGUAUCGGAAUCAACAUGCUAUUGUACAUGAUUCCUUUUUUUAAUUUUUAUAUAUAGUGCAUGCACCAUGAGGCAAUAAUAUCUAAAACAAAAAAUAUAUAUAUUAAUAUAUAUAUAAGAAAUAAAAUCUUAAAGUUAUUUGAUGAAUCUCUCAUUUUGUGCUUUAAUAAAUUUUUAAUUAUAAAAUUUUUAAUUUAUUUUUGUUAUCGAUGAGGCCUAAGUCUAGUCACAAAUUAGCUAAAGCUGAGACUGAAUUAAUACUAAUUUUAAAAAUUUUAUAACAAAAAUAAUUUUGCUAGAGGCAACUUAUCAAAUACUAUCUUGAAGAAUUGCAAAAAAGACUUUGGGUACUUGAUUUCUUCUUUUUUUUUUGUUGCUUUUUAAGUCAAAGGUGAAUCUAGGAUUGCUUAUCUCAUAUAUUUGUGAGAAAUAAAAAAGGAACAAGAGAAAGAUAGCAUCAUGGUGGUUGUUGGUGCCUUUUUCUUUUUAUUGUUCUUAUUGAAUUUCCUAAUCUUGGUACUAGUUUAUUGUACUUCUUUUGGCUAUAAAUUUGUUUGGAUAGUUUAUUAUUUGUACAAAUAUAUUUGUUUGCACUACAAAUACAUUUUUUUUAUCUUACUCGUAUUACAUUAAAAAAGUGUUACUGUGGAAUGGUUUGAUUAAUCGUUUAUUAGCAAAAAUUAUUUGCUUGCAUAAUCAAUACAUUUUUCAACUAUUUUUUAUCUCACAGAUAUUAUAUUAAAAUUGUGUUAUAGUAUUUUUCUGAAAAAAUUAUCUCAAAUAUGUAUUUGCUUCUAGGUACAAAUUUGUUUAGAUAGUUUAUUAUUUGCGCAAAUCUAUUUAUUUGUAUUAUAAACACAUUCUUCAACUAUAAUUUUAUUUCGCAUAUAUAACAUUAAAUAAGUGGUACAAUAUUUGUUUUUAAAAUAUUUAAGUGUUGAAUUACGCUAUCAAACAGGACCUAAGUUUCUUUUCAUAGUUCCGCGCUUUCACUAUUAUUUUUUUUUUUGGUCUAGUCACGCUUUCACUAUUUGAUUAGCACAAGUGAUGGUCUUAUUUUUAUCGAUUUGACUAUUCAACGAAAAAUUAUAUGGAAUAUUUAAGCAAGUGUUUUUCAAAAGUGAGUCCGCUCUAUCAGCUUUUAAUCCACUAAAUAUCAAGAUUUAAUACAAUUAAGUAAGUGUUAUUAGUGUUUAUUCUUUGUUUAACAAAUCAAAUGACUUGUCAACUAGUACAAGAAAAAUACAGUAAUCUGUAUUUGUACAAUAUCGCUCAAAUGGACAACAACAAACUGAGAAUGUUUCGAGGGUUGUCAACUUCACAGAAAGUAAUCAAGAAUCCUGCUUUCAAAGUUUGUGAAGAUUGAAAAUCAUGAAGUUGGAUGCCUUGCAAAGACGGUCACUAUGAGCUGUGAUCGACGCAUUUAACUAUUUUAUGCACAUAUUUUUGCUCUGCAAGUUCACCCUUCACUUCCCAAAGGCACUUACCAACCAAUCUGUGUAAAACUGUGAUGGGAUUUGACAUGAAACUUUCAUUGAAGUUCUCUGAAGGAUAGGGAAAAACAGGUAGGGAUGCAAGAGUGAUAAUUAUGUUUUUGUUUUAGCAUAAAAGUACUCGUCAUAGUUUUAGGAUUAACCUUUCUUAUACUGGGAUCUAAAAACGUGCCAUAAGUUAACGAAUUUCUUGAUAGCGCUUGUGAAGUAAGCUAAAGAUUUGCACUUUCUCAUGCCAAGAAUUUCUUCAUUGACAAAGCAUAUGAAUAAGCUAAGGCAAAAAAUGAGGAGAGGCAACUCAGUCGCAGACAGUGCUCUUUGAACAAGCAUAAGCACAGAAUGAUUCAACAGGAGACAGAACAGCAGAUACUCCGAAGUAGAAAACUAGCUCAUCCAAGAAAUUAAGGCGCAAGACAGGAGGAAUUGACAAACAGCGCUCCCUGCUUGUAUUCAGAAAACAUGCUUCACCUAGUACUCCUACCGUUCAUUUAGUUCCUUCAAACACCUGUCACUAAUCCAUGGACAGGCCUCUCGCCGGUGGCCUGAUUUACCACAUUCGAAGCAAAUCAUGUGCAAGCCUCGACAUUCUACAUCCUGCAAAAACGUUUUGAUCCGAUGCAAGGAGGUAAAGGCUUAUCGAGAUCAACCUCGAUACAUACUCUAGCAGAAAUAGCCAUCGUCCGCUUAUCCACCUUGACAGCCUUUCCAAGUGCAUUUCCAAUCUUGAACAGAACCCUGUCAUCAUAGUACUCAACAGGCAAACCGGUGAACUUUGCCCAAACUAAGGUUGAGCUUUGGGCAGGCUUAAAAUCCGGUUUCCAUGGCUGAAUAGUUAAGUAGUUUCCCAUUAUAUACCAGGACGUACCCUUUUUCCAGCACCAGAUAGCAAUCUUUUUUGCAUCGAAAACGUACAUGAAAGAAGUUCAUGCUCAGGUCAACAAGCUCCAAUGGGUAUUUAUUUGCGCUUCCAAAGUUUAACAAGUUCGGGAGAAAGGGAAGUGAAUGACAUGGUUUUCCCCAACAGUUUGAGAAUGAGAGCUUUUCACCAUGACUUCAAAGUUGUUUGUUGACCUAGAUCCUCAUCAUCUGAGCCUGUGUAAAUUGGUGGAAGGCUCGUGGUAGAUAAAAGAGCAUCCUUAAAUGACAGACCACCAGUACCAGGACCCCAAGGUUCAGACUCUUUAGUCCGCGCAUGCUUUGCCGGAUGUGGAGAUUCCUAGGUGUUAUCUUGCACAACAUUUCCACCAUCAGAGGCAAUGCAAUCUUUGAAUGCUUGAUAUUCUGUCUUCUCUGGCGUUCGGAAGGCAAAGGGGAUGACACAAGUUGUUAACUAUGCCCCCAGCUGAUACCCAACCGGUCUUGAAGGACCCUCAUUGCAUUGAAUAGGCAGGGCAAUCUGAAAUUUGAAACAGCCACCUAGCACCAAAGAGCCACUCUUUCCAAGAAUCUCGCACCCCGGAGAAAAGAAUCAGUCAAUUUAACAUGAACUGAGUGGAACAGGAAAACCCACUGAGCCCAUUGGAGUACCCGCCAGAACUGAGCACUCUUGAAUAAAGGGAUAAUUUCACAAACCUCCCCUGAGGUUUCUGACACUUGCACUGAGACCCGUCCAGGUUUUAAAAAUUUCACCUAGCUCCCUUGCUUUUCAAUUUUGAUAACAAUUCAGUCCAAUUAGGAUUAAAAUAUUACUAUGAUGAUAGAGAUGACAUUUAUAUUCCAUGAAUACCCUCUUCCUCCCUAUAUCAGUAUAAGUUUGCUUGUUAAUAAAAAGGUAGAGAUGAUUAUGGGCAUUUUAUUCUGAAUUAUUUAAUUUAUGUUAAAUACAUAAAUAUUUACAAAUAAAAUUCAAAAGUCGUUACACAAAUAUUUUUACGAAAGGAAAACUAGCAUGUUUUGUAUUUAAUACAAAUGAAGUAUUUGAAAGUAAAAAAAAAAAAUUGUCCAUAACAUACCAGUUCUUUACGAGUUUCUUCCAUUAUAUGAAUAAAAUAUUGGCUAUUUAUGAACAUUUUACUUUGAAUCAUUUAAUUUAUAUUAAAUACAUAAAUGUUUAUAUGUGAAAUUCAAAAAGUGUUACACUAGUAUUAUUACUAAAGGGAAACUAGUAGGUUUUGUAUUUAAUAUAAAUUAAAUACGUGAAAGUAAAAAAAAAAUUACCUACUUUUUACCAACUUUUUAUGGGUUUCUUCUAUUAUACGAAUAAAGUACUAGAUAUUUAUAGGUAUUUUACUCUGAAUUAUAUAAUUUAUGUUAAAUACAUAAAUGUAUGUAAGUAAAAUUUAAAAAGCGAUAUACUAAUAUUUUUACAAAAGGAAAACUAAUAGGUUUUGUAUUUAACAUAAAUUAAAUAUGUGAAAGUAAAAAAAAAAAAAUUUGCCCAUAACAUAUCAGAUCUUUAUGAGUUUCUUCUAUUACACGAAUAAAGUAAUAGUUAUUUAUAAGCAAAAAGAAAUAUCUCAUAAAGUACCAAUUUUUUAUGAUUUUUCUCUAUUACAUGAACCAAAUAUCAGGUUUUUAUGGGCAUUUUAUUUUGAAUCAUUUAAUUUAUGUUAAAUACAUAAAUAUUUGCAAAUAAAAUUCAAAAGCCGUUACACAAAUAUUUUUACGAAAGAAAAACUAGCAUGUUUUGUAUUUAAUAUAAAUAAAGUAUUUGAAUGUAAAAAAAAAAUUGUCCAUAACAUAUCAGUUCUUUACGAGUUUCUUCCAUUAAAUGAAUAAAGUACUAGCUAUUUAUGAGUAUUUUACUUUGAAUCAUUUAAUUUAUAUUAAAUACAUAAAUGCUUGUAAGUGAAAUUUAAAAAGUGUUACACUAAUAUUAUUACGAAAGAAAAAAUAGAGGUUUUUAUUAACAAGCAAUCUUGUACUAAUAUAGAGAGGAAGAGGGUAUUCAUGGAAUAUAAAUGUCAUCUCUAUCAUGAUAGUAAUAUUUUAAUCCUAAUUGGACUGAAUUAUUACCAAAAUUGAAAAGCAAGGGAGCUAGGUGAAAUUUUUAAAACUUGGAGGGUUCUCAAUGCAAGUUUCAGAAACCUCAGGGGAGGUUUGUGAAAUUAUCCCUUGAAUAAAAUAUCAAGGCAUUCUUGCGCUCAAAUUGGAAAUGCAUUGAAACUGGCAAAUAUGCUCAAGAAAAUCUAUCAGAAGUAUUUUAACAUCAUCUUUUAGACAAAUAAUUGGUAGUUAUGCAUACAUAAAAUCUCAUCGUACAAUUUGCACAUAGUGGUUAUUUAUAUGGAAGUUCCUAUGUAGCCGGUCUUAGGUCAUCCACUGCACCAAGCAAGGGAAAAAUAAGACAUGUCAUUUUAUUUGUCCCCACAUCACAAUCAGUUCUUCAUCUACUAACAUUGAACCUCCUGAAUAUUUCUACCUGACAUGGAUCCCAAGAACUCCUGAUACAUACAAGUUCAAGAAUGCCUUCAUCACAUCAAUGUAAUUCUUUCUUAUUUUUUUUUUUAAUUUUAUUUUUGUGUACAUUUAAGUAUCCAGCCAAGUGCAAUUCCAUGCAUCUAUCCCGCAGUAGCAAGGGCAGAAUUCGAUCAAGCCUUCAGUGACCCAUUAACUCUUUUCAGCUUGCAUGAAGCUUGUCUUCUUGGCUUCUCUCAGCAAGUUCUUUCCUGUGUGCUUGGAGCCUCUCCUUCAACUUCUUGCUCUCUUCAAAAUUUGCCUUUCGUUUCAAAGCUUUCUGCAAAAGUUUUAGCAUCACAAAUGAAUAUUUAAAGCUUUUUUAUCACUUACCCUUUUACUUUCUUUUUUCUUUUUUUAAAAUAAUUGCAAAGCAUCCAAGGGGUGGUUGGGGUGUGUGCAAACUUGUAUUGUAGCUUUGAUCUCAAAUAGAGAGUAAUAAAUAAGCUUCAUUGUUCCUAUCAGAGGAGAGCAAUCAAUAUCCCAGUUACAAAAUCUUACUUCUUGCCUGAAACAGCGAUCAAGCUUUACUUUGAGUUCUGUGCAUUUACCAAAAAAUUUCCCAAUUGGAUGAUCUGAGUGACACUUCUGGAACUGUUCGAUAAUCUGCAUCAUGCAGCACGAAUAACUUAAUUCCUUCAAACUUAAUCAUACUCCAACAGCUCUACAAUUGAAUACAAAAAUCCAGGCAAUAUAAGUCCGUAGAGCUGAAAACAAUUAUAGAACCUACUGCAGUUUUGUCAAAACACAAGAACACCAUUUCUCAUCCUUUUCAACUCCAAGUAAACAGAAAAGUCCAUACCCAUCCAGUCCAAAGUAAGAUAUUAAACAACACCAAAAUUCCAAAGCAACUUCAACAAUUUACAAUAGAGUAUUCAAUUGUCAUAUUUCAUUCGAUAAUAAUCCAAGAUUUGAAUGUUUAAACAUGAAAAGGAGCUUACAAUAAUAGGAUUCUUGCAUUUUCAGGUAUUCAGCGCUGAGUUAACACUGACCACACAACAGGCAUGAACAAAAUAAAGUUCAUAAUAUACCUCAUUCAAUUCAACUCCAUACAAGGAAUGUGCUUGAUGUUAUGUAAAGGUAUCAUUCAUCACCAAAUAGAAGACAGUAAAACAUCAACAAACUUAUAGUUUAAAAUGAGAAAGAACUAGACAAAGCAAUUAUUAAAAGGAGGCAAAACAGGACUUACUUCUGCACACAUUGGGUGCCUGUGUAAUGUUAGCGGGGGAUGCAUUAUCUUCUCAACACUUCAGAAGGUUCCUAUCACAAACCUGGAAAAAUUAAAAUAUGGAAAUCAAUCUUGUUUUUUACAUUUAGACACUAAUAACAUGUGUUUUUAUCUAAUUAUAUUCAUUUAAAUAGUGAUCCUUCCACUCAAGUAGGGAUCCGUAUGUCUUCAGCCGGAAAAAAGAAAAAAAAAUUUCCUAACAUCUCCUUUAGCUUCAAUCAAGAAGUAUCAUCUAACAGAUUAAAAAUAAUGAAUCAAAUAAACAGGAUUGGUGUUGUUUACUUCUGCUUCCUACUUUCAGCUGGUUUACACCUAUAGUAGCUCUUACAAUUGUGGGCAAGAUAAUCCAUGAUCCAUAAUCCGAUAAUCCAUGAUCCAUAAUCCAUCACUCCCUAGUCAUAGAUGAGCACCCAAUGACUGGUUCUGGGACAACAUUCAUCUCGCUUAUCCUCUACUUCUCAGCCUAGUUCAAUGUUUUCACAUGAUAGCAGCAUUCUUCAAGUUUAUGCCCUUUAAAGUUGGAAGUUUUCUCCUAAAGUAACUCAGUAUCAUAAUUUACUUCCAUUUCUUUUAGAUUGAAUUCAGUAAAAUAAAUGUCAACCAUUAUCAAAAAUUUUCUAUCAUGCCAACGUUAUUCUCUGUAGAAGAACAAUUGGGAAUAUGAUUUCAUGAUAGAUAUAAAGAACAUAAAAAGGGUUUCAAAGAUUAAAAUUCACGUUAUUUUCCCCUUCUUUUUUCGCCGCUUAUAUUAACAAUCAACUACGUAUAUCUGACAUGGAAAAAUCAAUAAAGCCACACAAAUUGGCACGGUAUAACUGCCAGAGAAAAAAAAAUUAAAUUUCUUCCAGAUUACUAUAUCUACUGUGGCAGCAGAGUCAAAUUAUCCAUUCAUUUUCCACAUAUUUCAAAGAAUAUUCAGCAACUAAACUACCAAAAAAAAAAAAACCCGAAUACGAAACAAGCAGUCACAGUAAAAAAUACCUUUAGAAAUGUGAAUACAACUUGCAAGAUUUUAAUUUUCCUUUUUCUUUUCCCUUGAAUUUCUUGGGUUGGUCGGAGGGAGGUAACGCACGGCGCCGGACUUUGCCGGGCUAACCCUGUUUAGUGUGAUUUGCUCCCGCAACCACGAUUUCAGUGAAGAGGAAUUAAAUAUGAUUGAUGAAUGAUCGGAAAACAGGAUGCUUUUUUUUGGGGGGGGAGGGAGGGCGGGGGUGGUGGAGGAAAUCCGGCUGCUCUCCAGGAAAAGAAGUCGAGAGAUGGGUUUAACAAAAAGAAGAUGGGGAUUUUCUUUUUUCUUUUUUUUUUCCUUUUAAGCUUCCUACAAGUGAACAAUAAUAAUCAGCUAAAAUUCUCGAUUUCCAGCCAUUCGAGUUUAGAUUUUUUUGUACAUGAUGGCCUACUGCCCGUCUGAUAUAAUUCAAAAUAUUUUUUCUUUAUCUAAAAAAUACUCUGAAAAAUAUAUGUACUUUUCGCAUAAUAACAAUAAUAAACUUUUUUUCUAUUAUACUUCGCGAAUUAAAUUUUAUUUAUUUUGGAAAGAUUUAAAAAGUUGUGUAACAAUGACAACCUAUCUUCCCAAUUAUAUAUGGAAUAACACGUACGUAUAUCAUAAUUUUAUAUAUUUAUACAUGUAAACAUGUUAAACUUUUAAUAAAGUUAAUAUCUGAUACACAAGAAUAGCUUUGUUUGGAUAUCAUAAUUAGAUGUUAAACGUUUUUUGUAAACAUAUUUUUCAAUCACUAUUUUAUCUCACAUAUAUCAAAUCGUUACAGUAAUUUUUCUACAAAAAAUUUAGAAAAAUGCUAUUUGAUACACAAGAAUAGCUUUGUUUGGAUAUCAUAAUUAGAUGUUAAACGUUUUUCGUAAACAUAUUUUUCAAUCACCAUUUUAUCUCACAUAUAUCAAAUCGUUACAGUAAUUUUUCUACAAAAAAUUCAGAAAAAUGCAAUCCAAACAAAGCGUAAGGGUUAAGGGUAGCAUUAAAUAUAUCAUGAUCUUGAAAAAUUGUAGCAGUUUUACUCAUACUUUUAGUUUUAUAACUUCCAAAUUUUUAUGCGUAAUUUUGACGAACUCAUAUUUUGCGCUGAAUUUUUAAUCUUAUUUUUGGAAACAAAAUCAGUGUUAUAUAAAUACAUAUUAUACAUGUACCAUAUUUACUAACCAUCGUAGAUGGCACCUCCAACAUUUUUUAAUUAAAAUACAAUUGGUUCUUUAACUUUAAUUUGCAAGAAUCAGUCCAUCAUCUUUUAUUUUUCGAGUCAAUUCGACCCUUGAUAAAUCAUAUGACUGAGAGAAUACAAAGUACAAAUCAGAUUUUCUUUGAAGCUCAUCACAGGGUACACCAAAAUCCUUUGUACUUGGACUGUGACCAAAACUUCAUCUCAUUGUCAUAAGCUAGAAUUCCAAUUAUUUUCAAGGAGAAUAAUUUCUACAACAAACAAUGACGAUGGCUUUGACAAAAGGCUGUCUAUGGCUUGAAUGUGCAGCGAAAAUGCUACCAAAAUGCAAGCAAGAGCAAUUUUAUAUGCUGCUCUAGUGCUCCUUUCUCUUGGACCUGAAUCUUCUUCUCAGGUCCCAAAAGCAAGGUAACAACACAUACUCCCAAAAACAUUCCCCAACUAAUCUAAGUAUGGCCAGCAAAUUGCAUACCCACUCGAAUAGAACCGUUAACUUUAACCUGCCACAAGAACAAAAAAGAUAAAUUUGGUUCAAUAGCUGUUGCUGACUUUUAAAUUAAAUUCAGAUAGAAGACAAGACAUUGCAGAUAUAGGAAAGCAAACUGCGAUUUAGCACUAUUUAUUCGUUCAAAAAUAGGUUGCUUAGAGUACCAGGAUAAAAUGACAGAGAAUCUCAGUUCAGGACUUAAGGAAGCUUUCCUACUUACCUGCAAUUUUGUACAUGCAAACUUGUAAAGGUAUCUUGGUAGAUUUGGCAGUCCCUCAUUAGAUUUUUAGAAUUGAGAAAAAAAAAAAAACUCCAUACUUUUAGGUGCUUUAUCUGUAUUUACGUCUAGAUAAUGAUUAACAGCGCUAAGAUUUGGUAGUGAGCAUGAUUGUGACGCACAUUGAAGUUCUCAUAGCGACAACUUCGAGCAAGCAGUCAAAGAUAACUUUCACAUUGUGAUUUUUUAAAGCAAUUUCCUCAAUGUUCUUCUUAAAAGUAUCCUAAGAGGCUUUUUCUGGUGCAAUAAAAAGUAGAGAGGGGAUAAAAAGUUUACCCUGGCUGCUUUGAAGAGCUCAUCAAGCACUUCAGACAAGGUUGGAUGUGCAUGAACAGCAAACUUUAUGUCCUGGGUAAUGCAAAAAGAAGCAAUAAAGUGGACAAGAUAGAAAGAUAAAAAAGCAGCAGCACACAAUAAUUACAAGAGAAAAGGAGGUUCCAGAAAUAAUUCAAUUGCAGUGAAAAAAGACCCUGAAGUUGAAGAGCAUUUCUAAAUAUGCCAAUAGAUGUUGAUAUACUCAAAGGUUAUAGACCAUGCAGUCAACUGCUUUACAACCUAGAAGACUAUCAUUUUGAAUUUAAGAAAUUCCAAUUUUGAUAUUGCUGCUAUUGCUUCAACCCUUUUCUUCAUACAAUCAUGAUUUGUCCUAGUUUCUCUUAAUCACGAAAGUGCCCAAGGAAAUUCCAUUUCUGCCAUCUGUUAAGAUGUUUUUCUAACACUAGCAUAUAUCCUAUGCACGAGCAUGCAAAUUCCCAAAGCAGAUGUGUACCUGUAUAUGUGUCCCCAUAGCUAUAGCAUUAGAUGCCUCAUGUAUGAGGUCUGCAGCAUGCAGACCAAAAAUAUGAACUCCAAGGAUCUCUCCAUUGUCAGGUCUAUAGAUCAACUGCAUCAAAUCACAGGUUUGAAAAGAUUAACUAAACACCAAAAUUUUGGCAGAGCCAAGGAAUAAAUUGGAAGUGAAUGUAUAUUACAGACAUGUCCAUUUUCUCAAGGGAUCACAAGUACAACCUUGGCAAGUCCUUCCGCUUCAUUUUCAGCCAGGGCUUUAGUGUUAGCCUUGAAGCUUGUCUUAGCAACACUGAUUUCAAAUCCUUCCUUCUCACCCUUUUCUCUUGCUUGAGGCUGCAAAAAAUGAAAUUUAUUCACCCAUACCUUCAAUAAAAUAGCUUUCAGACACAUGCUUGCCAAGCAUAAGACUUAACUUGCCUAUCCAAUGUCUUAAGCGAAUAGUUUCUUUGCCUUGUAUUAAAGGUUAAAUAUUUAAGGUACAUGGCAAUAAUCUAGAUUUUUAGAAAACAUUCCAGAAAUACCUCAGUGAAGGUGAACCAAUCAACAUUGUUGUCAUAAGAUCUAUAAUACACAGGAGACGUACUCAAGAUUCAACCUACAGUAGCCAUUGCAAGAUUUGCGCUCUAAAUUAUCCUACAGUCAAUCUUGGUCAACGAUACUAACAAAGAAAGUCUGAUCCUGGAUCAACCCAUAGUUGUCAGAUGUCAGAUUCCAAUUAAUAGUUGCAAAGUGUCCCUAUACAGCUUUAGUAGUAUCACUUGAUCCACUUCAAAAGGAAAGUUUCCUUUAACAUUUAACACACACAGUAAUCUUCAUAAAAAAUUUAUUUUUCACAAAAAUGAUAGUACAGUAAAAGUUAAUUGAACAAAGAGGGGUUUGAGUUUUCAAUGGAUAGCAACUCAUAACCUUUAUUACGAUACACCAGUACAUGUGAAAUGUGCACAGAUACCUACAUUCUAAUGCACCAAAAAUUGAUUAAACAACAAUAUAUGAAAGAAUAAGAAUUGGUGAAGCAAUUUGUACCUCUGUCAGUCCAACCAUACUGAUCUCAGGAUGGGUAAAACAUGCUGCUGGUACACUUAAAUGGUUCAGAAUAUGGUCCUUUCCAGUAACUUGCUCAACAACUACGAUGGCAGCAGUACCCAUUGUUGAACAUAUAUGAAAAUAAGAACAACACAGUGAAAGAAUACAGAAUAGGUAAUCACCAGAGAUUCCUUGUGCGCUUGCUGCAUGAGCAAGCAUCAUCUUCCCAUUGGCAUCACCAAUGCAAUACAAGUGAGGAACCUAUAAAUGAGAGAUCUAUAUCAAUAAAAGGAAGGCCUAUACCAGCAGAACAUCACUGACACAUUACGAGCAAAGAAGGCCGCGACUGACCAACUUCCCAUCAGCAUCUAUUACUUGCAUGCGCUCAUCUACAGGUAUAAAUCCACGUUGAGUUUGCACAUUAAUCUGAAAUGUGUAAGCCAAUAGCAUAGAAUUAGGCUAUGAUCUCAUUUUGUAAUUCAUUCAGAAAACUAAUAAACUAGUCAACUAACAUUUUCCAAGCCAAGUCCUUCAGUGAAUGGAGCCCUACCAGUUGCAAUAAGAGCAGCAUCUACCUGUGGUAAAUAACAGUUGAAACAUGUUGUGAGCGAGGAUGCCACCGAGAAGGAUUUAAGAAUCAAAGGAAUUUACAGAGGAAUGAAUUCUAAAAGAUUUGAUCAUAGAAAGCACACUUUGGAGGAUUGAAAAAGGAUAGUCAUUGUAAGCUUUACAAACUCAUAAUUGCAGAAAUUUUAAUUCCUGAGCCAAGGUUCUUUUAAGCACACUUAAAUUGUUCCCAAUUUUAACAAAAUUAAACAAGUGACAAAAGCAUAUCUACUACAAAAUAACUUAAAGUUUUAAUAAUUUCUCUUUCAUCAUUGAUGUCUCCAUCUCAAGUGCACAUAUAGCAGACUUUAUUUACUCAAUGCAUGCUUAUGAAAAAGAUUAAACAAUAAUGAGAAAAAGGUAAUCUAAACCCACAGUGAGAAGAUGCACUUCUGUCAUAACAAGUUUGCUGAAAUAUCUCCCAAUAACAUGAUUUGGUUGUUGUGGGCAAUGAAGAGAACCGAAUUUUGUGUAUAAUAACACUUAAAAUCUCAAAAUAUUCUUCUCAUCUUCUCAGGUACCCACUUGAAACCCUAUUUACUGUUCUCUAUUGAGCAAAUUUUUCUCCCACCCCACACUUUUAAGAUGUAAUGAUUAGCACACAGUUGAAAAUCAAGCUACAUCUCAAACAAAGGGGCAAAAGUUUUUGUGUUUGCCAAAUGCUGAUAUCUGCUGCAAUUUCUUUCAAAAUGUCUGUCCUUAAGACAAUUAAAGCUAGUAUAUGAUAUGAUUGAAAGUGCCGACAACUAACAAAUGGGAAGGUUUACGGGAACUACGAGUGUGUUUGGAUUAUUUGAAAUAUUAUUUGGAAUAAUUACUGUAGCACUUUUUCUGAUAUGAUGUAUGUGAGAUAAAAAGGUAAUUAAAAGGAUAGAAAGGUGUAUGGGAAAAAUGUGUUUGUGAUGCAAGCAAAUAAAUUUUUGACAAAUAAUUUCUAUCCAAAUACACCCUAUAUUGGAUGAUAAGGUCAACCACAUCCUGAUCCUCCAUUUGCAUAUUUUGCAUUGCAAUAAAUCCAUUAAAUUGCUAACUAACUCUUCACCAAACAUCUGUAUCGAAUUGAUGAAAUUUCUUCAACAAAAGAUCUGGAAUGAAUUACGUUAGAGAAUCUUGUCACUCUAUACUAGGAAGCUGUCUCCGUGAAUCAGUGAUCAUGAUUGGUCAACCAUAUACUGUGCCAAGACCCAAGAAUCAUGUCGAGAUCCAAUGCACUAAUUAUGUAAAAUGACAUCUGAAUACCUAAGAAUGACAUAUUAAAUGAAUAUCACUCUGCUUUCAGAUGUACAGACCUAAGAAUUCAUGCAUUAACUGAAUGUUUAUUAACUUACCUCUAGAGUGCCUUUCGGUUCCCUGGUCUUGGCAUCAAUGAGCUCAAUUAUCACUGGUUUUCCAUCCUUUGCUGGAGUUAUCUGAAAAAGUAUCAGAUAAAUGAAAAUGAAUUUAAAAAGGCACAAACAGGAAAGCAGCGUACAUAUUAAUAGCAGCAUUGCACCUGUAACUAGAAAAAGGACUGUGAACUGUGACAUACCUUGCUGGCAAACACACCAGUAUGAGAAUCAAUUUUCCGAGGAUUUAUGAGGACUCUCUGUGCCAACUUUCCAAUCUCAGGAUCAAAGCCAGGCAUCAGCUGAUCCAAAGCUUCAAUAAAUGUAACCUGUGCAAUAAAGAUGAAACUUUGUGACACAAGCCAUUUUGCUAGGGUGAGUGGAAGCAAAAAUAAACACAAAAAGAUAAUGCACUCCUAGUUUUACACAUUUGAAAAUGUUCAAUGACCAAUGUCACAGAAGGCUCUUCAAAGGACAAUCAGAAACAAAGUUCAGUCAAUCAAAGUUUUGUAAUAGAUUGCAAAGGGUUAUGCAAUUCAUACAAAUUAAAACUGGAUCGUUCCAACUAAAUGUUGUUUCCCUAUGUUUUAUAUGUUUCUUUGUCCUGCUUUUAGUUAGUCUCUAUGAAGUUGGCUACUCCACAGCUUUGAAGCCCCUCCAUUUGAUAAAUCAAACAUGGAGAAUGAUUAUUGAACGUUAUUGUCCUUGUCAGGUUGUCGAACUCCUUUAACAAUUAAUGAUGAUACAUUCUUUUCCAUAGAUACCCUGUCCCACAACUUUCUUUUAGGGAAACUAUAAAGUGAUACCAAAUCAGGAAAUAGAAAGGAAGAGCAAGUUUCAUUAAAACAGUUGAAAAGCAAAACAUAUAUUUUAGUAAAAGAAGAUGGUUUUUGAGGAGUAGCUCUCCCUAAACAGGACUAAAGUAGAACAAAAUUUUUGUGAUCAUGACAAGAGAAAUUUUGCUUCUCAACAAAAAUGAAACAACUUUUUAAGCACAAACUGCUCUCACCUCACUUCCAAGAGCUGUAUAAACAUCGCUGAACUCGAGACCGAUGUAACCACUUCCAACUAUCGCUAUCCACUCCGGAACAAAUUCCAAUUUGAGUGCAUGAUCACUGGUGAUGACUGUCUUACCUGCAGGCAACUAUCAAUGAUAUUGGUUAAUCUAAUCUUGGCAAACAAUAGUAUUCAGUUAGAAGAUUUAGAGGACUGAAAAAGCAAGACAGACGAACACGAUUAUAACAGUUCAACCCUCCAACGAAAAAAGCAUUGUGCAACUAUGAGCAACAAAACUAAAAGAAUGACAAAAACAUAAUAGCAGUUCAAGAAGUAAAAUUUCCAAGUCUAAUUCCUUGCAAGCUAAUUAUAACACGAUUGUUUUGCUAAAAUUGUUCCUCCUACACAAUUGAGAAGCACUCUUCAUCGCUUGCAGUUAUAGGUAAUCACAAACUUUAGGCACUAAUUAACCUAAUAAUCUGAAAUGUUUAAUUGCAAAUCAGUUCGAGGCUAUUGAACAUCACUUGAGAGACAUGGUAUCAUGCACACAUUCAGAACAUUAGCAUUUAUAAGCUCUUCAACAAUUUAAAUACAGCAGAAACUUUUAACAUCCAGUAAAUCCCAAAUUUUCAAGAUCAAUCUGGCAGACGUCCUGCAUAUACUUUAUUACCUUCCUUGAGAUUGCAAUGAAAGUAAGCAUAGCAAAACUGAACCAAUUUUACAUCUAAAUACCUAUAGAAACUGUUGCAGCAACUUCGUUGCAAACUAGAAGCUAGAAAUUAAACAUUGACAGACGAGCUACAACAUGUGCCAACACAAGGACAAAUACAUGAGUACUUACCGUCAACUUCAAUUCCCUUUGGCACUAAGGGAAUGGAGCCAGUAGCAAUUAUAAUGUCUUUUGCUGUUAUUACAGUUUCUCCAGCGCCAGCCUUUCCAUAUUUCACCUUUUGUGGACCCUGAAAAUAUAGUUAUGUGAAAAUGAAUGACAAAGCCUCGUAUAUGUGAUCUAAUGACUACCACUUUCCCUUUUACUUAAAAAUGACUGUUUCUACACAGAAAACACCUACUUAAACUUGAGAAAUUUCGAUGAAUAGCUCAGCUUACCAAAACUGUGCCAGCACCCAUCAAUAUAUCUACCCCAAGAGCUUUCAUCGAAUUUGUCAAAUUAUUUCUAAUUUUGGAGGCCAAAUUAUUUGCAUGAUCAGCAACUCCUUGUCUGUCAUAUCCAGCAGCUGCAACCUAUCAUAUGAGGUUAAAAAAGUGAGCAAGCUGUCGAAAACAGGGAAAACAGAAAUAAGAGCAUUUCAGGGUUGCAAUGCAAACUUCGGCGAUUUUGUAAGAAAUAUGACACUGGACAGUAACUUGUGCCAAUACAAGAAGUUCAACCAUUUCAUGAACUUGAUGCUGAAUUUACAGCUGGCCCAAAAACAGUUACUGAAACAUUCAAGAGACUAAACUUUGGUUUCUCAGCACCAAAAAUGCCUACCUGUAAACCAAAAGCCUUCAUGUGAUGCUCAUUCUGAAGCUCCCGCAUACGACCACUAACAGCUAGGAGGGCUUUGGAAGGCACACAACCCCUAUUUACACAUGUUCCUCCUACUACAUCUCCUUCAAUGAUGGCAGUUUUUAAACCCUGAAAACAAAACAUUUGUCAGUUAAUCACUUUCACUGAAUUCAAGAAUUUGAUAAAGGUAUCACAAGAUGCAUUUAUAUGGUGAAUAAGCAGUCAAACAAAAUGCCUGCUUGAUGUUAGCCACCAGCUUCUUUCAUCACUUUCUUUUGUCUCUUUUGACAAAGGAAAUAAAAAGAAAAUCCCUCAAAUUUAAUCCCCCAAGAACACACAAAUCAACAUCUGUAAGGUACAUGUUGUUGUAAUAAUCCAAACAGAAAAAAAAAAAUUAAAACAAACAGUAAAGAUCUGCUAAAGUAAUAAAAAUCCCGUUUACAACUAAAUCACCAGGUAACACUUACCAACUAAGAGAAUAUCAAAUUGGACGUAACUAAUACUUUAAGAAUUAGUUCAAAUUAGCAUAACAUUAAUAUCUGAAGCUUCUAACAGAAACAGUACACAGCUGAAGUUUAAUGAUCAGAGUGGCAUUGUUACCUUCUCUACAGCAUGAAGUGCAGCGCCAUGACCACCAACACCAGCGCCAAUAAUUACGAGAUCAUAAUCAAAACCCUCUUUCGACGGAGUUCCAUUAUCAUUACUCACCGAAGCCGAAACCUCCAAAUUCAAACGCUGCUUUGUGGACGAAGAAGAAAAUACAGCAGCCGAGGAGGAGGAAACUAAUCUCGCUGCAGCUGAAUGCGAAGAAUUCAGUCCGAAAAUCGCCUCUCUCUUGAGACCGCAGAACCGGAGCGAUCGCGACGUGAGAAAAGUGGAAGAAGAGCAGUCGGAUCUCGGGGCAAUUGUUAGGGAAGGCGAGGCCAGGGACAUUGUCAUUGCUGAUUGCAUUUUUUUAGGUUUCGAGGACUCGAGGUUCAAAAAACACACACUCACGCAGUAGAGGAUGAAUUAAUGGAGAUUGUUUGGGAGCGGAAGUGGGGCCGCCGGGAGAGUGAUAUAGAGGAAGAGGAGGGAAGGCUUCGAGAAGUCCGUUGGAGGUGGCGGAGUUAACAAAGCGGCGUUUGAUGAACCAACCUCUUACUUAGUUGUUUAGCGCUCGUUUUUUAAUUUUCUUGUUCCUUUCUCUUUUAUUUUAAUAGUUUCUUCUUUUUCUUUGAUUGCUUUUUUUUUUUUUUGCCCUUUUCUUUUUUUAUUACCUAUUAUUUCUUGAGAAUAAAUAAAAGAGGAAAUAGGUGUCACUUUUAUUCUUUAUUUUUGAUAUAAUGGUGUUGAAUCAUUUUGGUUUUGAAUAUAUUAUAAGUAACAAAGACAAAUUUAGAACUCAUUAUGUAAUUGCUUAAUUAAGAAAGAACUCAUAAUAUCCUUCUUAGGUAUUAUUGACAUCACUUUUGUUUACCUAAAAGCUUUGAAGAUUUGUGUCAAGUUUUUUAGCUGAUUAGCCACGCAAACAAUCUAAAAACAAGAGCACAUGAGUCAAAUCCUCAAAAUAAUAACAAAAAAAACUUUUUUUGUAGCAGUGGUGGAGUGUGUUUGGACAGUAAAUUAAUUAGAAUAGUUUUUUUUAAAAAAAAAUUGUAAUACUCAUUUGACAUAAGAUAAAUAGAUGAUUUAAAAAUACGUUAAUGACGCAAGCAAAUAAAUUUUUUACAAAUAAUUAACUCCAAAGAAAGAAUUAAUCUUUCUUAUACUAAUAAUGCAUAUACUGUAGGCAGCGUUGCAUAAAUUACAAUUAUGUAAAAUUUGAAUUUAAAAUUCAACUUUUACACGUACAUAACAUUACCUUCCAAACAAAGUCAUUGAUAGCAUGAUCGUUGUGAUCACCUAUUGAGCUAGUUUCUGAGGUUUUUAUGUAAAGGUAUUACACAUUCUGAGCUAGUUUAGAUUGCCAUUUUUUGUUUUAAAAAAUUUACAUUUUUUGUAAAUAUACUUUUUAAUCACUUUUUUAGUACUUUACAGUUUAUAUACAUCACAUCGUUACAAUAUAUUUUUCUAAAAAAAAUUUCAGAAGAUAGCAAUCAAAAUGGAAAAUCUUUCACUUUGUAUCUUUAUAUGCCCUAUUUCGUAUUACAAAUAACAAGUUCUGGUUCUUGGGCAUAAUUACAAGAAUCAGUCUGGCUUUUGGAAUUAUACACCACGUUUACAGGGUAACAUGUUUCUCUUAAUUUAAGGUCAUUAACUGCACGGAAACAAGCUCCUUAUCUAAAAUUUGGCGGUUACCAAAAAAGGGUAACAAGAAAUUCAAUGCUGAAUCUGGAUAUAUAUAUAUAAUAUACAUGAGCAUUUUGGAUUUGGAUUAGAUUUUGAAGUGAAAAAGUACAUUAUUGACAUUCUCGCCUACGUUGAUAAGUAACUUUACUUAUCAAAAGUCUGAGUUUCUCAGAAAAGACAAAAAGACAUUCUCGCCUACGUUGGCAACUAUGGAACUUUCCUCAAAAGAAUUUGUGAUAGCUGGGAGCAUCAUGUGGUUCGUUGAGCCGAAACCUGAGCUCGUUUGUCAAUUGAGUUUUUUUGAUAUUUGUUUAAAAUUUUACUGUAAUUUAUCGUAGAAGUUGCAGAAAAAUUUUUUAAAGUGUAUAAACUUUUAGAUAUUUUGAAAUAUAUAAUUCAAAAAUUUUGAUAAGUUUUAUGAGAUUAAUAUAAUUGAAGUUGUUAAAAAAUUUGUAGCAGACAAAUUUAGCAAAAAAACUUGUUCGCCAAACAGGACUUUGGUUUGGACAAGAAAUUAUUUAAAAUAAUUACUGUAAUAUUUGUUUUUGAUAUGAUGCAGAUGAGAUAAAAAAAUAAUUAAAAAGAUGAAAAAAUGUAUUCAAAAUUAUGUUCGUGAUGCUAAUAAAUAAUUUUUUUUUUGUAAUCAUGAUUAUCCAAACACACGUGUUAAUCACAUCCGAGACCUAAAAAGAAAAGCGAGACACGGCCCGCCACUAAACCUUGCUCUCUCCAAGAUACCUGCCACAAAAACCACCUAAGAAAAAGUACUCUCUUUGAAAGUUUUGUGCUUAAAGUAUUUUUUUUUUAAUAUAUAAGCAAGUGUUAGAUUAAUUAAAUAAUAUAAUAGAUGAGGGAUAACGGUAGAAUCAUGUUAUUCUCUCUCUUUUCUAGUGUCACUUUUUAAUUGCUGGUUGACUUAGACUCUGUUUGAUAAUCCAAUUCAACACUUAAAUUUAACGGAUUCAGAUCUUAACAUAUUCAGACCAUAUAAUAACGAAAAAUUGAACAUAUGAAUUAAUUAAGUAGCACUGAAUUUUCUAAACAAAACAUGUUUUCAAAAUUAAGUGAGAAACUAUUCACUUUAUCGCUGAAUGUGAUAUGCACUCAAAUGUAUUAAAUUUAAUAUUUAAUAAUUUAAUAAACUUAGAAUUCAAAUUUCAAUUUUAUCAAUGCACCGUUCGUAAAUAUAAAAUAAUAAAUCUCAAGGGAUAUUAAUAUAAUUUUUAAAACUUAAAAGGGAGGCUAGUGAAAUAAUUAAAAAAAUCAUUUCCUUUUAAAAUGUCAUGUUUUUAUUUUGGGAUGUUGUAAAAUAUUUAUCAUUUUAUCAAACAAAAUUACUUUUAAUAUCUUUUUUGAAUGUUGAGUAGUAAAAUAAAAACCAUGGUCCAUGGCCCAGAACCCACGAGCCGCCAACAGCAUUAUUAAACUUACAAAAAGCUCAAAACCAUCAAACCGCCGCCACCCGCCACACGACUCUCUCACAGACUCACACACACAGGACACACAGUAGUCAAUCACACACUAUAUAAAUAUUCCAUAGUCAGAGCUUAAUUACGCACCAAAAAAAGAAAAAAAGUUUUGUAAUUGUCACAAGCUUCUAUUAAUUAAGCAUCCAGGAGCAAAAGAAGAAGAAGAAAAAAAAUCUGUGGUUGAUGGCUUCUGAAGUGGCGGAGAAAGAACGCAAGAUUCUGGUUGCAGUGGAUGAAGGGGAGGAGAGCUCCUAUGCUUUGUCAUGGUGUCUCACCAACAUUGUCAAUGAAAAUUCCAAAGAUACCCUUGUCCUCGUCUAUGCCAGGCCACCUAGAGCUGUUUACUCUACCCUUGAUGGAUCAGGUGAGGAAGACCACCUCCCAGGUGACUUCUUUUUUUUUUUUUUCCUCUUUUUGUGGUUGAGCUAAUUAUUUAUAUGGGCAUUUUUUUAAAUGUCAUAGUCUAAAUUUUCUUACUAUUUUGGUUGUUUUUGCAGGU
RNAcentral lists this long non-coding RNA (97787 nucleotides) under Coffea arabica (coffee). Its description in RNAcentral is "long non-coding RNA (CARA_LNC001999)". The record is from RNAcentral. Lineage: Eukaryota; Viridiplantae; Streptophyta; Magnoliopsida; Gentianales; Rubiaceae.